UAUUUUGUAACUUAUCAAAAUGUGGCAGUGGUGCUACAUAUUUACUGUUAUAGACAAUAUUUGAUCGGUUGUCAAGAAUAACAUAGCUGUAUGUUUUUUAACAGUGUCUAAAAUCAAAAUAAAAAUGGAUGGGGUAAGGUCCUUCACUUAUGAAGAAUUGUCCUCUGCUACGAACAAUUUUAGCAGCUCCGCUCAAGUCGGACAAGGGGGCUAUGGGAAGGUAUAUAAAGGUGUCAUUUCUGGUGGAACAGCUGUUGCCAUAAAACGUGCACAGGAGGGGUCACUGCAAGGCGAGAAGGAGUUCCUUACUGAAAUAUCGCUACUAUCAAGGUUACAUCAUCGCAAUCUUGUGUCUUUGAUUGGAUACUGUGACGAAGAAGGUGAACAGAUGCUGGUUUAUGAAUAUAUGCCAAAUGGCACACUAAGGGAUCACCUUUCUGGUACAUCAUAUGUUCUUAUUUUUUAGUUUUCUGACAUUUUCUAUUAACUUUUUAUGAUUUAGUAAAAUCAUGCGCUGUUUUACCGCAGUUUCAGCAAAAGAACCGCUGACUUUUAUCAUGAGAUUGAAGAUUGCAUUAGGGUCGGCUAAAGGUCUCAUGUAUCUGCACAAUGAAGCCGAUCCUCCAAUAUUCCAUCGUGAUGUCAAGGCCAGCAACAUAUUAUUGGAUUCUAAGCUCUCUGCUAAAGUCGCAGAUUUCGGACUUUCACGGCUUGCACCAGUUCCAGAUAUGGAAGGAAUUGUGCCUGGUCAUGUAUCUACUGUGGUAAAGGGUACACCGGUAAGGCUUUCAUAAUUUGAUUUGGCUUUUUUAAACUUUGCAUGUGUGUGUUAAGAGGAUUAGCAAACUUAUUGUUGAGAUGGAGCCUGUUUGGAUUGAAUUAUUUGAUGUUAUCAACUGGCAUAAACACUUGUUAGACUGUUCGAGAAUGCUUAUGGAAACAAUUUAUUGCAUUAGCUCUUUAGUAUAGCUUAUGAAAAUAACUAGCUUACAUGAAAUCAAUUUGACUUUAUUUUAUCCUUUAGCUCGAAAUAGCUUAUACAUGAGCACUUAGAUGAUAAGUGUUUAUGCUAAAAACACUUAAUUAAACUGUUUAUCCAAGCAGACCUUAAUCUGAAACGUAAAAAACAUCUCAGAGAAAUGGCCGGUCAAAAAAGUGUGUGUUUGUGUUUGUAUUCAAAGGUAGAUUUUAUUUAUUCAAAGAUCUUUAUUUGUUGCUCAUCUCCCUUCUAUCUAUUUUGAAUAUGCAGGGUUACCUUGAUCCGGAGUACUUCUUAACUCACAAAUUGACCGACAAGAGUGAUGUUUAUAGUCUCGGCGUUGUGUUUCUAGAAAUUUUGACUGGGAUGCAUCCUAUCUCACAUGGAAAAAAUAUUGUUAGAGAGGUAUUUGCUUACCACUACACUUAGUUUAUCUCCUUAUUCUCUAACUUGGAUCAAACUGGAUAGUCUUGAAGUAACUAGUAUCCUUUUCGUCAAAUUAAUGGAACGCUUGAUGCAAACGCUUUUCAAUACCUUUUUUCAGGUCAAUCUUUCCUACCAAUCUGGCGUAAUAUUUUCAAUCAUCGAUGAACGAAUGGGAUCAUAUCCAUCUGAGCACGUCGAGAAGUUUUUAACAUUGGCCCUCAAGUGUGUUAACGACGAGCCAGAUAAUCGGCCUACAAUGGCAGAGGUGGUUAGAGAGCUUGAAAACAUAUGGAAUGUAAUGCCGGAAUCAGAUACCAGAAGAGCUGAAUCUAUAACCAGUGGCAGUGUCAGUGAUUCUAGUAAAGCAAUGAGUACACCAUCUUCAUCCUCAGCUAUAAGGACUGCUUUUGUAUCAGGUGAUGUGUCUGGUAGUGACCUUGUUAGUGGAGUAAUACCAAGCAUCAAGCCAAGAUAAAACUAUACACAUGAGUUGAAAAAUAUUAGGUUUAGAUAUUAUUGAGGUUGUCAUUAAUUACCUUGUGAAUUGAAUAAUGAGACUUGGUAUGUCACUGGAUUUCAUCUUCACUCUUUAUAUUAUUUUCUUUUGUACAAUCUGUUACACUGAUAGAACAUGGGGGGUGUAUAUAACAUAUUAGUUUCUUACAUCAUAUAAGCUAAGGUGUUGUAUAUGUAGUGCAGUUUAAUUACUAGGAAAGUGAAUUACAUUUGAGGUUGUUUUUCAAACAGUAUAGCAAUUUUUGUAGUUAAUUCCCUCUUGUACCAUAUUUAUAAAUUUUGUUAUGUGCUGUUAUGUUAACACUAUAGAUACUACUCCAUCCCAUCUUGAAUAUAAACAAAAAGUCAAAUGUAUCUGAUUUAAAUCAAAUACAUUUGAUUUUUUAUUUAUAUUUAAGAUCGAAGAAAAUAUCUUACAAAAUUAUUAUUGUUUUCUUACUACAAAAAGCAUAAAAAAGAACUCAUGCAAAGAGUGUAAAAUAGGUGUAUGAGACUUUUAAGAAAAAUCAAUUAUUUUUUCAUGCCACUACACUUAUAACUAUAUUUUAAAAUUAAUAAUACGACGAGGCUCAGUUUAUUUUUAUUAGUUUUCAGGUAGUUUACAUUACAAUUUUUUUUACGCGCGCGAAACGAGUCUCAAUUGUAAAGACUAGUUUCAGAACUGGAUUUAAAUUCAUAACUUCUGGUUAAGUUGGAAGAGAUAUCUUAUGAUCUCAUCAUUAUGCUCUUAAGUUUACAAAAGAUGUCUAUUCAACUUACUUUUUGCUUUCUUUAAUCCCAAAAUGUUAGUUAUUUUAUGAAAUCAAGAUGCAAUGAAUGAUAUUUUCCCGUUUGUACUCGUAAUAAACCAAUAUCAUGAAUCAAAUGAAUAUUACCUAUAUUUUUAAAUUAAGAUAUCUUCUGCACACAAUUGUAAAACUAAUUUCUCGAAAGAACUGAAAUUUAUUUAAGAUGUUGAUCUCUCCAAACAAAUAUCUUUUCAUAUGCAUGGACCAUGGGUCGAUCCUUAAACCAAAUAGUUAGAGGAUCCAAAUUAAUGAAUUUUACUUUUAAAAAUCUAAACUUAUCCAAAGUAUAUUUCAAUAUGUGUGCCCAAAGGUAGGGACUUGAUGAAAAUAGUUUUCCUGCCUAUGACAAGAGGGGCAAAAUAAAUUUCUUUCUUGUGUCACUUUGGUUUUGCCAAUAUCUUAUUGUUACACACACCUAAUCCUUGUUUGGUUAAAUGCACCCAACACCUAAGGAUGGAGAUAUUGAUAAGCUUAUUAAACACGAAAUUGACAUAUCAUGCAUGAAAGAUAAGGGACACUCCUAUUGCAUGAUCUACAAAUAAGAGUAAUGAGUACAAGUUAUCUGUAUGGAAAACGAUUUCAAUAAAUGAGAAGAUUUUAAUAGUAAACCGUCAUCCAUUGGCAUUUCUAGUAACGUUUGGUUACAUGCCAAAAAUUUAAUAGCAAAAAUCCUACUAAACUCUCCAUUUGUAUGUUUCACUUCAACCAGUAAUUGUCAAGUACAUCUCGACGUACCAAUAAUGUUGACUUAGUUGAUCAGAAGUUGAUUCAUCUACAAGGUCGUAGAUUUGACUUCUGUUACAAACAUUAAGACAUUUUUAGUGGAUAAAAUGUAAAUAUGUAUGUUAGAGUCUUGUGUCUGCUCUGACUCUGAUGAGUCCUGAAAUCCAACUCACCUAAACUUUAUUUAUAUAAUAAAAAAUUAAAAUGUAAUUAAUCACCAGCGUGAGCUAAUAUGUGAUUAUGUGACAAGCUAUUAGCAUAAAACUUGUCUAGAGUUAGUAAAUAUAUCCUUUAAAUCCAUUUUUAAUUACUUAAAAUAUUUUUUCUUUCUGGUUUAAAAAAAUGUCGGUGGGUAUUGUUGUUAGCAGGCCUAAAAAGAACCCGGGUCCAACAAGCUAACCCACUUUCUCGAACAUUCUGGGCCGGAAACGGGUCUAGCUAUGACCCACUUUCUUAAUACAUGACGCAAUCCCAUACGUCAGCACACAAUCCAAACGCGCCAAUGCAAAGGUAUAAAAGGAACACCAACCUCUCAUCUUUUUAAUUCCAAUUUUCAGUUUCAACACAAAAAAUCAACAAUGGGAAGAAGUAAGCAACUAAACAACCUCUCUCUUCCUUUUAUUCUCUCCAAGUUUUCUCAUUAGUUCAAAAUCUUCAAAUAAAUUUUAUAUUAAACUAAUCCAUAAUUAUAUUUUGACAACGGAAUUUUAAUGUCAAACACGGUGUCCUAUUGAUUUUGUGUGUAUUUUUUUAUAAAUAUAUACGAUGUCACAUAAUUUUUAUGUUUAAAUAGCACAACUCUAAUUAUUCUAACGGUAGUAUAAACAUUUUGAUAUUUGUCAGGACCAGCGAGAUGUUACCGGCAAAUUAAGAACAAACCAUACCCUAAGUCACGAUUCUGUCGCGGUGUACCAGAUCCAAAGAUCCGAAUCUAUGAUGUAGGUGCGAAGAAAAAAGGCGUAGAUGAGUUCCCAUUUUGCGUCCACUUAGUAUCGUGGGAGAAAGAGAAUGUCUCUAGCGAAGCAUUAGAGGCAGCUAGAAUCGCGUGCAACAAGUACAUGUCAAAAUUUGCUGGAAAAGACACGUUUCAUUUGCGUGUGAGGGUUCAUCCUUUCCAUGUGUUGAGGAUUAAUAAGAUGCUCUCGUGUGCUGGGGCGGAUAGGUUGCAGACGGGGAUGAGAGGUGCGUUUGGGAAACCGUUAGGGACUUGUGCUAGGGUUAGUAUUGGUCAGGUGCUGUUGUCUGUUAGAUGUAAGAGUGGGAAUGGUGAUCAUGCUCAAGAGGCUCUUCGUCGUGCUAAGUUUAAGUUCCCUGGGCGUCAGAAGAUUAUUGUUAGUAGAAAGUGGUAAGUACUUUUUAGUAUUGUUGGCUUUCUUAUUUUAGAUUUAAUUUUUAUAUUUUUUGCUUAUUAAUUUUCUCAAUUCAUAAUUAUGCAUGCAUAUUUUUGUUUUUAUGGCGAGUUCCACAUACUUUAGUACUUGAAAAUUGUCCGAAACUUCGAGUAUAAGACGUGUACGGUAGAACUUGUCUUGCCUUAAUUUUAAACCAAUUCCAAUUUCAUGUAUUAGUAAUUUGUGCUGACUUGAUUGUUUUCAAUUUUUUAGGGGAUUUACAAAGUUGAGUCAUGCUGAGUACUUGAAGUUGAAAUCUGAGAACAGAAUUGUGCCGGAUGGCGUAAAUGCAAAGGUUAGUAUUUGAAACCUGAUAUCAAUUUAUCUACAGAUAGAUGAAGUUUUAUAAAGGAACAAUAGAUUCAUUUGCAUUUUCUUAUCCAAUAAAGGAGGUUGGAGAUUUCACCAUAUUUUUGGAUGGAUGAGGUUAUUGACUGAAAAUUUUCCUGUAUUUUUCAGGUUCUUGGGUGCCAUGGACCUUUGGCCAAUCGUCAGCCUGGAAGAGCUUUCUUGCCUGCUUAGAAAUAUAUGAUUUUACUUCAAAAUGCUCAAUUGAUGUGUCUACUUAUCAGUGAUUAACUGAUUAUGUUAUUAGUAAAUAGAUAUUUGAAUUGUGUGUAUCAAACUGUCUUUCCAAGAUGUCUAGGGUAUGACAGAUGCACAAAUGAUGUAUCUAACUUUUAAUUAUGUACUGUCAUGGUUGGAACAAUAUAUAAAAUAAAGUGCUUUGUUGUGUGUACAUUAAUUUUAAUAUACUGCAGUAAGAUGAUCUUUAUCUUCUGAGAAAUAUGAAAAGGGGAAAUACAAGUAUCAACUAAUCAAUUGAGGCUCAAAUGAUUAGUAAAUUUUCUCAAAUCUGUGGAUGUAAAUGCAAAAGUUAGUUGGAUCUGCAAGUUGAAACCAUGUUUUUCACGUUAUUUAUAUUCCCCCUUUUUCAUAUUAACCAUCUUUGCUUUUGUGUGACAAUCACAAAAACCGAAUCAUAAAUGGAAUGUAUCCGAAAAACUGAGGCAUUUAUAUAUUAUUAAGGAUACAACACGACAAGUAACCUUAAAAAUACAUCAUGUGUGAUUCCAAAAUGAACUAUAGAACGAAUGAAACGUUGAAAACUUUGUAACUUGCUCGUCUUACAGAAUGUAUUUGUUGAAAAGUAACUUGAAGUGUAUGAAAAGUAACUCGAAGUUCGGUUGCAUUGUCAGCUUCCAUAUAAGCAAUCAUCUGGAUCAUUCUCUUUUACAGUUUUGCUCUUCACGAAGAAAUCAUUGGCGAAGACUCAAUUACAAAAGUAUGUGUUUCUUGCGCACAGACCGGUAAAGCGUGCUUACGUAUUGUUGGGUAGUUUACUGAGAACUGAGUGCUCUGGUUUGUGAUCGCACUCAAAGUCUAGAUGAACGAAUGCCCUCUCAACUUCCAAAAGUUUCUCAAGCUUUAUUUGUAAAGUCUCCCCAAUGGCAUGUGCUUCUUUUAAUGGUAAUUCCUCUGGCAGUUCAAUGUCUACCUGCUCAAAAUCAAAUCCAAAUGAUGAGACAUAAAAUCUUGUUAUCUUUGUGAUAUCAUGUUUGGUGCACUUAUAUGAAUAUAGCAUACAUGAACAUUAGUAUGUGAGGUUUGUAAGACUAAAUCCUAGUAAAAGAAAAUUAUCCUAUCUUUGUCAUGACAAAAUAUAUAUGUACUGACAUUCAAAGCUAACUAGGCAAGAGAAAUUGAACUCGUUACAAGUAUGUUCAAAAUGUAAUAUUGGAUACUCAACUCGUCACAAGUGUUACAUUCACAAUGAGAGAAACCUAGCUGGAUCCAUGAAGUACAAGUAACAAAAAGACUAGAUUCAUAUCAGUAUUUUGUGAAUGCUAAUAGAGAAUGCCAAGUUAAAUUUUAUAAAAAUCAGGACUUGUGCUGUAUAACCAUUUUUUUUUUUUUUUUUUGGAUAAAUGGGGUUGGUGUAGUUAAUGCUCCUAUAAAAUUCAACAUUACCUCCACAAAAUAUAAAACACCAAAUGUAUAUGCGCGGACAGUGUCAAUACGUUGAAUUCCGGGGUGCCUUAUAACGAGAUAUGUUAGCUUCUGCAAAACUUCAGGAGGUGCAGAUUGUCCCACCAAUGAAACUGUAAAUGAAGGUAUCAGUAAUCAGCAUAAGCACACAAAAUUAUAUAUAUUCACAUACAAAUGACAAAACAACGAACUAUAAGCUAACCAAUUGCAUAUACGUCUUAAAUUUUAAAUCGUUUUAUUGUUAUUAAGAUCUGUCUUUUUGACCUUAUCGGGAGCAAAAGUUAAUUAUGUAUUGUUCAAUAUUUGAAACAACAAGAAUAUAUGCAUAUUGUAACAUUUUAUAUGUUUGAAAUUUUGUUUUUGUUGAGAAUUACCGGCAUUCUCCAUGACAGUGCGAGACCAAUUUGAGAUGGUGUAAAUUGCAAGCAAAAUAGCUCCUAUCGGAUCAAUCCACCAGUAAAAUUUAUCACCAAGAAUAGCCGCAACUAAUCCAACUACAUUUGUUACCACAUCAAAGUGGUGAUCCUGCAUGUUGACAUGUUUUUUUAUUGUUAAAUUCUACAUUGACUUAAUUUACGAAGCAAACAUCAGAAGAGAGGGACACUUACAUCUGCAUAGGCACGGACAAUCUUGUUUCUCGAGCUUCUGCAGUAAAGCCAGAGUAUAAGCUUCACCACAGUUGCAAAUAUCAUGAUAGAGUACAACCAUAUUAGUUGUUCAGAUGUCAUCUUUUCACUAGGACUGUUUUCUAUUAAUUGCUUUACAGCCGUGAAUAACACCUGAAAACCUGUAGCAAAGUAAAUUCAAUGUAUCAUAUUAUGCGUUACAUGUCCAUGUACCAAUAUUGUCAAAAAUUAUUAAAUCAUGUAAUUUCAGAAGCAGUGGGAAUGUCAGAUUAACCCCAAAUAUUUGAAUGAAUACUUGAUAACUUGUUGAUGUUCACUUUUAUUCAGAACUUCCAUUAAUAAAAUUAAGUUCAAUUUCUGUCAUCAUUUUAUAAAUUCUGUACAUAACCUGUCAUCAGCUAUAACCUAUAGCUGAAUGAUUUCCUUAAACUCAGUAAAUAAGAAGGACUAUACAGUUUAGAAAUUGAUUUCAAAAUUUGUUCAAAAUUUUGUAUGAACAACAUAGGGGCUGGGAAUAUAGUUCAAGUCAAAUUUGACUCACCAAGUGUGGCCAUGACAGCAGCAAAAACAAUUAUGCCUACUGGCUGCACCCUCAGCUUUCCGAUGGGAUACUGAUAGAUAUUUAUGUUCUUCAUUGCUAUGUGAGUGUACCAAAGUAUACCACCAGCCAUUAGAUCAAGCAGAGAAUCCAAAGUUGAUGCUGCAAUAGCUAUAGAUCCACUCCUUACCGUCGCAUAUGUCUACACAUCAACACGUAUAUUAUUUUACUUAAUUCACAAAAGCUCUUUUCCUUUUCAACAAAAAAAUAAAAAUAAUUCACCAAAGGACUAUACCAGAAGCAUAUAUAAUAAUAUAAAUAACAAAACAACAAACACACAAUCCAAACAGCCAAAAAGUUCUAGUUUAAAAAUGAACCAUUCUAUAACCUCAAUUACAUAAAAUUAAUUUUGCUUCCAAACUUUAGUUAAACUGAAAAGUGACAAAAGGUAGCUUUUGUCCUAUGUCAAAAAGUUAACACUAAAUUUUAUGUCAAACUUUACAUCAAAAUUGCUUUUUGAGUGAAAAUACCAAACAGAAAUCAAUAAACUUUAUACUCAAUUGUAAGCGAAUCAAUACAAAAUCAAAUUAAAUUCAAAAUCACUUUUUUGAAAAUCAGUUAGUAUGUACAAUAACUGUUUAUUGAAUCCAAACAUAUGAAUCUGACGACUGCAAACUUGAAAUUUAAUACAUAAAUAUGAUAUAUAUACCUUCAAUAUCAAUAAAACAAUAUUUGCAUAAUUUGAAAUCUUCAUAGCUCUUUCUUGUUGUGCCUGCUCUUCUUUAUCAUCCUCAUCAAUGCGGUCAGAUUCCACCACAGCAUCCACUUCCUCAAACGAUUUCAGUGUAGCAAUUUGUUUUUCAUAGUACUCUUUCUCUCCUACACACAUAAAUUCAACCUUAUAAAACCUUCAUAAAUAAUUAUUCAAAUUUAUCAUAUAAAAAUACAUACACUAUACAUCACUGACACCUCUGAUCAAAGACGUGUCAGAUGGUGUCUGUAUAUGUCAACACAUGUGAUUACGUUCAGUUAAUUCCUUUUCUUUUAUUAUAACACAUAUUAAUAUCAGUAUCGUGUCUGGUGUCAACUUCAUACCUUGGCUUAAAGCGGUGGCGUUGGAGAGAUCAACAUCGAAAGGAGACUCAGAAUCAAGGCAAGAACGGACCUUAUCAGGAAGUGUGGACAGGAAAGCUGAUCUGAGAGAGUUUACCGAAUUCCGGCGAAUGAUUUUGGUGGUCUGACCGUCGUGUAUGGCGGAGAGAAGCGGCCUGGUAGGAUCCGAACCCGAAUUCCCGUCCAUGUUGUAUUAACUAAGAUAAUGAAAUAAACGCAUGCAAUACUCCAAUAAAUAACGAAAACGAAUUCACAUGCUCUUAAGUUUUUGAUAGUAACUCAUGUAAUAAAGAUACUAAAAAUAAUAAUUCUUUUUUGUUGGUAUAUUCUACUACCAAGUCUUCGUUGUUACGUGUACAGUAACUGUUUUGCCAACAGAAUUACAAACAUAUAGCAAUACCAAAUCAAUAAAGUUUGGACAUAUAUAUAAAAAGAUUCUCCUUAACAUAUUCGAUCAUUUCUUUUAUCAAUUUCCUCUUUAUUAUUAAAAAAAUAUUUCUUUUUAUGUAUCUGUGACCAAACACUUUUUCUUUGGUAGAAUUUCUCUAGCAUCAAUUAGUUUUUAAGUAAACGUUCUUAGUCCCAUCUAGUCAAAUUUUUUAGGAUAAAUAACUAAAGUGUUUGGAAUUUGAACUCCGACCUAAACCUAAAAAGAUAAACUAGUCGAUCGAAAUUCACAACAUAAAUUACUCUUUUGUACUAACAAAUUAAAGGGUUAUUAGUGUUUUAUUUUUGUGACAUAGAUCAUUUUCGGUUUACCUUUGUAAAAAAAAUUAGUUUUAAUCUUUGUAAUUUGAAGAUUCUUUGAUUUUAAUUCUUUAUGAGAUCAACUUACAAAAUUUAUGGUGCUUUCGCCCAUGUAAUUUAAGCAAACUUGGUUUACCCAUGUUAUAUCAUCGAUUUUGUACAGUCAAAAUUCAUGAAGAUCUAAAACUAAAUAAUCAUCAAAUUACAAGGAUGAAAUCUAAAAAACUAUAUUUACACAGGUAAAUCAAAAAUGACUUAUAUUACAUGAAUAAAGCACUAUUGAUCCUAAAUUAAAUCAUGUAUUUGUACGUAGUAUUUGUUUGUGAUAGGAAAUUACAUUUGAAGUUUUCAUUUUAAGCUCACAGAAAAUCCCUAAAUUGUUAAUUUAUAAUUAAAUUUAUAUAUAGUUUUAUCAUUCAAGUUAAAUUACUUGUUAGGGAAAUGUGUAUGUAAUCGUAUACGUCAUUCUCGUUUCAGCUAUUUGUAUAAAAUAUUUAUAUUUAUUUGUUUAUUUAUUUAUAAAAAUAAAAUAGUACCAAACAAAAUUGGUAACCGUUGACAAAUGGAGGAAAUAGAUAAAUUUUGAAAUAUGAUAUUUUUAUUUAAAAAUUGAGUACCGUAUUAUUGUAGCUUUUGUAUAUUAAGUUGACAUAAGUAUUGUGACUAAGAAACUGAUCAUAAAAUAAAUAUUUUGACUGAAAAACUAUGAGCAGGGGGACACUAAAUAAAAAAUGUGCAGUUUCACACCUAAAUAAAAGAAAAAAACAGUGUGCAGUAUGCGCUGUCUAUAUAAUUAACACAUAGUUUAGCUAACGUACUACAAACAAUAUUGCUUAGCUAAGCAAUGAAAAUUUGGUUUUUGCCAGAAAAGGUAAGCAAUGAAAGUGUGCGUAAAAAUUAUGGAAUUGGUAUUGCUUUAACAAUUUGAUUGAUUGACGGUCUAGAAAAUUUCCGAUAUAGUAUGUUAAAAUUAAGCUAAACACAUAAUGGGUAAACAACCAUUUAUGCUUGCUGAAAAAAACAAACUAUUUAUGUCUCUAAAUGUGAUUCACCGACAUUUAGAUUCUCAGAUAUAUGCUUUUUAGCCGGUUUAAUCCUUAAAUGUGUGUGUGUUUUUUUUAAUCAAUUAAAGAGUCAUUAGAAAUGGAUGUAGUUAUCAUGCAUAAGGAAUAAGGAAUAAGGAAUUCUUAUGCACACUGCAUAAGUCCCAACUCAUUAACCGGUAGCUCAACAUAAUUGUUUCCUAACUCUUAAAGGAAACCAAACGAAAUAAACUAGAAUCAUCAUCAUCAUCACCAUUCACCGAAAUUAACUCAAAUAAAUAGUUUAAAAAUUGUAUAUGUUAGUUGGAAAUGGUUUCAGAGUGUUGAUUUGGUUCAAUAGUCACAAAUGUCCUUAUUAUAGUAUGUUUUGUAUAAAAUUAUGUCAAAACCAUUUUGCAGUGGAAAUGGUUUCUGUGAGUUGGACUCCAAAACCAUUUUGCUAUGGAAAUGGUUUCUGUGAGUUGUACUCCAAAACCAUUUUGUUGUGGAAAUGGUUUCCGUGAGUUGUACUCCAAAACCAUUAGAAUUUGAUAAAAUCAUACAUAAGCAAACUCUGUAAUAGUUAUAUUUAGGACGGUAGAAUUUGAUAAAAUUGAUCAAAUUUUAUUUUUAAUAGUUAUAUUUAGGACUGUGGAAUUCGUUAAUUACUAAUAUCUUUCAAUAAAAGAUUUAAGCGAAAUCAUGAUGUAAUGAUGACAUGUGAUUAUAUGCAAAAGCAAGAAUGAUAAGUUUAUUGAGAUGAAGACCUCCAAGCGAUGUUUGCAAUUGCAGAAUUUGCUAUUUUUUGACGUUCAGAAGCAAUCUUACUCGCCACUAAAUCAGGCCACGAGGUUCCACUGGCUAGUGCUGUAAAUGAUAAGUCUAGAUCUGAUAGUUGUGAAGUGUUUAUGCAUGGUACAUAAGGAAAUGACUUAUGCAUAAUAAUUUUUGCCAUUAGAAAUGUGUUUUCAACUUAGAUAUUUAUGAAUCAAAAUAUAUAUGAAGUAUUCAUUUUAAUUUUUAAAUGUGUGAGACGUAAUUACAAUAAUCCAUAAAUAUAUUAAAAUUAUAAAAAUAAACAUGAAUGCUAGACUUUGGCUAGUCAGUUUGAUUCUCAAAUAUGUCAUUGUUAGUUACUUUGAUUAUCAAAUAUGUUUUUUAUUAAACAACUUAUCAUAAAGUUAUUAAUAAAAGACACACUUAAAGACGUAUUUGUAAUUGAGAAAUGAUAUUUGUACAACCAUUUUAUUAUAAUUUUUUGACAACUUUUUCUUUUAUACUCAAAUUAUAUUCUUAUUCUCUCUCUUCAUUUUUCUCUCUCUAUUGUUUUGGACCAAUAAGAAGAGAACAAAUUAAAGUUGUACCAAAUGGAUGUACAUAUAUCACUACUCUUUGUAAUUUCACCCAUUCUAACAUUAGACAUUAGACAUCUUACAUAUUUUGAGAGCAAAAUCACGGUUUAAUAAUAUGAGUAGUGAUAUUUGAACAACCAUAUGAUACAACUCUUGUGACAACUUUUAUUUUCUCUCUUUUCAUUGGUCAAAAACAAUAGAGAGAGAAAAAAAGGAAAAGAGAGAAUAAAAGUAUAAUAUGAAUAUGAGAGAGAAAGUUGUUAAAAAGUUGUCAUAAAGUGGUUGUACAAAUAUCAUUUCUCUAAUAAUAUAUAUGCACACUUACAAAAUAUAUACCAUACACAUACGUGUAUUUGUGUUUUUACAAUAUUAAUUUAGGUAUAUGAUUAGCACUCAAACGUGAGGUGGAAAAGUGGAAAUAUUAUUUAAAGUAUACUAAGAAUAUAUGUAUAAGAGGAUGGGGGUGGGGGGACCAAGGCCAAUGCCUACCCUAUUAAACUUGCCGUUGAAUUUGAAUAUAUUUAAGAGGAUCUGAAGCAACUCUAAUAAUACCAUGAGUUAUGCAUAGACACCCUAGCCGGCAUCAACUUGGUCUACACCCCUUUGGCGACAAUCUAUUUUGACUUAAAAGUCAAAAUAAAACAAUCACUCUCUCUCCUUUCACCUUCCUUCCUCCUCCUCCCAACUCAUUGUUCUCACCUUUCUACUCUAAAACACGACCAACAACAACAUUUUCAACGACCCUAAAACAAAAUAAAAAAUUAUUUUUCAUUCUUCCUUGAAUAUCAUUUCCCCUGUCUUAUGUUUCUUUCCGAACAUUUGUCGUUGUCAUCGUCGUCUCUGUCGGCCUUUCAAUUGUUUAUCUGAUAUUUCCUUUCUCGGACACAUUCAAUUACCUCUACUAUUAUGAAGAAAUACGUCGAUGGGAAUAUCUAACUAACAUCCAUUGGGUCGACACGAAAAUGACGUGAUCCAUGACUUGUGUGUGUCGGGACAUGAGUGGAUAGGAAAGACGUCGGGACAGAGCCGAUGAAAAUAGUCACGACCAAAGAUUGUGAGCAGGAGGAGUUGUCGUUGGUUGGAUGGCGCAAAGGAAAGAGAUGUUGGAUGAGUGGCAAAGUUGUUAUUUUAUUUUAUUGUAUUUUAAUGAGAGUCACAUAAUAUCCCCUCGGUAUCUCUUUUUUAUAUAUUUUCUAUUUUGUCUUAAAAAAAUAUUUUUUUUAUGAGUCGCCAAAAAUUGCCACAUAGGCAGAGGUUGAAUGGGUGUUUAUUUUAAAUGGGUGUGCAAAUAUAAACACUCUAAUACCUUAGACAUCUAGAGCAUAAUAUUGAAGUUUGUUCUUAAAAUAAUUCUUUAAAAAAAACAAACUUAAAAUAGUAUAUUUUUUUUAACCCAUUUCACUAUCUUAAUUCUUACCACGCGUGUCAAAGCUUAUAGUGUGUAUAUUUUUUGACUCAUGUGAUGUCAACCGAAGCUAUAUAUUAAAAAUCCAUCUAUCUUCCCCUCAAAAUAAAAAUAAUAAUAAAAAGUAACCAAAAAUAUUCAGACUUUGGGACCUUAAGUGGUAAUUAGUGAUGAAAUCAACCAGAACAUGAGACUUGAUGACUCCUAUUUCCCUCAUAACCUACCGCUACCUUUUUCUCUUCUCUUAUGCAUCUCUUGAUUUGGGUUACUGGUCUCACGACUGGUAGGAAUGCCAAUUUGUGUCAUAUCACAUUUUCAUCAAUGAAAGACAUAUCUAUAGGUUGCCACACAAAGAGGUUGACAUUUCUUCUUAGGAAAGAAACAACAAGUUCUUCUUAUGCACUUAAUAGGAAAUUUCUAAGCUUUGUCACCCUCCUUCAAAUCUUCAAUGAGGAAGACCUUUGUCUCUGGCUUAUCAUCUUUAACAAAGCUUUUCAAAUGCCUUUUUAUGGAUCAACCUUUUUGUCUCCUUCUUCAAUUGGUGGCACUCGUCUGUAUUCUGGCCAUUUACUCGGUGCUAAGUGCACCAACUUAUUUUAUAUGUGACCGUCGUUCCCGUUCAUGGCUGAGAAUCUUUUAGUAAUUUGGAAUGCAUAUUGAUCUCUUUGAGAACCUCACUUUUCUUUUAUUUCAGAUGAGUGGUGGGAAAUUCAUAUUUUAUUUUUAUUUUUCGACCUUCCAUGACGGAAAUUUUCUCGAUGCUUGAGGGAAUGAUUCUCCCUCUUUUUCGUUGCUCUCUUCCUCAUACAAAAGAAAAGAGAAAUGGUGUUAUAGUUUUUUAUUGGAUAUGUGAGAUGAUUAAAAGAAAAUAUGAUACUGGUUUUUUAUUGGAUUUGUGAUUCUCAUGCUUCAAAUAUUGUGUCUAACCUUUAGGUCUCCCGGUCGUUAGGUAAAAUUUUAGUGAUUUAUAGUGUCUAAGAUAUUUUAAUCUUCUCACUAUCAACUUUGACAUUCGUUCCUUCAUUGAUAGUAUCAACAAAUGUUUGUUAUAUAUUGUUAUGCCUAAACCAAUCUAAAUUGGCAAGCCAAGUUCUAACAAGCAUACUGUAAUCUAUUUUUGAAAAGCAUUAAAAUUAGAUAAUGUGAACGUUUUCUAAACAACAGAAAAAAUAAGGAUCAUGGAAAGUUUGCCAUAAGACUACUUUCCAUGGUUCCAUCUCGAAAAACUACUCGCUCAUUAUGAGAAUGAGCUACCUAAUUGUAAUUAUGUUUAAUUUUGUUUUUCGUCCUUAUCACAUGACAGUCACCCAUUGGACGAUGACAUGACAACUCAGUUGCCAUGUGGCAUCAAAAUAUGACGUGGCAUACCAUGUUAGCAUGCCAAACCAACCAAUUUGGAUGAAGAAAUAGAACAUAUACUAAAGAAAUGAGAAUCUUAAAUUAUUGGGAUAAAUUCUAAAAAAAAUAAAUUAAAAGGACUAAGACCAUAACCCAGAUGUUCGAGGCCAAAACCGCUAAUAACCCUAUAGUCUUUUGGUUAGGUGUCACGAGUAUAACUAACUCAUAACUAUUGUAACUAAUUUUUAACCAACGUUCGGCCUCUAAUACUCAAUGCAACCAUAUAUUUUGCAGCGGAUGUAGAAUCAUUGAAUCUCAAUGCAAUUGAAUCUUGCACCAAGAUCCAACGACUUUACCACCAUUGCAAAAUGCAUCUGUUGUCGAGGAUCUGUCCAUCCUCAACCAAUAAAGAAAAUUAAUAAACUCAAUAUACUAAGAUAUAUUUAAAGAGCUGCAUCUCUGGAAAGAAGUUCUUCCAUACACAUCGACCUUAUAUCCAAGUCCUGCUGCCUACAUGCUUAAGAAACUUAGUUAUCUCAAUCGCGCUAUAAAUCCAAGGAAUAUCGUAUUCACACACAUUAUAGAUAGAUUGGUAAACAGGUCAAAAUAUUUCAGCAAGAAAUCUGCUAGUUUUUGAAAGUCUACCAAUGCAAUAGACUAACAAUGAAUAUGUUUUUCCUCAUUAUUUUUCUUCCUUAUUAAUUCAAAUCAGAAUUAUAUAAACAAGGUCUUCUCGGUAUAGCUUUAAAGAAUCUAGUUAAAGGAAGCAACAUAAAGUGCAAUAAUCAUCAGCAUAUGAUUAACUAUUAUUGCUCAGUUUUGGGCCUUUUUAUUUCAUUGGAAGUGAAUGGAGAGACACUGCCACUCAGUUGAGGGCUCUCUUCUCUGAAGUUGGAAUUGAGCAUAGCAAGUUCUCUUAGUUGUUGCCUCUUGUAAAGGUCCUGUGACUCAUCCUACACAAAUAAAGAAAAUUUGGUUCAAAACACAUUUUAGCAUACAUUUAUAUGCAUUAGAAUGUAAAAAUAAAAUAAAAUUGUGGAUUGAUUAAAUGGAGUAUCAUGUAGAACAAAAGAGGAUGGAAACAAGUUCUACUGCUAGGUUGUCCUUCUAACACUGAUACAGACACGAACAUGACGCUCACACUAACACAUGUGACCAACACUACUGCCUUUCAACACUAGCUUUAACUCUCUUCUGUUAUUCUAGAACUAGAACAUUCUCACAAGGACAGUAAGUGGGAGUAAUAUUUUUAAUAGAUAUAGGGUCUGUUUGGUUAUACAGUUUACUGAAGUGUAUGAAUAAGAACUUAUGAUAUGAAUGCUUAUGCAUAAACCUUUUUUUAUAACCAAAGAUGAAAUAUAAUUAAACUGUUUUCUUAUAAGCUGCAAUAUUUUCAUAAGUUGUCAUGGAGUGCUUUUCAAUGUAAACUUAUAGACAUGUCAUCAUCAGGUAUUUUCAUACGAUUUUCCAAACAUGAUUUCAAUUGCUUAUGUUGUAAGCUAAGUUCAAAUAGACUAUCCCAAAUGCACUCAUUGGCCUGGUUCGCAAUAAAUUCUAACCUGUAGGCGUUUUAUAAUUGAUACAACAUUUAACUUUUAACUCAAGAAAAAGUUCUUAUAAGCUUUUAUGUGUUUAUAGGGAAGCUAAAUGAGAGAGCUUCUGAAAAAAUUAAGAUGUAGAAUUUGACUUUAACCUAUAUAUAGAAGAUUGAAGUUAGAAUACUCAAAGUUAUCAUGAAUCUUUUAUAAUUUUCUUCUCUGAUACACAUUGAACUAUGGUCAGUUUUUUUCCAUUAUUUAGCAUAUAACCGAUCAUAGAAUGGCGUAUUAUCCUUUUUAAUCAGUCCAUCAUUACAUUACAUAUUCAUUUGUUAUGUUUUAUACAUAUGGGCCGGGUGGGAUUGAGACUUAACCUAGCAGUACCAUAGUUCAGAUUGAAGAUGAGACACCAAUACAUGUGGUUGUUGGUUAAAACUACUUUUGUUUUCCAGUGUUUACAUGUCAGUGUCGUGUCCAUGUUUGUGUGAGUGCUUCGUAAUCAAUGUGAGUCAGUCUGCACAAGUCUGUCAGCAGAUUAUGCGCUGUUCCAUAAAAAUGAAGUUACAAUUUUGAUUUUGAAGUGGUACGCUAUGAUUAACUAUGAAUAAGUACUGAUUUUAAAAUUUAUCCAAACUGACUCAUAGAAUAAACCAUUUUCCUUAGGUGCAAGUAAAAGAAAAAAAACAAUAUCAUAUCCUAUGAGUAUAUUUAGAUCCAUAUUGUAAUAGAGUUAAGAUGAGAUACCACAGGCUUAAGUAGCUCUUCUAUGAUUUCUUGUGCGUGCCUCAACCUUACAUCGACAAUAUUAGCAGGUAGUUCAGCUUCAAUUAAGAUGUGAAGUUCAUCACUCAGGUGCUCAUAGCCUGGCCUUCCCCUUAACAAUUCUUCCUUUUAAAGUCAAAAUGGUAUAUCAAAGUUAGAAAAGUUAUCAACAGCAUGUAUAUUGUAUAAGCAACAAAAUUUGUUAAGUAAGAAGCCGAGAAAAGUUGAGACACUAAAUGACUAUGAAAUACAUAUAAGGCAAAACUGCACCUGCGUCUCUACAAGUUAAAUGAUCAAUCUGAAACAAAGGAAAAACUUAAAGGAUCGCAGGUGCAACUUUGCCUAAUUCUUAGGUAGUUAAAAUUAGGCUGUGUAAAGUUACAAGACAAUGUGAUAAGAUAUAGGACUAAUGGACUAUACCUUGUCUAGGUCUUUAAUUGAACCUUUCCCUCUAAUAUAUACGCGGCAACCUGUGGUAGCCUCUACACGCUUCAGUGAAUUACCCCUAGGGCCAAGAAGCCUCCCAACAAAAUUAAACUGAAAAUUAAACUAGGAUUAGCCUUAAUCCUUGUUUCUAUAAAUUAACAACUUAUUUAAAGGCUUAUAGUGUAAGUACUUAUCGUAUGAGUGCUGAUAUAAGCUAUAAGCUAUCUCUAUAACAAAAAGUAAAAUAAAGUCAAACUGUUUUCAUAUAAGUUACAAGUUGUUUUCAUAAGCUAUACAGAAGAGCUUACAGAAAUAAGCUUAAAACUGCUUAUAGAUUGUAAAACCAAAUAAAAUAUGUUGCAACGUAACAGAUCUUACAUUUGGAUAGCCAUCCUUAGGAAUAUCUAAGCGCAAUAUCUUCUUCACAAUGUGAGAAUUUGGAACAACUGGUGCUGUUUGCCAAUCCAUGUUCAGUCCCUUCACUUCAGCUAACAUCUGUUGCAUCAUGUGCUUAAUCAAUUAUUAAAAUAAACUUUAGCUUACCAGGGAAAUUUGAAACACAUCCCCAAGUGUCUCAUUUGUUAGAAAUUUAUAGAUUGAAUCGACCAACGAAAACCACAUUGGAGGACUAGAGUAACUAACUAAAGACACAUUCGCAGAUCAAAAUGAAUAACAAAGGAGACAGUUGAUAAUGUGUUCGCAAUUUUGAUACAUUCAAGGACAAUAAUAACAGGCCGACAAUGCCUCACACAUUCAAUGCCAAAAUGGUAUUUUUUACCCAUAAAUAUACAUUUGAUUAUUAGAACAACAAAAAGUGAGGUACUUACAUCAUGUGACAGGCUAUUCCAGCCAGUGAAGUUUGGUUUCAAAUCUGAAGAAGCCAUAUGACUUUGGUUCAUAAAUUGCAUUCUAUCAAAAUCAUUAAACCCUUGAUGAUUCUGUAACAAUCCAUUCUUUCCAGAAACCCUCAAAAUCUCUGAUAAAAAUUAGGUAAUAUUCAAUGCAAUAAGAACUUGUAUAAAAACCAUACAACAAAAUACCUAGACAUUGGAAUAUACAUACCUUGAUUGAGGAGUCUGCUACACAAGGGUAAGACUUGCAUGAAAGGUCCAAGUUUCUGAUGUUCUGAUAAAAGCUCCAUUAAGUACUGACUGAAACAACAAAAAUAAACAAUAACAUAUGCUCCACAAAUUAAUCAAUUAAUCAAAGUCAAUACAUAUAUAUGUUGCAGCUGAAAAUAACAACUUUCAGAACAAAUAUUUAUUUUCCAUCAUACCUUUCAGCAUCAAAAUUGCUUCUCAUGUUUAUAUUUGGUGAAUUAGUCCUUUGAGAAGAAGGUGAAGAAAUCUGAUUAUACAUGUUAGAUAAUAUCAAUUCUACAAAUCCAAAAGCAAUAGAAAAAUGAAGAGUUUUUUGAGAUUUGGUGUGUGAUAGAAGAAUCCUAUGAGAAAAAAAGAAUCAUUUAAUCAAUUCUUGAAAAGGGUAAGGUACAAAACUACAAAUAAAAUAGAGGGCCACUUCUGUAGUAGUUCAGUAGUAAAAGCAUGCCUUAAAGGGUGUCUCUAUGUACUUCUCUAGGUGUGUGUUUAAUUGUUUUUUUGUUGGUUUUUGUUGCAUAUAUGCAAAUAUCAUGUCAUGAAAACAUGUUUUACCUUAAUAAACACAACCAGGUGUUACUAAGAAAAUAUAAUCAUAAAAACCUCUAAUGAAAUAUAGAUAUUCAAAUCAAAGAUAGAGGGAAAAAAAUGAUCUUCAAAUAAUAUAUGGAGAAUAGUGUUUUAUUUCUUUCUUUAUUAGGAGACUUUCUAAGCUAAUAGAGUAAUUAAAAUCUUAAAUUUAAUCAUGCACAUUUAAACAAGAUGUGUGAAGAUGAUUUUGCUUCAAUCAACUAGAAAGAAAGAAAGAAAGAAAAAAAAAAAAAAAAAGCAAUGAAAGAACCCCAAUGACCAAUGUGGGUCAUUGGUUCUCUGUCACAAGAUUGUGACCAUGUAGAUUUGAAAAACCAAUCACUCGCAUGCUUCACGCUUACAAUAAAUUUAUAUAUGUGAUACUAUAUAGAAUGCAUAAUAGUAUAUAGUUUUUUUUUUUUUUUUAACAAGGCAAAAUAGAAUUAGGAAUAAAGGAAGCUCCUCAUUAGCAUUAAUCUUAAAGUAUGCAACGGAUCAGUCUAUAGAUAGAGCAAAAUCAAAAACGAAUUAGUCGAUGGCCAGACAAACAAACAAGCUCGACCACCACCUAUGAAAAUUUAGAUCAACAUUAAUUAAAGUUAUUAACCUUCAUCCAUCUAAAAGAAUGAGACUUAGCUUUAUCGAACAACUAGUGAACAAUACUUUCCUUAUUCUUGAAAGUUAUAUUGUUUCUUUCAUUCCAUAAUACACACACGCAGCAAAGCCAAACAAGCUGCAGAAAAGAACGACGAACUUGCGAACCACGUGAAGACCAAACAAAUUGAAUAAAAUGAUCAUAUCAGCCACAGAUAUACCGAGCCACGAUUGAACCAAGCCCCACAUAGGAGCAAAGCAAGGGCAAGAAAGAACCAAAUGCUGGAUAGUCUCGACACCUCCACAUCCGGACACGCAAAGUUGUGACUUGUAGAUAUAAUGUCACGUGCCACCAAAUUAUCCUUUGACAGCAACCUAUUCCGAAGAAGUCUUCAAGCAAGAAUAGAAACCUUCAAGGGAACCUGCUUGUGCCAAAUUCAAUCUGAAGUAGCAUUAGAGUUAUACAUCUCCUGAGUAGACAACAACUGAUACACACCCCGGACCAUACAACCACCACCAGUAGGAUCAAGCAUCCACUGCCAAUGAGUACAGAAAAAUUAUGAAGUAAAAUUCUACACUCCCCUAAGAUCUCCUCCUCCCACGCCCACAACCUACGCCGCCGCCGCCACCAAGCAUCCCCUCCCUCCCCCCAACCCAAAUCGCUCAUCAUCGCCACCGUAAUGGACUUACUCUCUGCAAGAUCAAACAAACGUCUAAACCCCCCUACACGGCGGCUGCCCUCCUAACGCAUAAUAGUAUAUUGUAUUUUUCAUUUUUAGUCUUAACCUUACAUGGAAAGAAGACUAUGAUAAUUCGGGGUUCAAUCAUAAGGUAAAUAAAGUCGGUCAAUAGUUAUUUUAAUUAAGAUUAAAAUAUUCUUACAUAAAUAGCUUGUCUUUAACUGAAAUAUGGUAUGUAGUUUAUUGUGUGCACGUACGAGUGACAUUGUGGUUGAUGACAUUGAUCAACCACAAUAUCACAAGUGUACAAAAAAAAUAAAAAAUAAAAUAAAAACUUGUAAAAGAGAGAGAGAGAGAAGAAAAUCAUUUGUGACAUUGUGGUUGGUCGGUAUCACCAAUAUCGCCAAAUUCAAUAUCACCCAAGUUCUAUCCACGCGCACAAACAUGGAAAAAUGUUUGCUUCUAGAAAUUUAACUUAUUAUUUGCACAUUGAAAAAUAUCUUCCAACUUCAAAUCAAUUAUCAAUGAAAUAACUCCAACUUCAUUCCACAUUUUGUGCUGAGCUUAGCAUAUAAAAUCUCAUAAAUAAGGGGAAAUGUCAAGCUUUUAUGUAUGAGAAAUGAUAAUUUGUGCUUUUAAGAGAUCUUAAAAUAGAACUAAAAAUAAAUAUUGUAUUGAAAAAAUAAGUUUUUUAAUCUUUAAGGUUAUGUAUGUACAAUUUUUAAAGUUAAAUUUUUACAUUUAGUUUUUUAUCUUGUGCCCUUAGGAUACAAGUUAGCAAGACCCUUUAUUUAUUAUUAAUACUAAUGAAAAUGGGUACUCACAUGCUCAUCUUUCCGCUUUUUUGUUGCGCUAAAAUUUGAAAAUUAUGAACGGUGUAUUUCUAUGAAAUUUUGAUUUUGAUUAAAAGUAUAAAUAUAAAUGAUUGGUAUUUUCAAAUUAUAAUGAACUAAGUAAUUUUGUUUAUCUAUUUCAAUAACACCAACAAUAUAACAAAAAUUAUAUUUUAAAUUCUCAUCUUUUUAAUGACACCAAUAACAAUUUUUUAUUGUAGAAAAAUUAUUUUAAAGUAUAAUUGAGAUAAUUAAAACGUCAGCCCAAAAUCUUAUAUAUCUACUUUAGUUUGUUAAAAUUUUUAAAGCAUAAAAGAAGGAAAAAUCGGGACAUAUUUUCAUAUUGUGUUUCUUACUUUUUUCAUUUUGAAUUUACUCUCAUCAAUUAUCUUUUUUAAAGAAUAAAGGAUUAGAAAGAAAAUUUUUGAUAUAUCGUGGACAAUAAAGAUUGAAUUUGUAACACUUUAAUAUUUGAAUUUAACUUUUAUCUAUUUGUUAUAUGUGCUAUUUAAAUUUAAAAUUGAGGAUAAUUUAGAAAAGAGAAAAAGCCAAUCAAAAAAAGCCGAAAGGGACUAUUUUCUAAGAUUAAUAUAAUACUGCUAGUAAUUUGGACAUCUUAAUGACCGCUAUUAUUGAUUUCUAUAAUUAAUUUGUUUUCAUUUGUUGCAAAUUUGGCUCGUAUUUAUUUAGGUUAAAUAGGUCUUUCGCCCCCGCAAAUAAGGUCAUUUGAAUUUCCGUCCCUAAAGUUACUAAUCCUUCCAGUUUUCCACUGCAAAAUUUAAUCAUUUGACUUUUGGUUCUAAUUAGGUUUUUUUGCUGAGGUGGGCUGUCAUUAGCGACGUGGUUCCCAUGUGGCAAGUGAUGAUUGAGUGAGGUGGUGGGCUUAAAUAGGUCUUGUGACCUUGCAAAUAUAGACCAUUUGAAUUUUUGUCCCUGACGUAACUAAUCAGAUGUAAUUAGGACCAUUUUUCAAAUGAUUAAUAUUUGCAAUGGCAAAAUGGAAAGAUUAGUAACUUUAGGGUCGAAGAUUCAAAUGACCUAUAUUUGCUGGAACGAAAGACCUAUUUAAGCCUAUUUAUAUUAUGUCAUUUGUAAUAUAUAAACAACCUAUCGAACUGUCAUUAAACUAAUCCACCGCCCCCCUCCUUAUCCCCAAAUCCAAACUUCAUCUUCCAAGAUGUAGAUUACAUAGACGGUGGUGCGACGAGAUAUGUCCUUCGCACCACCAGAGCCAGAAUCGUCGGCAGAUCCUUUUCGGUCAGUGGUUUUGAGCGUCUGUUUUUGUGACACGUUGGUGUGCUUGUCCACCAUUCACAUAAAUCUUCAGGUUUAAGCUUGGAGGUGUACGUUUGGUUCUGUAAAACCCUUAAGGGUCGUUUUCUUUUCAGAUCCGGCUAUGCAUGUGUUCGUGAAAGACGUUGUUGUUUUUGCGACUCCAUCUUUGUGUUGCUUUUUGGUCUUUGGUAUCCUAGUUCUGCUCUAGAUUUGCUGAAAUCUCCACGAUCCAAAGGUUUGGUCGCAUUCGCAGCUCUGGAGUUUUGUUCGCUGCGCACAGGGGCGGAGCCACCCCCCAGCUAGCCUGGAAUAGUGCCCAGGCUCAGCUCCAACUUUCUUUGUAACAAGCCCUACCAUUACUAGAAUUUUUAGUUUUUCCUGCGGAUUUUUGUGUAAAUUCCGCAGGAAAUGUAUUUCCUGUAGAUUUUGCCAAGGAUUUAGGUUCCGCUGGAAAGAUAUAUCCGUAGGAAAUGUGAAUUUAUCUGCAGGAAAUGUGAAAUUAUUCGUAGGAAGGAAGUAAUGUUUUGCGAUAAAUUUUUUGCCCAGACUCUAUAAAAUUCCUGGCUCCGCCACUGGCUGCGCAUAGGUUCGUUGGGCUCGAAAGGGAUGGUUAUGUUGUUGUAUUUCGUUUCAGGGGCCAUUGGUUCAUGAAUCUAUCGGUGUUGGCCGUUGAUUCUCAUACCAUUAAAAAUAUAUCUCAGUCAUCCUUUGAUUGACUGACAUGGGACUGUAUGGACUCGAAAGAGUCGUUAUUGCUUGCUGACAUAGUUGCAGGGAGUUGAUGGUACAUGAAUUGUUUUCAUGUUGAGGAUCGAUUCAUUCACCAAACUUUUAGAUCCACUUGGUUCGUUUGUUUGAAAUCUUUAGGGUUGGAUCCAUUUUAUGAUUUUUUUUUGUUUUAAUGUUUUUCCCAUUAGGAUUGUUGACUGGGUCAGGGUUAUGUCCCCCCAGUUUUUACAUGUAAUUUUUCUCUUUUUUUAAUAAUAUAUAUGAGCAAUUAACAACAGAUUAGAGUAGGGUGCCAACUUAGUAUUCGUUUUGAUGUUAUUUUGCUCUUGACUUAUAAAUAAAAAAAAUAAAAAAUAAAAACCUAUCACCCAUAUCUCUUCUUCUUACUACACUUCACAUGUCCAAACAAUUCUCCUUUUUAUUGUAAAGUUCAUACACUCAAAAUAAAAUUACGAGGGAUUUUUGACCAAAAAAAGCAUCAAAACUUGUGGUUUCACAGAGGAUAUAAUAAUAAUAAUAAUAAAAAUGAAGGGUGUCCUGAAUCUGGCCCGUAAUAAUUUAAAGAAUUAGAUUUAUUUAUUUUUUAGUCAAAUUUUUUUCUAUACAACAACAAACUCGAAAAUAAAACAUUUAUUUAUUUCCUUAUUGUUAUAGUCUAAUUCUUUAUUGCAAACUUUUUCUAAAAAAUCCUUGCUAUGCAAAUUUAGGUACCUUGCUUUUCGAAAUCGAUAAAAUCGAGAGAGCUAUUCGUAAAGCAAUCCGAGAAGCAAGAGACACAACAACUAUUUCACUUCCAAGUCUUAGUGACUUCUCAUCCAACGAAGAGACGGGAGAGCCAGAACACAUAACAUUAGGAGAUUACGGGAGGCACAAUAACAUUUAUGAAGUAUCCCAGGAGUUCCAACCAGUGAAUCUUGUCCUCUUUGACAUCAAACACUCAGUUUUUUCCGCGCUAAGGGAGAAUCAAUUCUCAGGUGGGGAUACCGAAGACUGUAAUGCUCAUCUAACUCAUUUUUUAGAAGCUUGCAACACCAUUAAUCUAAGAGGAAUUUCAAAGUCCAACAAAAUGCUUUGUUUGUUUACUCUCUAAGUGGACGAACAAAGGAUUGGCUCAACGCACUUCCAAGUGGCACCAAAGCUACUUGGGAUGAUCUAAAGAAAGAAUUCCUCCCCCGCUUUUUCCUUACAACAAAAUACCUUGAAAAGAGGAAGGAGAUAGUUGGUUUCCAACAAGAAGGUGGAAUAAAUCUCUACGAUGCAUGGGAGAGGUACAAAUUACUACUCAAGUGUUGUCCGAGGAACAAAUUUUCAAAGAUGGAAAUUACCUUAACUUUCACAGAUGGACUGAAGCCAACAACCUGCAUGCUUUUAGACGCAUCAACUGGAGGUACCAUGAAGAACAAAUUUGCAGCUAAAAUCCGAGAGCUCAUCGACAACAUGUCCUUGAACGAAUAUCGUCCUCAAAGCGAGAAUAGGGAUGUGGUAAAGAAGCAGGGAGUUCUAAGCUUGGAAACAUGAUGCAUUACUAGAAAGCAACAAACUCCUCAAUUACAAGAUCAAACUAGCUAAGAGAUGGAAGUGCAAGAAGUAGCAAAGUUGUCUAUCAAUAGUGUAAGCUAUGACUUUUGUGAGCACGCUCAUGAAAGUGGUGCAUGUCUUCCAACAAGUUUGAGGUUAUCUGAAGAACAUGUCAUGUAUAUGGGUGCAUAUACCAGACAACAACAAAUUCCCUACUCUAACAAUUUCAACUUCGGCUAGCCAACCCGUCAAAAUUUCUCUUGGGAAGUGAUGACAGGUCAUCUUAACUUGGUAAGGUUUGAAACUAAGUUUGAGGUUGCUUUUUGGAAUUAAUAACAUUUUAAGUUUUGGGUGGGGUACCAGUAGAGCUCAUUCAUCUGAAAAAAAAUGAAAAAAAAUAUAGAUUACCAUGGGUCUACAAACAAAAAAUAGAAAGAAAAAAAAAUCAAGAGCCAAAAACAUUAAAAAAAAAAAAUUGUCUCUUCAAAAAAAUAUGUUUAUUUAGAAAAAGAUAAAUAGUUAUAUUUAGUACAAAUCUUGUUUAAUUCAAGGAAGGAAUAUUGACAGUGCAUCAAUGUUUAGUAGAAAUCUUUGUUGGAACAAAAUGUGUUUCACAAUGAACCUUAUUAAGUUUUGAUGAUAACAAGGUAUUAAAAAUUGUCAAUUGGUUAUUACUAAUAACUGUUCAAGUGUACAGGACCAAAGGCUACUCAAGUUAUUUCAAUAGGUCUUGGAAGAACAAUGGAAAGAAAAAGAAAUUCUGAGCAUCUGAAGAAAACUGCUCCUGAAGCUAAACUGCUCCUGAAGAGAUGACGUCAUCAGAAGCAGAAAGUCAUCAGAAGCAGAAAGUCAUCAGAAGCAAAAGUUUUCAUCAGAAGCAAUAUCUUCACCAGAAGCUACAUUUGAUCCUUUAAUCAAACUGAAGAUUCAAAGUUGCUGAUUCUCAAUUCAGUCUUAUCAAAGAAGAACGAAGAACUGAAAGGGAGGUAUCAACGGAUAUAUGGAUAACACUGAGCACUUGUCUCUCAUUAAUAGAGUUGACAAAGUACAAGUGUACAACCACUACCUCCACUACUCUGUUUUUUGUCUACGCUACAAGACAAAACAACAGCCAUGCCUGCAGAAUUUGUACACUCAAGAUGGGAAUGAAUUUGAAGUUUAUUCUUCAAAGGACUACACCCAAAUCAGGCAAAGGAUCACUGGUGGAUAAUCAAAGGAUUUCAAACGACUCUUUAGACGUGCUGAUUAUCUCAACGUCUCUUUCACGCCUCUAUAUAAAGGAGUGAAGACUUGAAGAUAAAACAGAGAUAUACACAAGUUCAAAAGCGCCAAAACUCUGUCAAUUUGAUACUACAAAGCACACUGAAUUUCUGCACUGAUUUGAUACAUCUUAGAAAUUCAUAGUCUAGAGUCUUUUCUGUAUUGUAUUGUGAACACCACUGAUUGUAUAUCAAGUGUUCAAUUCAAACUCAAUUCUCUGUAUUUUUUGUUUGAUUAGAAGUCUCUUGCCUGCGUGCUUGAGCAUUAGAAGUCUCUUGCUUAGUGCUUGAGCAUUGGAAGACUCUUGCGUGUGUGCUUGAGCAUAGUUUUGUGAAGUCUCAUACUUAGAAAGUAUUGAGCAGUUGUAAUCUUGUGAUUAUAGUGAAAUCUCCUUGGAAGUGCAAGGGGGACUGGACUACUUCCGUGUUGUGGAAGGAACCAGGAUAACUGCUUGUGUCUUUGUCUUUCUUUUCUCUGCUCUGUUCUUUCCGCUGCAUAUCUGAUUCUGAUCAUUUCAUCAGAAGCACUCUCAAACUGCUUCUGAAGUUUUAUCAGAAGAAGGAUUUUUUUUAGACAGAAAAAGAAAACACAAUUCAACCCCCCCUUCUUGUGUUUUUCUCACCUUCAAUUGGUAUCAGAGCUUGCUCUGUUAUCACAGCACUUAACCGUGUUACAGUUCAAGAUCUAUUAGAAAAACAUGUCUGGAGAUGAGGAAUCAGUUACUCCAAAAUACACAAGCGUCAAGCAUGACUAUGAUACUGCUGACAAGAAAACAGACUCUGGAAAAGCUCCAAGGUUUAAUGGAGAUCCAGAAGAGUUUUCUUGGUGGAAAACUAAUAUGUACAGCUUUAUCAUGGGAUUAGAUGAAGAGUUAUGGGACAUACUGGAAGAUGGAGUUGAUGACCUGGAUUUAGAUGAAGAAGGAGCUGCUAUAGAUAGAAAAAUACAUACUCCUGCUCAGAAGAAGCUUUAUAAGAAACACCACAAGAUAAGAGGAAUCAUUGUGGCUUCUAUACCUCGCACCGAAUACAUGAAAAUGAGUGACAAAUCUACUGCGAAAGCUAUGUUUGCUUCUCUUUGUGCAAACUUUGAAGGCAGCAAGAAAGUAAAAGAGGCUAAAGCUUUGAUGCUAGUUCAUCAGUAUGAACUUUUCAGAAUGAAGGAUGAUGAGAGUAUAGAAGAAAUGUACUCAAGAUUUCAAACUUUAGUUUCUGGAUUGCAAAUACUGAAGAAAAGCUAUGUUUCUUCUGAUCAUGUUAGUAAGAUUUUGAGAAGCCUACCUUCAAGAUGGAGACCCAAAGUAACUGCUAUUGAGGAAGCUAAGGAUCUAAAUACUUUAAGUGUUGAAGAUCUUGUUAGCUCACUCAAAGUGCAUGAAAUGAGUCUAAAUGAGCAUGAAACCUCUAAGAAGAGUAAAUCCAUUGCUUUACCAUCUAAAGGAAAGACCUCAAAGUCUUCCAAAGCCUACAAAGCCAGUGAAUCUGUAGAAGAAUCACCUGAUGGAGAUUCUGAUGAAGAUCAAUCUGUAAAGAUGGCUAUGCUGUCCAACAAGCUUGAGUAUCUGGCAAGGAAGCAGAAGAAAUUUUUGAGCAAGAGAGGUAGCUACAAGAACUUCAAGAAAGAAGAUCAGAAGGGAUGCUUCAAUUGUAAGAAGCCUGGUCAUUUCAUUGCUGAUUGCCCUGAUCUUCAGAAGGAGAAGUUUAAAGGCAAAUCCAAGAAAUCAAGCUUCAACUCCAGUAAAUUCAGAAAGCAAAUCAAAAAGAGUUUGAUGGCAACCUGGGAAGAUUUGGAUAGUGAAUCUGGUUCUGAUAAAGAAGAAGCUGAUGAUGAUGCUAAGGCAGCCGUUGGGUUGGUAGCAACAGUAUCAUCAGAAGCAGUAUCAGAAGCUGAAUCAGAUUCAGAAGAUGAAAAUGAGGUAUAUUCUAAAAUCCCUAGACAAGAACUUGUUGAUUCUCUAAAAGAACUUUUAUCACUGUUUGAACACAGAACCAAUGAGUUGACAGAUUUAAAAGAAAAAUAUGUUGAUUUGAUGAAACAACAAAAGUCAACUCUAUUGGAACUAAAAGCUUCUGAAGAAGAACUCAAAGGGUUUAACCUCAUAUCAGCAACAUAUGAAGAUAGACUCAAGAGUCUUUGUCAGAAGCUACAAGAAAAAUGUGAUAAAGGUUCAGGCAAUAAACAUGAGAUUGCCUUGGAUGAUUUUAUUAUGGCUGGAAUAGACAGAAGCAAAGUUGCUUCUAUGAUCUACAGCACAUACAAGAACAAAGGCAAAGGGAUUGGAUAUUCUGAGGAGAAAUCCAAAGAAUACAGUCUCAAGAGCUACUGUGAUUGUAUCAAGGAUGGAUUGAAAUCCACCUUUGUGCCUGAAGGUACAAAUGCUAAAACUGCUGUUCAGUCAAAACCUGAAGCUUCAGGUUCACAGGCUAAGAUCACAUCAAAGCCAGAGAAUCUUAAGAUCAAGGUAAUGACAAAAUCUGAUCCUAAGAGUCAAAAGAUUAAAAUUCUGAAAAGAUCAGAACCUGUUCAUCAGAAUCUGAUUAAACCAGAAUCUAAAAUUCCAAAACAAAAGGAUCAGAAGAACAAAGCAGCUACUGCUUCUGAGAAAACAAUACCAAAAGGUGUCAAACCUAAAGUAUUGAAUGAUCAGAAGCCACUCAGCAUUCACCCUAAGGUACAAGGGAGGAAAAGUAAAACCUCCAAAGCUAACCCAAAAGGACCCAUGAAGAUAUGGGUACCUAAAUCUGAAUUGGCCAAAAAUGCAGGUGUGCUUAAGGGCAAGAGAGAAACAAAGGUCAUGGUACCUAGACAGCGGAUGUUCAAGGCACAUGACUGGAGAGAAAGCUUUGUUCCUUACCCUUACAAUGAAAGAUGGAGGAGAAGUGAAGUUUGGUGGCAACCAAACUGGAAAGAUCAUUGGUACAGGUACUAUUGGUAAUUCCUCCAUCUCAAUUAAUAAUGUGUGGCUAGUAGAUGGUCUGAAGCAUAACCUAUUGAGCAUAAGUCAAUUUUGUGACAAUGGGUAUGAUGUAACGUUCAGUAAGACCAACUGCACACUAGUUAACAAGGAUGACAAAUCCAUUACAUUCAAGGGAAAGAGAGUUGAGAAUGUCUAUAAAAUAAAUUUCUCUGAUCUGGCUGAUCAGAAGGUAGUUUGCCUUCUGUCAAUGAAUGAUAAAAAAUGGGUAUGGCAUAAAAGGUUGGGACAUGCUAAUUGGAGAUUAAUUUCUAAAAUUAGCAAGUUACAACUGGUCAAAGGAUUGCCUAACAUUGAUUAUCAUUCAGAUGCACUUUGUGGUGCAUGUCAGAAAGGGAAAAUUGUGAAAAGUUCGUUCAAAUCUAAAGACAUUGUAUCAACCUCCAGACCCUUAGAAUUACUCCAUAUUGAUCUUUUUGGUCCAGUUAACACUGCAUCCUUAUAUGGAAGUAAAUAUGGAUUAGUCAUUGUUGAUGAUUACAGCAGAUGGACUUGGGUAAAAUUCAUUAAAAGUAAAGACUAUGCAUGUGAAGUGUUUAGCAGCUUCUGCACUCAAAUACAAUCUGAAAAAGAAUUGAAAAUUUUGAAAGUCAGAAGUGAUCAUGGUGGAGAAUUUGAAAAUGAGCUAUUUGAACUUUUUUGUGAAAAACAUGGGAUUCUCCAUGAGUUUUCUUCUCCUAGAACUCCACAACAAAAUGGGGUUGUAGAGAGAAAGAACAGAACCUUACAAGAAAUGGCCAGAACCAUGAUCCAUGAAAACAACUUAGCUAAACAUUUUUGGGCAGAAGCAGUCAAUACUUCUUGUUAUAUUCAAAAUAGGAUCUAUAUCAGACCUAUGUUGGAGAAAACAGCUUAUGAACUCUUUAAAGGAAGAAGACCCAAUAUCUCUUACUUUCAUCAGUUUGGAUGUACCUGUUACAUCUUAAACACUAAAGACUAUCUGAAGAAAUUUGAUGCCAAGGCUCAAAGAGGAAUCUUUUUAGGUUACUCUGAAAGGUCAAAGGCAUACAGAGUGUAUAAUUCAGAAACACAAUGUGUUGAAGAAUCUAUGCAUGUAAAAUUUGAUGAUAGAGAGCCUGGAAGUAAAACUUCAGAGCAAAGUGAAAGUAAUGCAGGUACAACUGAUUCUGAAGAUGCAUCAGAAUCUGAUCAACCUUCUGAUUCUGAAAAGUAUACAGAAGUUGAAUCUUGUCCAGAAGCUGAAAUCACUCCAGAAGCUGAGUCUAAUUCAGAAGCAGAACCUAGCCCAAAAGCACAGAAUGAAAUUGCUUCUGAGGACUUUCAAGAUAACACUCAGCAGGUUAUUCAACCUAAAUUCAAGCACAAAUCUUCACAUCCUGAGGAGUUAAUCAUUGGAAGCAAAGAUAGUCCUAGAAGAACAAGAUCACAUUUUAGACAAGAAGAGUCUUUAAUAGGACUGCUUUCAAUAAUUGAGCCCAAAACUGUUGAAGAAGCUCUCUCAGAUGAUGGAUGGAUAUUAGCUAUGCAAGAAGAGCUAAAUCAAUUCCAAAGGAAUGAUGUGUGGGAUCUGGUACCCAAACCUUCUCAGAAGAACAUUAUUGGAACAAAAUGGGUAUUCAGAAACAAGCUGAAUGAACAAGGAGAAGUAACCAGAAACAAAGCCAGACUUGUUGCUCAAGGCUACAGUCAACAAGAAGACAUUGAUUACACUGAAACAUUUGCUCCAGUUGCAAGAUUGGAAGCAAUCAGGUUACUUCUAUCCUACGCAAUUAAUCAUGGCAUAAUAUUAUAUCAAAUGGAUGUCAAAAGUGCCUUUCUUAAUGGUGUCAUUGAAGAAGAAGUGUAUGUUAAACAACCUCCUGGGUUUGAGGAUCUUAAGCAUCCUGACCAUGUUUAUAAACUUAAGAAAUCACUAUAUGGCUUGAAACAAGCUCCCAGAGCUUGGUAUGAUAGACUAAGUAAUUUCUUAAUUAAAAAUGAUUUUGAAAGAGGACAAGUUGACACAACACUCUUCAGAAGGACUCUUAAGAAAGAUAUUUUGAUUGUGCAAAUAUAUGUUGAUGAUAUAAUAUUUGGUUCUACUAAUGCAUCUCUUUGCAAAGAAUUUUCUAAGUUAAUGCAGGAUGAAUUUGAAAUGAGUAUGAUGGGAGAAUUGAAAUUCUUUCUGGGAAUUCAAAUCAUCCAAAGUAAAGAAGGAGUAUAUGUUCAUCAAACAAAAUAUACAAAGGAGCUUCUGAAGAAGUUCAAGCUAGAAGACUGUAAAAUGAUGAACACUCCAAUGCAUCCAACCUGCACCUUAAGCAAAGAAGAUACUGGAACAGUAGUAGACCAGAAGCUUUACAGAGGUAUGAUUGGUUCUCUGUUAUACCUCACUGCAUCUAGACCUGAUAUUUUAUUCAGUGUAUGCUUGUGUGCAAGAUUUCAAUCAGAUCCUAGAGAAUCUCAUUUAACUGCAGUUAAGAGAAUCUUCAGGUAUCUGAAAGGAACAACUAAUCUUGGACUCCUGUAUAGGAAAUCCCUAGAUUAUAAGUUGAUUGGAUUCUGUGAUGCUGAUUAUGCUGGUGAUAGGAUUGAAAGAAAAUCAACCAGUGGAAAUUGUCAAUUCCUGGGAGAGAAUCUGAUAUCCUGGGCAAGCAAAAGACAAGCAACUAUUGCUAUGUCUACAGCGGAAGCAGAGUACAUUUCAGCUGCAAGUUGUUGCACACAACUACUUUGGAUGAAACAUCAGUUGGAAGACUAUCAGAUCAAUGCUAACAGUAUUCCCAUUUAUUGUGAUAAUACUGCUGCUAUUUGUUUGUCAAAGAAUCCAAUUCUACAUUCAAGAGCCAAGCAUAUUGAAAUCAAACACCAUUUUAUCAGAGACUAUGUUCAAAAAGGAAUUUUAGAUAUACAAUUCAUUGAUACUGAACAUCAAUGGGCUGACAUAUUUACAAAACCUUUGUCUGUUGAAAGAUUUGAUUUUAUUAAGAAAAAUUUGAACAUGCAUUUUGUGUCUGAUUGAAAAAUUGCUUGCCUCUGAAUAAGAAGUUUGGUUCUGAAGUUUAUUCAGAAGCAUUUUGGUUCAUCAGAAGCUCUUAAUUGAGGUUCUGAGGAAAAUGUGCUUCUGAAGAUGACGUCAGCACUAAAACUUCAGAAGUGUUAUUCUUUGCUUCUGAAUAGCUUGGUUAGUGGGAACGGUGGAAGUUACUUUAUGUAACAGCUGUCUCAUUACCCAAAAGGUAGUUUUCUGAAGAGUCUCUGACGUGGUUUAUUUGUAUUGGAGUAUAACAAAAAGGGCAAUGAUGUUUUUAUUCGCUUUUUAACGUACUUACACGCGCCCCCAAUUUGUCAUUAAUGCUGUGUUUGUUUGUCCCCUCUGAAUUACAAACGUUUUAAUAAAAACACUAAGUCAUUUCACACACUUCUCACUUCACAACAAACACUUUCUAUUUUCUUCUCAACCCUCUGCGAACGUAAGCGCAUUCUCUCAUCCUCUCAAAACACUUUAGAACCCUAAAACCACUUCAUAUCAAUGGCAUCUUCAAGUUCUGCCGGUGGUUCUUCAUCGAAUAUGGAUAUAGAUACUCCUGCUUAUGAAAUCAAAGGAAGAACUAUGUCGAUUGAGGAAUGGGAUCUAAUCAUUCAAGCGGAAAAUCCAGUGGAUUUCACUUCUCUAACUCAUCAUGGAUGCGACUUGGUAAGAUUCUACAAGAAGCAGAAGCUAAUGAGUUACUUCAGUCUUCUCAACGGUCCUACUUAUGAAGUGCUUGUCAGACAAUUCUGGGUAAGAGCUUCAGUGUUUGACAAAGUUGCUGCUAAACAGGAAGAAGCUCAGAUGAUUCUGGUUGAUCCUACUUUGGAGGGAAAAACCAGAGAAGAAAUGGGUCUACUCGCCUUCACUGGGACUGAGAUUAGAUCAAACGUCAUGGGGAUUCCUGUAACAAUCAAUGAGCAUGUGAUUGCUCAAGCCAUGAGAAGGGAUGCUUCUGGGACAUACGAUGGAGAAGAAAUUCCUAACCCCAGAACAAGCCCAUGGAAGGAGAUAGUAAACAACACUAUCUACGGAUCAAAGGAUGCUAAGCCUUACAGCACCUUAAGCAUGGAAAAGAAAAUGCUGCUGAAGAUCCAAAAUGAAAACAUUUUUCCCAAAGGUGGAGGAAAUGAUCAACCUUCACUUGGUCACAAAGUCUUUCUGCAUCACACCAUCUCUCAGGAAACAACAAUGAAUGUUCCCAAGUAUAUGUUUAAAUACAUGAUCAAGGAACUCAAGAAGAGCCAGAUGGAGAACAGGAAGUUUGUUCCUUAUGGAAGGCUGCUCUCCAUAAUCUUCCAAGAAGGAGGACUCCUAAGUGCCCUGAAAGAUGUGGGUAUUUAUGAUAAUCAGAAGCUGGGAGCAGUCACAGGAAAAAUAAUCAAUGGGGCAACCUUAGUCAAGAUGAGGCUGAUUUCAACAUGCAGCAAACUAGAUACAGAUAUGCAUGAAUCUGAUGUCAUAUCUGAUCUAGUCACUCAUCACAUCCCUAUCUGCAAGAAAGAUCCCCUGGAUGUGCAGAGGGCCUACAUCUUAGACUACUACAAGAGCUACAACAAGAAAAUCAGCCUGAAAGAUAUCCCAGAAGAAAUGUAUGGUGGUGAUCUGCCUGUGGCCAAAGGCAGAAAAUCUAAAAAGAAGCAGAUCACCAAGGAAGAAUACCUUGCUGAAGAUGCUACUGAGGUGGGUGCUCAGAAGCAUAAGAAAGCUAAGAAGGAAAAAUCUGCUAUGUCCACCAUUCUUGAGGAAGUGGAGGAUUUGGAUGAUGUCCCUCUUAUCAGAAAAAGGACAAGGAGUACUCAAGAAACAGCAGAACAGCCUGCUUCUGAACAAGCUGGUUCAGAACAAGCUGCUUCUGAUCAAGCUGCUUCUGAAAAGCCUCCAAGUCCCAGAAAUAAAAGAGAAGCUGCUCUUCAGACCAUCAAAAGGAAGAGGUCUAAUUUAACAAGAAAUCUGAAGACAGCUGAAGGAAGAAGGGCACAAAUGUUGGAAGAACUGGAAGAGAACUGGGAUGAAGACUCAAGCCCUAAGAAAGCAAAAAGGACUGCAACUUCUGAGCCCAUAGUCAUGCCCAGCUUCGAAAUGACUGAAGAAAUGAAGCAGUAUACUAGGGAGGUUGCUGCAUCCAAGAUAGCAGAGAAGAAAAGGAUGAAGAUUUUGUAUGAAGAAGAAAGGGAUGAACGUCUCAAGGCUGCAGGGUAUGUGCCUACUCCUGACAUUGCUGCUUUAGCAUCGGAGUUAGAAACUGUUAAGUAUGGAGCAACUCUGCUUUCUCAAGCCUUGAAGAAUAAGCAAGCUUCAGGAGCAACUUCAUCAGAACCAGCUUCAGAAGCUCCAGAAGCAGUUCAUCCAGAAGCUCAGUCUUCAGGUAAUCCAUCUAAUGCUCCAACUAAUACUCAGAUUCCAUCUCUACCCUCUUCACCCUCUUCAUCAUCCACAGAAUCAGAUGACCGGCCCCUUAGCCAACAUAUAGACAAGCUUCUUAAAACCAAACCUACCAAACUAACAGAUUUAGGAACACUUGACUGGGAGCAAACUCAAAUAGAAUUUUCUAAGAAUAGAAUUAAACUUUGUGAGAAAUUCAAUUUGCCUCCUACUCAUCCACUCUUUCCAGAUAAUCCUGAACCUGUUAGUGUACAACAACCUCAACCCAACCCAGAACCUACAACAAACUCACCACAUAACUCAACCACACAAAAAGCCUCUGAAGUAGCUUCAGAUGCAACUACUUCAGAAACCCCCCAACACCAAGAAUCCUCAACCCUUCACAACUUAGAAAAACAUCUAGGUGGUGAAAUGCAACCAACACCCACUAAGGCCUCUAAGACAGUUCCUGAAAAGACUGUUUUGGAAACCCAAACAGAAACCCAAACCAUCCCUGAGCAAACUGUUCAGGAGCAAACUGCUUCUGAACAAGUUGCUCCUGACCAAACAACUCCUGACCAUCAAACAACAGAACAACAACAACCAGACUCACCCACUAUAAUAGACUUAACCUCUGACCAACCAACCACAUCAAAUACAACUCAAACUGAACCUUCACCCAUCCCUGACCAUAUCCUAGAGUCUGAGUAUAUAGAGGAACAGCCGAUUAGACUUAGUGAUGAGAUUCAGGCACUGAUUCUUCGCAGAACAGUUCCUGCACCUCCUAUUCACUAUUAUGAUCAGUGGAUAGAUCUUCAGAAGAGCUUUGAUGAGUUGCUGGACCAACUCAGAACCAAAUGUGUGUCAUCUCACUCUGCAAUGCUGAAGAAGCUUUUGGAUGAUAUGCAUGAAGCAGCUAAGGACAAAGAGCUGAAUUAUGUACCUCUUCUGGACAUCACUCCUUUCUAUCCUGAAGAAGAGUAUAUCUCAAGAGCUGCAAGAAUUCAUGCUGGGCAUGUAAGAAGAAUGAGGGAAAAGGAUGAGCUACUUAAGAAGAAAGAUGAACAGAUCAAGUAUCUCUUAGAACAGCUGUAUAAGCAAGCCCAACCUUAGUUGCACACCCAACUCUAGCUUGUUUUUACUUUUGUUCUGUGUAGUCUUAUCUUUGUACCUUAACCUUCAUUUAUAAAUAUUAUCAUUGUUUCUGAAAUAUUAUGUUCUAUUUUUUUUAACUCUAAUGAUAUUUAUUGAUUUUAAUGUCAUAUGCUCUGAUACUUCUUGCUCUGAUACUUAUUAUGUUUUUAUUUGGUUAUAUGCUCUACUACUCUGUCUUUUGUUCUUAUUCUUUUUGUUGAUGACAAAAGGGGGAGUAAAUGUAUAGUAUUUUUAAGGCACUGAGCCCCACUACAACCACUUCUAAAUUUCUUUUAAAUACUUCUGAUUUGAUUUUAUGAGUAUUUUAUUGAAAUUUAAUUAAUAAGAAUAGAACUUAGGGGGAGCUUACAAACCUCACCUUAAGGAUCUAUUAGACUCAGGGGGAGCUUACAAACCUCUAUCCCAGUGGUCAACUUAUUAAUUAGAUCAACAACAAUUGAACAUUUUAAAUACUGUUGUUUGUCAUCAUCAAAAAGGGGGAGAUUGUUGGAACAAAAUGUGUUUCACAAUGAACCUUAUUAAGUUUUGAUGAUAACAAGGUAUUAAAAAUUGUCAAUUGGUUAUUACUAAUAACUGUUCAAGUGUACAGGACCAAAGGCUACUCAAGUUAUUUCAAUAGGUCUUGGAAGAACAAUGGAAAGAAAAAGAAAUUCUGAGCAUCUGAAGAAAACUGCUCCUGAAGCUAAACUGCUCCUGAAGAGAUGACGUCAUCAGAAGCAGAAAGUCAUCAGAAGCAGAAAGUCAUCAGAAGCAAAAGUUUUCAUCAGAAGCAAUAUCUUCACCAGAAGCUACAUUUGAUCCUUUAAUCAAACUGAAGAUUCAAAGUUGCUGAUUCUCAAUUCAGUCUUAUCAAAGAAGAACGAAGAACUGAAAGGGAGGUAUCAACGGAUAUAUGGAUAACACUGAGCACUUGUCUCUCAUUAAUAGAGUUGACAAAGUACAAGUGUACAACCACUACCUCCACUACUCUGUUUUUUGUCUACGCUACAAGACAAAACAACAGCCAUGCCUGCAGAAUUUGUACACUCAAGAUGGGAAUGAAUUUGAAGUUUAUUCUUCAAAGGACUACACCCAAAUCAGGCAAAGGAUCACUGGUGGAUAAUCAAAGGAUUUCAAACGACUCUUUAAACGUGCUGAUUAUCUCAACGUCUCUUUCACGCCUCUAUAUAAAGGAGUGAAGACUUGAAGAUAAAACAGAGAUAUACACAAGUUCAAAAGCGCCAAAACUCUGUCAAUUUGAUACUACAAAGCACACUGAAUUUCUGCACUGAUUUGAUACAUCUUAGAAAUUCAUAGUCUAGAGUCUUUUCUGUAUUGUAUUGUGAACACCACUGAUUGUAUAUCAAGUGUUCAAUUCAAACUCAAUUCUCUGUAUUUUUUGUUUGAUUAGAAGUCUCUUGCCUGUGCUUGAGCAUUAGAAGUCUCUUGCUUAGUGCUUGAGCAUUGGAAGACUCUUGCGUGUGUGCUUGAGCAUAGUUUUGUGAAGUCUCAUACUUAGAAAGUAUUGAGCAGUUGUAAUCUUGUGAUUAUAGUGAAAUCUCCUUGGAAGUGCAAGGGGGACUGGACUACUUCCGUGUUGUGGAAGGAACCAGGAUAACUGCUUGUGUCUUUGUCUUUCUUUUCUCUGCUCUGUUCUUUCCGCUGCAUAUCUGAUUCUGAUCAUUUCAUCAGAAGCACUCUCAAACUGCUUCUGAAGUUUUAUCAGAAGAAGGAUUUUUUUUUAGACAGAAAAAGAAAACACAAUUCAACCCCCCCCUUCUUGUGUUUUUCUCACCUUCAAUCUUUAGGUUGACAAUUUAACUUCACGUUCUUUUGUUAGCCUAUUUUCCCAAAUAUAUCAACCAUUAACCCAAGCCAUGCUACAACCCUGAAAGACCUCAAAGUGUGUAUAUAAUUUGAUCUUGACUUUCUCUUUCGAAUUGUCUCAAAUUUACAGCAAGGUACAUUCAUGUGACGACUAGAGUGGGCAAAUGUCGUGACCAGCCCUACUGGAUCUAGGAGAUACAAACGUGUAACAUGGAAAAGAGUAUGGUUGAUUGUAUGAGCUAUCUUCUCCAAGCUUGUCCUGCUAGAAUGUAACAAGGUAAGUAAAUCAAUGAUGUAAAUGUGAUGAAUGAUGAUCUGAGCAACUCUUCGAAAAGGUAUGUUUUUCCUGAAAAAAUGCAAAGAAUAAAAUUUGUUUUCCUUUCAUUACAUGAGCAUAAGCAACAAUUUAAGUUUCAGAUUGUGAUGGCAGGUCAUCAUAAGUUGUUUUUAGAAUGUUUUUCAGUCACGUUUGAUAAGUUUUACAUCUAGAAUAGAUGAGUAUUAGAGAAAUUGCUUAUGAUUUCGGGACAUUUGGAAUGUUUUCUGUAUUUGAGUCUGCGAUUCUAUUCUUCCCGAAACAUAGUUAUUUUAGGGUGUUUUGAUGUAAUUGACGAAGAAAUCAUGCAAAUCGGCAAUGCAAGACAUCUGAAGAGGGUUGAAGACCUUGGGAAGAUGAAGAAUGAAUAUUCAAGAUGCCUCAUAAGGCUUUACAGAGAGAGGAAUUUUAUUCCCAAGUUCCAAGACAUCUUAUAUGGAAGCAAACACCCAAAAAGACGAAGAAAUAGAUGUUCCGGGGCACAGACAGCAUUCACAUGCACCUGACACACGUUUCCGUGACCUUGGGCACACGAUGAGGCGCUGAUGACAGUCGUCAUUAUGUUAUUUUUAUGGUCUUUUAAUGAUAUUUUUAUGGCACUUAGAGAGUCAAUUGCUUGUAUACAUGGUUAAAUCAUCUCAAGAUUCAUAAAAGAGAAGUUUGCACAAAUUGAAGAAGAAUGCAAGAAUUUACUGGAGAAAUCGUGCCACGAUGGACCUGAAUCGUGGCACGUUUGAAGCGUGGAAUUUACCUGAAGAUACUGGAAAAAUCGUGGCACGAUGGACGUAUAACGUGCCACGAUGGUUGAGUAAAUUUGCUGCCACGUAGGAUUAAUGAGCAAAUCGUGCCACGAUGGUCUCGAAACGUGGCACGAUUUUGGGCUUUUCUGAAACCCUAAUUCUUUGUCUAUAAAAGCAAAAUGCGAUCGGAAGGAGAGGGGGGCGAUUUUGGAGACAAAAACAGAGCAUAGAAGACACCAGGAAGCUAAAAGAACACGCAUUGGAUCUCACCAAACUCAUAGUUGGUUCUGGUUUAUGUAUGUUCACUAUUUUCUAUGUAUUUGAUUGUUUAGUUAUGAGUAGCUGAACUCUUAGAUUGAUUAAGCCAUGAGAUGAAUCUUUGUGAUCUGUGAACCAUGUAAUUUGUUAAGAACUCUCUUUGACAUCAAUGAAAACCUAGUCUUUAUUCAGAAUUAUUUGUGCUUAAUGCUUUUCUUAUGAUUGUUUGUAUGACUACUAACCCUAGCUUCUUUCAAUCACAUAAAUUGAUGCUAGGAAUUGAAUGACUACUAACCCUAGCUUUUAAUCCUGAAAUAGUAAUUCUGUUUAAUUCAACAUAGGAACCUAGAGAUAGGAAAUUGAGGAUUAUGACUUAUGAAUUAACGUUCUCACCAUGCUUCCGCGAUUAUUCAAUCGGUUUAAGAGAUUAAAAGGUUAUAACUUAGGAAAGGGUUUUGUGUCAAGAGAUUGAUCAAAACCACUUAGUUAAUCCGUCGUCAAGCUAGGUUAAUUUCUUUGAGAGAGAAGAGAGGCAAAUUACUCACAGUGAGCAAUAGAGAAUUCGAAAGACUUGAUCAUCUGUUUUAAUCCAAUUAUCAAACCAUUUUAUUUCCUGUUAUUUAUUAUUUUAUGCAAACCAAAACUACUGCCUCAGGCACUAAAAUAAUUUACACAUCCUAAAUAUUAAUCUUAUUGCUAAAUUGAAAUUAACACAGUCCUCGUGGGAACGAUAUUUUUACUACUUCGAUAGUUAUUGGUACACUUGCCAAUUAUCUAUCAAGUUUUUGGCGCCGUUGCCGGGGACUGUUGAGUCAUUUCAAUUUGGUAAUUUUGUUUUUAUUUAGGAUUUUUGUCAUUUAUAUUUUUGUUUAUAUAGAUAAAAAAAAUAUAUAUGAGUUAUGCUCUUCUUUUUCUUCUCAUUGUACUGUGCUACUAAAAAGUUUAUCCAAGUUUUGCAGCUAUGAUAGACAGGUUAUACCUCCAUGACACAGAAGAGAUUGGUAUGUUGAAGUAUGAAAAAUAUAUGCUAUCUUUGAAGAUAGGAUAUUUGGACAAAACAAUCUCGAGAUUAAAUGAGAGGUGUGGUCGUUGUGAGGUGGAUCAACCAGGUAGUAAUUGUGAAGAGAAGAAAGAGGUGAUCAACAUCGAUUACCAUACUCAACUUCAAAAUAUUUUAGAUGAAUUCUUGGUGUCAAAUCAAGUUUCAUUUGAGAAGUUUGAUGUUCAGUGUGGUGAUCUUGUUGAGAAGGCACAUGAGUCUCAAAGGAAGUUGGUUAAGAUGGAGAGAGAAUGUCACAAGGUUGUGGUGGAAGAAAAUCCCAAGGUGAGGAGUGUUGAUAUUGGUCCGAAAUCUGAACCAACGGAGAUUAAAGAAAUAACUCGUGUGCAAAUGGAUGCACGUCCUUCUCUAAGGUGGGAGAGCUUAAAUUCCAAAAGAUCAACAAUGAGUGCAUGGGAGUAUCUGAUUCUUUAUGCCAAAUUCAUGGAAUUCCUACCAAACAAGAGGAAGAAGAAGGAUGAUAUAUUCUUUCUAUCAUAUUUGCCACCCUAACAGUGGUUGAAGCGUCAAGCUCAGUGACGUAAAAGAAAGCGCUUGGUGGGAGGCAACCCAUCCUUUUUAUUAUGUUUUCAUUUUCAGUAUUUUAUUCCUAUUGUUGAGUCAGACAAUUGUCACUGUGUUUGAAUAACUCAGUUGUAUUCCCCUGUUUUGUAAUUGUUCUUGCACUUGUUUAUUAUUGAUGAAUUUUCUUGUUUGUUGACUUUUUCCAGUUUAGUAACAAAUGUUUGUUCAAGUGGUAUUCCAAAAGUUCAAAAGGAGGAGCGACUUGUGUUUCAAAGGCGAAGUGUACGACAGUGAAAGAUAGGUAGUCACAACUCCCAGAUAUCAUAACUGUCAGGUUCAUAGCCAAACUUUAUUUUUCCAAUUUUACUUAUAAAGAGUGUUCCAUGCAUUUACAAUUCUAGAACUUGCAAUUUUUCUCUGCUGUCGAUUGAUCUUUGUCAUAUACACACUGAGGCAAAAGUGCUUGGUCCUGUGAGCCUUUUGAAGCCUACCCUGAUUGUUUUGAAAUUUUAUCCUUUCUUUAGCCAAAUUGAGCCGGUAGGUUUAGAUCUUUUUGUUCGGUGACAAACUACAUUACAAGCUUAGAGACUUUUAGGAUUUAUCCCUUUUUGUUUUUCUGAGUUAGGCAUUGUAGAAUGUUGCUAAAUAUUAAGUUUGGGGUUGCUAUUGGAAUUUGCAACCAAUUAAGUUUGGGGUGGAGAUACUAGAGAACAAAAAAGAAAAGAAAAAAAAAAAAAAAGAGAAAUUCUCAUGAAAACAAUAUGCAAAAAAAAAAAGAAAAAAAAAAGAGAAUAGAAUGAAAAAGGGACAAAGAAUUGAAAAACCGAGUAACUUCAAACUCGAUUGUCCCAAUUGUUAUAAAUAAUCUCUAGUAUCCUUGCAAGAGUUGUUGUUCCAAAAGGUGAAUGAAUGAUGGAUUGAAUUUUGUGUUUAACUUCCGUAGGAGUGCCUAACUCAAAUUUUGUGUAGCCUACUUAUCCAAAUAUAUCCCAACUUCACCUAAGCCCCAUUAUAACCCUUUAAGACCUCAAGGUGUGCAUUGACAUUGAUUUUGAUUGAUGUUUAGAAACUUUUCAAGCUUAUGGUAAUAUGUAGAUUGCAUGUCGACUGUGUGUGAACCCUUUCAAAUGUUUGCGUGGAGUUGUGAAUUGGUGGUUGCUAACAAGCCAAACUAGCUCAUCUUUAGCUAGUAAGGUGUUGAACUUUUGGGUACUAUCGCUUGAUCAGGUAAUUGUUAUUUUACUGUCGAUUGUCAAUGAUGCAAGUAAAUUCCUUGAGGACAAGGAAUAAUUCAAGUUUGGGGUUGUGAUGACAGUCGUCAUUAUGUUAUUUUUAUGGUCUUUUAAUGAUAUUUUUAUGGCACUUAGAGAGUCAAUUGCUUGUAUACAUGGUUAAAUCAUCUCAAGAUUCAUAAAAGAGAAGUUUGCACAAAUUGAAGAAGAAUGCAAGAAUUUACUGGAGAAAUCGUGCCACGAUGGACCUGAAUCGUGGCACGUUUGAAGCGUGGAAUUUACCUGAAGAUACUGGAAAAAUCGUGGCACGAUGGACGUAUAACGUGCCACGAUGGUUGAGUAAAUUUGCUGCCACGUAGGAUUAAUGAGCAAAUCGUGCCACGAUGGUCUCGAAACGUGGCACGAUUUUGGGCUUUUCUGAAACCCUAAUUCUUUGUCUAUAAAAGCAAAAUGCGAUCGGAAGGAGAGGGGGGCGAUUUUGGAGACAAAAACAGAGCAUAGAAGACACCAGGAAGCUAAAAGAACACGCAUUGGAUCUCACCAAACUCAUAGUUGGUUCUGGUUUAUGUAUGUUCACUAUUUUCUAUGUAUUUGAUUGUUUAGUUAUGAGUAGCUGAACUCUUAGAUUGAUUAAGCCAUGAGAUGAAUCUUUGUGAUCUGUGAACCAUGUAAUUUGUUAAGAACUCUCUUUGACAUCAAUGAAAACCUAGUCUUUAUUCAGAAUUAUUUGUGCUUAAUGCUUUUCUUAUGAUUGUUUGUAUGACUACUAACCCUAGCUUCUUUCAAUCACAUAAAUUGAUGCUAGGAAUUGAAUGACUACUAACCCUAGCUUUUAAUCCUGAAAUAGUAAUUCUGUUUAAUUCAACAUAGGAACCUAGAGAUAGGAAAUUGAGGAUUAUGACUUAUGAAUUAACGUUCUCACCAUGCUUCCGCGAUUAUUCAAUCGGUUUAAGAGAUUAAAAGGUUAUAACUUAGGAAAGGGUUUUGUGUCAAGAGAUUGAUCAAAACCACUUAGUUAAUCCGUCGUCAAGCUAGGUUAAUUUCUUUGAGAGAGAAGAGAGGCAAAUUACUCACAGUGAGCAAUAGAGAAUUCGAAAGACUUGAUCAUCUGUUUUAAUCCAAUUAUCAAACCAUUUUAUUUCCUGUUAUUUAUUAUUUUAUGCAAACCAAAACUACUGCCUCAGGCACUAAAAUAAUUUACACAUCCUAAAUAUUAAUCUUAUUGCUAAAUUGAAAUUAACACAGUCCUCGUGGGAACGAUAUUUUUACUACUUCGAUAGUUAUUGGUACACUUGCCAAUUAUCUAUCAGGCGCCGAGCGCAUGAGUGUAGGCGCCUGGCGCCCAGAAACUCACUCACAUGCGCCUGGCGCAUGGUUCUAGGCGUCCGGCGCCUGUUCCUUGCGGGCCAAGAUGUUGUUUUGUGACUUUUUGGCGUGAAAAGCUCGGUAUUUUAGCCCAAGUUCAGGGGAAACUGUAACGCCCACUUUCGUUUAAUUAAUUAUUUAAUCGAGUUUAUGCCAUUAUAUUAUAUUUUUAUAAUAUAUAUGUGAGUUUUGUUGAAUUUAGAAGAGUUAAGUUGAUUUGAAAGAUUUGACGUGUUUUGAUGAUUUGAUAAGAUUAUGAGACUUAUUUUAUUGUUAAAUAAAAUAAGAUUUGAUAAGAAAAUAAAAAUAUUUAGUUGAGGGCUGUUUUGAUAUUUUAGAUAGUUUUGGGGGAGAAAGUGAGAUAAGAUAAGUAAUUAAGAGGAGAUAUAAAAGAGAUAGACCUAGUUUUAGAAAAACAUUGUUGUACGUACGUUUUUGGAGAAAAAGGGAGAAAACCAAGAGAAGAACAAGAGAGACCUUGGAGGGCUGCGAUUUCUACACAUUAAGGUAAGGGUGAGACUAAUAAUUCAAUAAUGUUAGUUGUUGUAAUUCUGAUGAUUAAUUAACAAAGUUAGGAUUGAUUUAGAAAAGUUUUGGAAUUAGGUCAAAAACCUAGAAAUUGAUGAUCAAACGGUAUAAUGAUGUUAGAUUGAUGUAGAAACCAUCCUACAACUUAGAAUAUGUUUAGGAUGAAUUCUGAGAUUGAAAUUAGGCUUAGAACCUUGUUAGAUGAUGAUUUUCGUGUAGAAAAUGCAUCAAGUCCGAGCCUAAAUUCAUCGCUCGCCAUGGCGAGUGUUAUACCCUGUUUUUGGACCUAAAAAUGCUGGGCCCAAUUUCAUUUCAAACUUUGUCAAAUGUCAAAUUUCAACUGCACAGUUCAAUUUGUCUCUGCUACGCAGUGUUUUCAAUCACAUUUUUACCUAUGUUUUUCUUGCAUAAAACCUUUCAAAAUGUCUUUACUUGUCUUGUAAGUCAUUCAAAAGUGUCUCUGAACCAUUACAUUGCUUUUUCUACAGUUUAUUUCAAAAUUUGCAAAAGGUCAUAUAGAAGGGUAUUUUGGUCAUUUCCUGCAGUGGGACCCAUUUUCAUCCUUGUGACUGUCUCUGAGUCUUUUCAGAUUGAUUUUUAACAUUUCAUCAGUAAACCUUGUUAAAUUCAUUUCAAACUUGCAUCUGAGUCAGUGUCAAGUCAAUUUGAGUUGGUUUAGGUCAUUUUUAGCCCUAGGGGCAUUUUGGUCAUUUCACAUGAAAUUUUGGCAUGGGGAGGUUACUUUGAAGUACCUCAUUUAGGCCAUUGGUUCGUUUUAGUCCGUUUUGUCAAUUUUAUUUUUGUUUCGCUUUACGUUUGGUCAAAUUACGUUUUUUAUUCAAUUUCGUUUUUAAUUGCAUUUUGGUCCCUCAAUUGAGGUCCCAAAAUUGCAUUUUUAGUCCAGAAUUUUCUUUUUUUACAUUUCAGUCCUUUUUGGAUUAUUUGCAGUUUAGUCCUUGAAGUUUUAUUUUUUGCAGAAAGGUCCAAAUUUCUUUUUUUGUCCAAGCCGUGCCACUCUCAUACAAUUCCAGGUGUCAUGCUCUCAUUGGCUCAAGUGUACACAUGUCAACUAUAUAAACAGUGAGUCAGAUUCAAAGCCAUUGAUCACACGCCACCUCAACAAACAGAGAACUCUCUCUCUCUCUUAGCAGUUACAGAUCAAAACAGAAAUUCUCAAGAACAUGAAGAACACAAAACCCUAACUGUUUCCAGAAAGUCACAAAUUCAUCAAGUUUCAGUGUUUUUCGUAUCAAUUCUCAGAGAUUCGCAUGAAUCUUCAUCACUGAAUUGAUCUUUCUCUGCAAUUCCAAACGCGAGCUCGCGUUGAAGCAAGCUCAAGCGUUGAUCACAGAGCGUGAAAAGAAGAGGGAAAGAAGCAAAGUUCUAAACCGGCGAAGAAGAUGAAAAAACGGAAUCAGUGAGAAAAGGAGAAUCACCGAUUUAUUUUCGGUCCAAGAACAAGCAAAGGAAUCAAAAAACCAGCAAGAACAUUCAAGUUUUCCCAAAGAUUUUCUCCAUUAAAGGUUUCAACCAAAACCUUAGGUAAAACUCAGAAUCUUUUCUCAGAAAUAAUAUCACUGUUAAACCUAAAAAUCACGCAAGCAAAACAGAUUCAAAAUUUCCAGAAUUCAAAGCCAAAACUAUAACCGUAAACACCAAAACCUAGAUCCGUGAGGAUCAAAGUUUUGAAAUCAAGAACAAGUACCAGAAAAGCAGUGAAUAACGAAACGAUGUAGAUUCUUAAAGAUCCAAACGUUUUCGUUCAAAAAGAUCAAAAAAAUCAGUUUCAAAACCGUACAAAGUUUUUCCAGAUCUACAUCAUUUCAAGCUGUAUUUGAGAAAUUUCUUGAUAGAUUCGUGUUUAGGGUUAAAGGACGAAUCAAAAGGUGCAAAAAUAUUUGAGUUCUGGAAAUUUUUUCACCGGAAACUGCUAGGUCUCGCCGGAGAAGAUGAAGUUUCCGGCGGACCUUCAAGGUCUCCGCCGUAGCUUCAUCCUCACCGGCGGUGAGGGUUUAGAGAGAGAUGAGAGAAGAGAGAGGGGUUAGAGAGAGAAAGAAGAAUACGAAAUGAAAAAACCGGCGCGCUAGGGUUUAUAUAGAGUGCUAGACCGGACCGGUUCAAGACCGGUCCAAUCCCAUGCGUUGUGAGCCCUUAGAUCUAGGGUUUGGGAUCUUGGAUCAAUCCAACGAUCCCUGAGCGUUCCUGUGAAAUCCGGAUCCCUUGGCUUUGGGCCUGGGCCUCUUUUCUUUGCUUUUCUACGUUUUUGCUUUUUUUGUGCUAUUUGCAUCGUAUUUCCUUGCUAUCUGCACCUAUUGUUUGUUUACUUCUUUUACAAAAAUCCCUAAAAAAUCCUGGUUGUUUCUUGAUGUAUUUUUGGUAUGUCUAUGGUAUUUUUGCAUAAAAAAAAAUGUUAAAAUGGCAUGAACUAAUUUCCAUGAGUUUCUACACUUUUGGUAUGUAUUUUGCUAUGUUUUGUUCUUGGUAUUUUGAUAUUAUGACAUGAAUGAAUGAUGCCUAAUAUGGUGAUGAACAUGCCUCUGGAAAUGUGCUUAUUUUUGUUGUGUUUGGAUAUGAUUUUAUGGAUUUCUUGUUUUACAAGAAAUAAUUGUUUAUUUUUUAGAAUAAAGUGGCAAAUUUCUCUAUGAACUUGGUGUGAUAUUUUGCAUGCAUAUGCCUCCAUUAAUUGCAUGUCAUGGCUUGAAACAAAAUUUCUUUCUAAAUUGCCAUGAUGUGAUGAUUAUGGGUCACUAGCAUCUUUAAGUAUCAUAUCAAAUGUCUUCUAGGUUUACUACCACUUUAUUACUUUUUCUUUGCCAUCUUUAUGCAUUUCCUUUUAAUUACCUCCUACUAUUGUGUACUUUAUGAUUACUAACCAUUUCAUCUCAUGUGCCAUACAUUUCAUAACAUUCCACCACUCUCUCCACUUUCUUUAGCUUAGCAUUUUUCAUUUUUUUUCUUUUUUGCAAGUUUUAAUUCAUUUGGUAAUGUAACUUGUUAUCAUUGGUUUGUAGCUUGGCAAAGGGGCCAUAGAAUGUAUUUAGGUAAUGUUGUAAUAUGGACUAUGGACACUAUGACGCACCGACACGCACACACUCACCUUAGAUGUAUGCAUAGGAUUGUAUGGUUAAAUAAGCGUUUAGGUUUUAAACACUUAGAGAAAAUCCAUCUUUUUUUCAAAAAAAAAAACAAUUGAACUUCACUUCAAAAAUUUUCAUAAUAAAUAUGAAGUCAACGCUUCAUUUUUUCCUUUCUUUUCUUUUUUUUCUUAAGAAAAAUUCAAUUCAUCUUAACCAUUUAGACUUUCUUUUUAAUCAUUAAUCAAACCUCACUUUUUUUGCUAAAUCUGAUGCUCAUGAAGCCUCCCAAUCUCCUUCUUCAAAACCAUUUUCAAAACUUAAAAUCAAACAAUUAAAACAAAAAAAAACAACAAGUCUUUUUAGCAAGAACUACGCCGGUUUUGAUCCCGUAAAACGGUACGUAGGCAAUGAGUCAAAACUCAUCCAAGCCGAAAUAAAAUCAAAUUCUACUUCUUCUCACCCCCAUUCUUAACUAAUCACACUUUCCCUUUUUUACAAAUAAGCAAUAAAACUAAAGCGUAGAAAUAAACUUAGGAGAACGGUUCUUAUGGAAUACCAUAAUCGCUCCGGGUGCCUAACACCUUCCCGUAGCGAAAACGACCCCCGAACUUAGAAUCUAAGGGUUUUUCUCAAUUUUGCCCUUCCCAAGAAAAAAUAGAGAAUAUCAACGGUCAAAAGGUUCAAGUCCAAUUAAUGGCUUGGCACCCAAAAACCAUGAUAACAGAAAUGGCGACUUCACUGGGGAUUCUUUUUAGCGGGUCGCGCCUAGUUUUCCUUAGUUUAUAUUUACGCUUUAUUUUAUUGCUUACAUAUGUGAAUAUUUGUUUACUUUCAUUCAACGUGUGGGGUGAGAAUAUCAAAAGUCCUAACCCGGGCUGAGUGAACUUAUGUUUAGGUAGAGAUAUAAUCGACAAUUCGAUCCGGGGGUUGCCUCGUGUAUUGGAUUAUGCGAUCAAUCUCACAUAGCUGAGGCAUUUUGAAGGUGAUAUUGUCGGCGUGUGUUGUCAUGCUUAGGCACUUCACUUUCAAUUGUUCGACGAAGCUAUGAACCGUAGUUACCAAACCCAUCCUAGCCUUUUUAGGACGUAGUGCGGUGGCUAAAUUGAGUGUUGUCUCAAACUUUAGUCGUCACGCGAUACUACACUCAAACUAGACCUUCUCACAAAUAAUCAUGGAACGGGUGUCGUCCUGUACUACCAUGAUAUAUGUGAGAGAGGUUGCAGUCUGGGAACUGUGUUAGAACCUUGGUUACUACUAUCCAAAGCCGUAGUUCACCGGACGCCGUGUCCAUCCGUGGCCCCGUUACUUUGAAACUCAACCCACUUUUAAACAACACAAUCAUGCAUACAUGCAUUCAUGCAUAAACAUUUUUCAUGCAUUCAUCGAAGGGUUUAAACAAAUGAGAAUUUUUGUAAAUAAUCACAGGUAUGAAGAAGACUAAGUGCUACAAGUUCAAGGAAGUAGAUUUGGUUAGUUUGAGAGAGUUGGCACUCAAGGUCAAGAGUCAAACAGGGUUCCGACUCCGGUAUGGGGGAUUGCUUACUUUGCUCCGAACCGAUGUGGACGAGAAGCUAGUGCACACUCUAGUGCAAUUUUAUGAUCCGAGCUUCCGUUGCUUCACUUUCCCGGACUUCCAGUUGGUUCCUACUCUCGAGGCUUACUCCAAUCUAGUGGGUUUACCUAUAGCCGAGAAAGCACCUUUCGCCGGUCCCGGGGCUCCUCUUACUUCUCUGGUUAUUGCUAAGGAUCUCUACCUCAAGACUUCCGACGUCUCCAACCAUCUUAUUACCAAAUCUCACAUCCGGGGGUUCACUUCGAAGUAUCUUCUUGAUCAGGCUAAUCUCAGUACUACUCGUCAGGAUACACUCGAGGCUAUUCUUGCUUUGCUUAUCUACGGGCUCAUUCUCUUUCCGAACCUCGACAACUUCGUGGACAUGAAUGCCAUUGAGAUCUUCCAUUCCAAGAACCCGGUUCCUACUUUGCUAGCAGAUACCUACCACGCCAUUCAUGACAGGACUCUCAAGGGCCGUGGGUAUAUUCUUUGCUGCACAUCUCUUUUGUAUAGGUGGUUUAUUUCGCACCUUCCGAGUUCCUUCCAUGACAACUCGGAGAACUGGUCCUACUCGCAGCGGAUUAUGGCCCUUACUCCUAAUGAGGUCGUCUGGCUCACUCCUGCCGCUCAAGUGAAGGAAAUCAUUAUGGGUUGCGGAGACUUUCUCAAUGUACCUCUUCUUGGUACCCGUGGGGGAAUCAACUACAACCCCGAGCUUGCUAUGAGACAGUUUGGUUUCCCUAUGAAGUCGAAGCCCAUCAAUCUUGCUACGUCUCCGGAGUUCUUCUUCUACACGAAUGCUCCUACCGGACAAAGGAAAGCUUUCAUGGAUGCUUGGUCCAAGGUUCGAAGGAAGAGUGUGAAGCAUCUAGGUGUGAGAUCCGGUGUCGCUCAUGAGGCCUAUACUCAGUGGGUGAUAGAUCGAGCUGAGGAGAUUGGUAUGCCUUAUCCAGCUAUGAGAUACGUGUCUUCGUCUACUCCAUCUAUGCCUCUACCUCUACUUCCCGCGACUCAGGAUAUGUAUCAGGAGCAUCUAGCUAUGGAGAGUCGUGAGAAGCAAGUGUGGAAAGCUCGGUACAAUCAAGCUGAGAAUCUAAUCAUGACUUUGGAUGGUAGAGAUGAGCAGAAGACUCAUGAGAAUCUGAUGUUGAAGAAAGAACUAGCUAAGGCCCGGAGGGAACUAGAAGAGAAAGACGAGCUGCUUAUGAGGGAUUCCAAGAGAGCUCGAGGACGACGAGACUUCUUUGCCAGAUACUGUGAUUCAGAUUCCGAGUCCGAUGAUCUUCCGACUACUUCCUAUGCUUGAGAGCUUUAUUUGUUUACCUUGUUGAAAAUGUUGUGUAAUUUUGAUUAUUUGCAAGAUUUCUAAUUUGUUUUAAAAUCCUUCGAUGAAAAAAAUAAGUCUUUUGCAUUCGCAUUUGCAUAUCAUGCAUCAUAUGCAUCAUGCAUUGGUCACAAAGGCUUCCAAGUGCUCACUAUCUCCUGGUUCCUCUGCCGCAGUGUGAAAAGUGGCUCGUGCUCAGAGAGUUUACGAACCAGAUAGAAUUGAUCGAACCAGAGAAUACAGAAGAAAGAAAAGGGCUAUGGAAGAAGAGAACGCUCAGCUUCGCACCGAGUUAGCCUCUCUAAAGGAGGAAUUGGCUAAAGCUAAUGACGUCAUGACUGCUCUACUAGCUGCUCAAGAGCAAUCAGCUACAGCUAUCCCUACAACCACAGCUGCACCAGUAACUACAAGCGUGCUCCCUACCACUUCUGCAGACAAUCGCUUUACUAUGCCAGUGGGGUUUCCGUAUGGGCUUCCACCGUUCUUCACUCCCGUUGCUACAGCAAGCACCUCGGGCACUGCUAACAAUGUUCUGAUCCCUGCAACAAAUGCCGCCUCCAUCAUUGCUACCUUGCCACAAACAACAGCAGCUGUCACUGAGCCUCUGGUACACACUCUGCCUCAAGGUAUUAACAUCAACACACAGCACAGGAGCAUCCCCGUAACCAAGACUAUGGAAGAGAUGAUGGAGGAACUUGCUAAAGAACUCCGUCACGAGAUCCAGGCCAAUCGAGGGAAUGCAGACUCUGUCAAAACUCAAGACCUUUGCUUAGUGUCAAAAGUGGAUGUUCCUAAAAAGUUCAAGAUUCCGGACUUCGACCGGUACAACGGGCUAACUUGUCCUCAAAAUCACAUCAUCAAAUACGUCCGGAAGAUGGGCAAUUACAAAGACAAUGAUUCCCUUAUGAUCCACUGUUUUCAGGAUAGUCUGAUGGAGGAUGCCGCAGAGUGGUAUACUAGUUUGAGUAAGAAUGACAUCCAUACCUUUGAUGAGUUAGCCACCGCUUUCAAGAGCCAUUAUGGGUUAACACUCGACUGAGGCCAAAUAGGGAGUUUCUCAGGUCCCUAUCUCAAAAGAAGGAGGAAAGUUUCCGUGAAUAUGCGCAAAGGUGGAGAGGGGCAGCUGCCCGUAUCACUCCUGCUUUAGAUGAGGAAGAAAUGACCCAGACAUUCUUAAAGACCUUGAAGAAGGAUUAUGUUGAGAGGAUGAUCAUCGCUGCCCCGAACAACUUUUCGGAGAUGGUCACUAUGGGAACCCGUCUUGAGGAAGCCGUCAGGGAUGGAAUUAUUGUGUUUGAGAAAGCUGAAUCUUCUACGAGCGCAUCGAAGAGGUAUGGUAAUGGACACCACAAGAAGAAAGAAACGGAAGUGGGGAUGGUGUCAGCGGGAGCCGGUCAAUCCAUGGCUACCGUCGCUCCUAUCAAUGCAGCUCAAAUGCCUCCGUCAUACCCAUAUAUGCCGUAUUCUCAGCAUCCGUUCUUCCCACCGUUUUAUCAUCAGUACCCUUUGCCGCCGGGCCAGCCUCAAGUGCCCGUCAAUGCAAUUGCCCAACAGAUGAAACAACAGAUGCCGGUUCAACAACAACAACAAAAUCAGCAAGCUAGGCCUACUUUCCCUCCGAUACCGAUGUUAUAUGCUGAGUUGCUUCCAACUUUACUCCAGAGAGGGCAUUGUACAACUAGACAGGGCAAGCCACCACCUGAUCCGUUGCCUCCAAGGUUCAGGUCUGAUCUCAAAUGUGAUUUUCAUCAAGGUGCUUUAGGUCAUGACGUCGAGGGGUGUUAUGCUUUGAAGUAUAUCGUGAAGAAGCUCAUCGAUCAAGGGAAGCUGACUUUUGAGAAUAAUGUUCCACAUGUCCUUGACAAUCCGCUACCAAAUCAUGCCGCUGUGAAUAUGAUCGAAGUGUGUGAAGAAGCUCCGAGACUUGAUGUCCGCAACGUCGCAACUCCUCUGGUGCCUCUGCACAUCAAGCUGUGCAAAGCUUCUCUGUUCAGCCAUGAUCAUGCCAAGUGUCUAGGAUGCCUCCGUGAUCCUUUGGGUUGCCAUGCUGUUCGAGACGACAUCCAAAGCUUGAUGGAUGAUAAUCUUCUGACUGUCAGUGAUGUUUGCGUGGUCGUGCCAGUUUUUCACGAUCCGCCUGUCAAGAGUGUACCUUUGAAGAAGUGUGCUGAGCCUUUGGUGAUAAGGUUGCCAGGACCAAUUCCUUAUGUUUCGGACAAGGCAGUGCCAUACAAGUACAAUGCUACUAUGAUAGAAAAUGGAGUAGAGGUGCCUCUAGCCUCCUUUGCCACAGUAAGCAAUAUUGCCGAAGGGACUUCUGCAGCACUAAGAAGCGGGAAGGUCCGUCCGCCGUUAUUUCAGAAGAAAGUAGCUACACCGACCAUUCCGCCAGUUGAAGAAGCAACUCCAACCGUUGUUUCACCCAUUGCUACAGACGUGAACCAGUCAGGCAAAUCUAUAGAGGAUUCAAAUUUAGAUGAGAUUCUGAGGAUAAUAAAGAGGAGCGACUACAAGAUCGUUGAUCAGUUGCUGCAGACUCCUUCGAAGAUAUCUGUCUUGUCAUUACUCUUAAGCUCUGAGGCUCACAGGAAUACUUUGUUGAAAGUGCUGGAGCAGGCUUAUGUUGACCACGAAGUUACGGUAGAUCGGUUUGGUGGCAUAGUGGGAAAUAUUACUGCCUGUAACAACCUCUGGUUCAGUGAAGAAGAGUUGCCGGAAGCGGGAAAGAGUCACAAUCUGGCUUUACACAUCUCGGUGAAUUGUAAAUCAGACAUGAUAUCAAAUGUGUUGGUGGAUACCGGUUCCUCCCUCAAUGUAAUGCCCAAGACAACUCUAGAUCAGUUGAGCUACCGUGGGACCCCGUUGAGGAGAAGUACUUUCUUGGUCAAAGCUUUUGAUGGAUCUCGAAAGAAUGUGCUGGGAGAGAUAGACUUGCCGAUAACCAUUGGCCCUGAGAAUUUCUUGGUUACUUUCCAAGUGAUGGACAUUAAUGCAUCCUACAGUUGCCUGCUGGGAAGACCGUGGAUACACGAUGCAGGGUCUGCUGAAGGAACUGCUUUCCAAGGUUUGACCAUUGAAGGUGCAGAGUCUAAGGAAGCUGGGGCUGCUAUGGCUUCAUUGAAGGAUGCUCAGAGAGCCAUUCAAGAAGGUCAGACUGCCGGCUGGGGGAAGGUGAUACAGCUCUGUGAGAACAAGCGUAAAGAAGGUCUCGGGUUCUCCCCGUCAUCAAGGGUUUCCUCAGGAGUUUUCCACAGUGCAGGGUUUGUUAAUGCUAUCUCUGAAGAAGCCACUGGAUCUGGUCUCAGGCCUGUAUUUGUUACACCAGGAAGCAUUGCGAGAAAUUGGGAUGCCAUUGACAUUCCUUCAAUCAUGCAUGUUUCUGAGUAAUGCGUCUUGUUGCUUUAGCGCUUUGUUUUCAAAAAUAACAAUCCUCUCGCUCUGCCCAAAACGAGAGUGAUAUUUUCUGUAAGGGCAUGUUUGUUUCGGCAUUGCCGUUGAUUAAUAAAAUUUUGUCGUUUCUUCCACGACUACUUUUUUUAGUGCUUUUUCCCUUGGAAACAAUGGUAAUGCCAGAAAAAACCAAAAUGUCUGUAUUUUCUUAUUAAUUUCAAAAUCUGCAUGAAAAAAAAACUCUUUCUAAAAUCAUCCAAAUCAUUAUAUGCAGGUUGAACCAUAAUAAACCCGUUGAACACAGUAAUCCUACGGUUCCUCCAAAUUUUGAAUUCCCUGUGUAUGAAGCCGAAGAUGAGGAAGGUGAUGACGUACCAUAUGAGAUUAUUCGGUUACUUGAGCAAGAAAAGAAAGCCAUUCAGCCUCACCAAGAAGAGAUUGAGCUUAUCAAUAUAGGUACCGAGGAGAACAAGCGGGAAAUCAAGAUCGGUGCUGCUCUAGGGGAAGAGGUUAAAAGUAAGAUCAUCCAGCUCCUCCGGGAAUAUCCGGAUAUUUUCGCAUGGUCCUAUGAAGAUAUGCCAGGUCUAGACCCUAUGAUCGUGGAGCAUCGGAUCCCUACCAAGCCUGAAUGUCCUCCCGUCAGGCAGAAAUUGAGAAGGACUCAUCCUGACAUGGCCCUCAAGAUCAAGAAUGAAGUUCAAAAACAGAUUGAUGCGGGUUUCCUCAUGACAGUUGAGUACCCUGAAUGGGUUGCUAAUAUUGUGCCAGUGCCGAAGAAGGAUGGUAAAGUCCGGAUGUGUGUUGACUUCAGGGACUUGAACAAAGCCAGUCCAAAAGACAACUUUCCGUUACCUCAUAUUGAUGUGCUUGUUGAUAAUACUGCUCAAUCUAAGGUGUUCUCCUUCAUGGACGGUUUUUCCGGUUAUAAUCAAAUCAAAAUGUCUCCUGAAGAUAGAGAAAAGACAUCUUUUAUCACUCCAUGGGGUACCUUCUGCUACAAAGUGAUGCCGUUCGGCCUAAUCAAUGCUGGUGCUACCUACCAAAGGGGAAUGACCACUCUGUUUCAUGACAUGAUUCACAAAGAAGUUGAGGUAUAUGUGGAUGACAUGAUUGUGAAGUCAACAGAUGAGGAACAGCAUGUUGAAUAUUUAACAAAGAUGUUUGAAAGGUUAAGAAAAUACAAGCUGCGAUUGAAUCCCAACAAAUGUACAUUCGGUGUCAGGUCCGGAAAGUUAUUAGGCUUCAUUGUCAGCCAAAAGGGCAUUGAAGUCGAUCCUGAUAAAGUCCGGGCCAUCCGAGAAAUGCCAGCUCCACAGACAGAGAAGCAAGUCAGAGGUUUCUUGGGACGUUUGAAUUACAUCUCCCGAUUCAUAUCUCAUAUGACUGCAACUUGCGGGCCGAUCUUCAAGCUACUCAGAAAGAACCAGCCUAUUGUAUGGAAUGAUGAAUGCCAAGAAGCUUUUGAUAGCAUCAAGAAUUACCUGCUGGAACCACCUAUCCUUGUCCCACCCGUGGAAGGAAGGCCUUUGAUUAUGUAUUUGGCAGUGUUUGAUGAAUCCAUGGGAUGCGUGCUUGGUCAACAAGAUGAAACUGGAAAGAAAGAGCAUGCUAUCUACUAUCUAAGCAAGAAGUUCACCGACUGCGAAACUCGGUAUACAAUGCUUGAGAAGACUUGUUGUGCUUUGGCCUGGGCCGCUAAACGCCUGCGCCAUUAUUUGGUGAAUCAUACAACUUGGUUGAUAUCCAGAAUGGAUCCGAUAAAGUAUAUCUUUGAGAAAGCGGCCGUUACUGGGAAGAUCGCACGCUGGCAGAUGCUUUUGUCUGAAUAUGAUAUUGUGUUCAAAACUCAAAAGGCAAUCAAAGGCAGCAUUCUUGCCGAUCACCUUGCUUAUCAACCUCUUGAUGAUUACCAACCAAUUGAAUUUGAUUUCCCUGAUGAAGAGAUCAUGUAUUUGAAAUCCAAAGACUGCGACGAACCGUUGAUUAAUGAAGGUCCAGAUCCCAAUAGCAAGUGGGGUUUAGUCUUUGAUGGUGCUGUCAAUGCUUAUGGCAAAGGAAUUGGGGCAGUCAUUGUAUCCCCGCAGGGGCAUCACAUCCCUUUUACCGCCAGAAUUCUGUUCGAAUGUACAAACAACAUGGCUGAGUAUGAAGCAUGUAUCUUUGGGAUCGAGGAAGCAAUUGACAUGAGAAUCAAACACCUCGACAUCUAUGGAGAUUCUGCGCUCGUCAUCAAUCAGAUAAAGGGUGAAUGGGAGACCCACCAUGCUAAUUUGAUUCCUUAUCGUGAUUAUGCGAGACGUCUGCUGACAUAUUUUACAAAGGUUGAGCUGCACCAUAUUCCUCGUGAUGAGAACCAAAUGGCUGAUGCUCUUGCUACUCUAUCCUCCAUGUUUCAAGUAAACCAUUGGAAUGAUGUGCCAAUAAUUAAAGUGCAACGCCUUGAAAGACCUUCACAUGUGUUUGCUAUUGGGGAUGUGAUCGAUCAGGCUGGUGAAAAUGUGGUUGACUAUAGACCUUGGUAUUAUGACAUCAAGCAGUUCUUGCUGAGCCGUGAGUAUCCGCCGGGUGCUUCCAAACAAGAUAAGAAGACCCUGAGAAGAUUGGCCGGUAGAUUCCUGUUAGAUGGAGAUAUUCUGUACAAGAGAAACUAUGACAUGGUAUUGUUAAGAUGUGUUGAUGAACAUGAAGCGGAGCAGUUAAUGCAUGAUGUACAUGACGGUACCUUCGGGACCCAUGCUACAGGGCAUACUAUGUCGAGGAAGUUGUUGCGAGCAGGUUACUACUGGAUGGCCAUGGAGCAUGAUUGCUACCAAUACGCCAGAAAAUGCCACAAAUGUCAAAUCUAUGCUGAUAAGAUUCAUGUGCCUCCGCACGCUCUCAAUGUUAUGUCAUCUCCAUGGCCGUUCUCAAUGUGGGGCAUCGACAUGAUUGGAAGAAUUGAACCGAAGGCUUCAAAUGGUCAUCGUUUCAUCUUAGUGGCAAUUGACUACUUUACCAAAUGGGUUGAAGCAGCAUCUUAUACCAAUGUGACCAAGCAAGUGGUAGCUAAGUUCAUCAAGAACAACAUCAUCUGUCGAUAUGGUGUUCCCAGCAAGAUUAUUACCGACAAUGGUACCAACCUGAACAACAAUGUGGUGCAAGCUCUUUGCGAAGAAUUCAAAAUUGAGCAUCAUAACUCCUCUCCUUAUAGACCUCAGAUGAAUGGUGCAGUUGAGGCCGCCAACAAGAAUAUCAAGAGAAUUGUCCAGAAGAUGGUAACCACUUACAAGGACUGGCAUGAGAUGUUACCCUAUGCUCUGCAUGGCUACCGUACUACCGUGCGCAGUUCAACCGGGGCUACCCCUUUCUCUCUUGUAUAUGGUAUGGAAGCAGUUCUUCCUUUGGAAGUGGAGAUCCAUCUCUCCGUGUGAUAAUGGAAGCAAAGUUAUCUGAGGCUGAAUGGUGCCAAAGCCGGUAUGAUCAGUUGAAUUUGAUUGAGGAAAAACGUAUGGAUGCCAUGGCUCGUGGACAGUCAUAUCAAGCAAGAAUGAAGACUGCUUUUGAUAAGAAAGUCCAUCCUCGAGAAUUCAAGGUAGGGGAACUUGUAUUGAAAAGGAGGAUAAGCCAGCAACCCGACCCAAGGGGCAAGUGGACGCCUAACUAUGAAGGUCCUUAUGUUGUCAAGAAGGCCUUCUCCGGUGGUGCUUUAAUCCUUACACACAUGGAUGGUGUAGAACUUCCAAAUCCAGUGAAUGUCGAUAUAGUCAAGAAAUACUUCGCCUAGAAAUGUGAAAAGAACAGCGUGGUAGGUCGAAAACCCGAAAGGGCGGCCUAGGCAAAAAUGCGCUUCCUGGUGGAUCGAAAACCCGAAAGGGCGGUCCAGGCAAAAAUAAGGGACAAAAACAAAUAUGAAAAGCUCGCUGAGAUUGUACACAACUCAGGCAAGAAUGAGUGUCUCGAUGAGCCGAAAACCCGGAAGGGCGGUUCAUGCAAAAAUGAGAUUGAAACAAAAGGCAAGUAACUAUAUCUGGCCAACCACCGUCCCCCUUGGGGCAUCUGCAGCUGUUAAUGACCAUCUUCAUCUGAAGCUUCCGCAUUUGUGAAAUCAAAGUUUUUGGGAAAUGUAAUGAUUACUGUGUUCAAUGUACCACCAACCAAUAAAAUUACCAUUUUCCAAGCUUUGUGAAUCCGUGGAGUCACGCCUUCGGCUGACCACCACUCUUAUACAUCAAAUUGAGCCUAUGCUUUUGUUUAAAACUCUAUUUUCUUCUAUUUUCAAAGCUAUAUACAAAUCAUUUUCCUUCUAUUUUGAUAAUGACAAUGCUUGAAACAAACAUUUUGAAAAAUUGAAAACCUUUUGUCUAUUUUGAAAAGCAAACCUGAGCAACAGGGUACAUUCAAAUGAAACAUGCAUGAGCGAGGGUAUGUUGGUGUCUAUUUCAAUAUGUGUUACAAGCAGGUUCUCCUCCAAGAUAAUCUGUGGUCAAUGGCAAGAAUGAAAAAACAGAAUGAAAAUGCAUGAAAAUAAAUGAGCUCGCUAAGUUGAAAACCCGAAAGGGCGGCUUAGGCAAAAAUGAGCACCCCGCUGGAUUGAAAACCCGAAAGGGCAGUUCAGGCAAAAAUGGGGCAUUAAAAAGAAUUUAUUUCCCCGGUGGAUCGAAAACCCGGAAGGGCGAUCCAGGCAAAAAUGGGAUGCAAAAAAUGAAUGAAUGUAAUUGAGAAUAUAGCAUGCAAAAAGCAUUGACCACAGAUGCAAUGUCUACAACAUACCCAGCACUGAAAUGCCCAGCACAACGGCGUUUUCCCCAGUGGAGCCUCUCAAGAUUCUAUCUCCAGCAAGUUGCAUAUCUACCUGCCCUCAGCUAUGGUUCCGACACGUCUCCCAACGACGUCAUCUCCAAAGAGGAUUUCCAAGAAGGUGUAAUAUAGCACGAGCCACUACGUGCCCAAUACUCUAAUGUCUUGUCUUCCCCGUGAAGUCGUGCCUACAAAAUGCCAACAGUCAUGCAUUACAAGCAUUCAUACAUGCAUAAUCAUGCAUAUUACGUACCCAUGCAUUUAAUAAAAUUGUUAUAUCAUCCAUGCAUAUUGCAUUUCCAAUGUCAAUAUCAGUCUCAAUUCAAAACUCAUGACAGGUCCUUUGUCAAAACCUUGUGAGCCAAUAAUAUCGGUCAAUUUCUACCUUUCAAUUCAAAUCGACGUCAAGUCAAUCUCAAUCUAUAUUUUGUCAACAAACCAAUCCCCUGUGAAUAUGUUCGGUCAAGUGGCUAGUUCAAGUCCAAGAAUAGCUUGUACCUAUCAAUUUGCUUAUGUUAUCGGUCAAGUGCCCAGCUCAAUCCAAGAGCAGCUUGUACCCGCCUAUCUGUCUCUGUUCGCUCAAGUGGCUAGCUCGAUCCAAGGGCAGCUUGCGCCUGUCCAUUUUGUAUUUGUCUCCGGUGGAGUAACCAGUUCGCAUCCAAGAAUAAGCUCGCACCUGUCUAUUUGCCUUGCUUUCAGUCGAGUAACCAGUUCGAAUCCAUAAGAACAACUCGUACUUGUCAAUUUCCCCAGUCGGGUCACCAGUUCGAAUCCAUAAGAACAACUCGCACUCUCCAAUAUCCCCAAGUGAGUUGCUAGUUCGAAUCCAUAAGAACAACUCAUGUUUGUCCAGUAACCUCUAUCCCCUGUGAAGUGACCAGUUCGAAUCCAUAAGAACAACUCGCAGUUGUCUGUUUGUUUCAUCCCCGGUCAAGUGGCUAGUUCGAAUCCAAGAACAGCUUGUACCUGUCCAACUUGUUUCUAGUUUCCCGUUACUCUGCUAUUCGCCGUCUUUGUCAAUGUCUACCAAUCCCGCAAUGGAUACGACAUAUUUUGUUAAUUCCAAUCCCCACGAGGUCUUGCAUUCAUAAUCCAAAUGAUGCAUGGCAUGCAUAUUAUUUGAAAAUGGGUAGGCGUAUUUUUACGUCCAAAUACAGUGCAAAUGCUAAUAUUUAAGUAUCUUCGUCCUGUCAAGCCAAAGACUCCGUCUCUUGACUCUCCAGACAAAGAAACUUAAAUAGGGGCAGCUGUUAUACCCUGUUUUUGGACCUAAAAAUGCUGGGCCCAAUUUCAUUUCAAACUUUGUCAAAUGUCAAAUUUCAACUGCACAGUUCAAUUUGUCUCUGCUACGCAGUGUUUUCAAUCACAUUUUUACCUAUGUUUUUCUUGCAUAAAACCUUUCAAAAUGUCUUUACUUGUCUUGUAAGUCAUUCAAAAGUGUCUCUGAACCAUUACAUUGCUUUUUCUACAGUUUAUUUCAAAAUUUGCAAAAGGUCAUAUAGAAGGGUAUUUUGGUCAUUUCCUGCAGUGGGACCCAUUUUCAUCCUUGUGACUGUCUCUGAGUCUUUUCAGAUUGAUUUUUAACAUUUCAUCAGUAAACCUUGUUAAAUUCAUUUCAAACUUGCAUCUGAGUCAGUGUCAAGUCAAUUUGAGUUGGUUUAGGUCAUUUUUAGCCCUAGGGGCAUUUUGGUCAUUUCACAUGAAAUUUUGGCAUGGGGAGGUUACUUUGAAGUACCUCAUUUAGGCCAUUGGUUCGUUUUAGUCCGUUUUGUCAAUUUUAUUUUUGUUUCGCUUUACGUUUGGUCAAAUUACGUUUUUUAUUCAAUUUCAUUUUUAAUUGCAUUUUGGUCCCUCAAUUGAGGUCCCAAAAUUGCAUUUUUAGUCCAGAAUUUUCUUUUUUUACAUUUCAGUCCUUUUUGGAUUAUUUGCAGUUUAGUCCUUGAAGUUUUAUUUUUUGCAGAAAGGUCCAAAUUUCUUUUUUUGUCCAAGCCGUGCCACUCUCAUACAAUUCCAGGUGUCAUGCUCUCAUUGGCUCAAGUGUACACAUGUCAACUAUAUAAACAGUGAGUCAGAUUCAAAGCCAUUGAUCACACGCCACCUCAACAAACAGAGAACUCUCUCUCUCUCUUAGCAGUUACAGAUCAAAACAGAAAUUCUCAAGAACAUGAAGAACACAAAACCCUAACUGUUUCCAGAAAGUCACAAAUUCAUCAAGUUUCAGUGUUUUUCGUAUCAAUUCUCAGAGAUUCGCAUGAAUCUUCAUCACUGAAUUGAUCUUUCUCUGCAAUUCCAAACGCGAGCUCGCGUUGAAGCAAGCUCAAGCGUUGAUCACAGAGCGUGAAAAGAAGAGGGAAAGAAGCAAAGUUCUAAACCGGCGAAGAAGAUGAAAAAACGGAAUCAGUGAGAAAAGGAGAAUCACCGAUUUAUUUUCGGUCCAAGAACAAGCAAAGGAAUCAAAAAACCAGCAAGAACAUUCAAGUUUUCCCAAAGAUUUCCUCCAUUAAAGGUUUCAACCAAAACCUUAGGUAAAACUCAGAAUCUUUUCUCAGAAAUAAUAUCACUGUUAAACCUAAAAAUCACGCAAGCAAAACAGAUUCAAAAUUUCCAGAAUUCAAAGCCAAAACUAUAACCGUAAACACCAAAACCUAGAUCCGUGAGGAUCAAAGUUUUGAAAGCAAGAACAAGUACCAGAAAAGCAGUGAAUAACGAAACGAUGUAGAUUCUUAAAGAUCCAAACGUUUUCGUUCAAAAAGAUCAAAAAAAUCAGUUUCAAAACCGUACAAAGUUUUUCCAGAUCUACAUCAUUUCAAGCUGUAUUUGAGAAAUUUCUUGAUAGAUUCGUGUUUAGGGUUAAAGGACGAAUCAAAAGGUGCAAAAAUAUUUGAGUUCUGGAAAUUUUUUCACCGGAAACUGCUAGGUCUCGCCGGAGAAGAUGAAGUUUCCGGCGGACCUUCAAGGUCUCCGCCGUAGCUUCAUCCUCACCGGCGGUGAGGGUUUAGAGAGAGAUGAGAGAAGAGAGAGGGGUUAGAGAGAGAAAGAAGAAUACGAAAUGAAAAAACCGGCGCGCUAGGGUUUAUAUAGAGUGCUAGACCGGACCGGUUCAAGACCGGUCCAAUCCCAUGCGUUGUGAGCCCUUAGAUCUAGGGUUUGGGAUCUUGGAUCAAUCCAACGAUCCCUGAGCGUUCCUGUGAAAUCCGGAUCCCUUGGCUUUGGGCCUGGGCCUCUUUUCUUUGCUUUUCUACGUUUUUGCUUUUUUUGUGCUAUUUGCAUCGUAUUUCCUUGCUAUCUGCACCUAUUGUUUGUUUACUUCUUUUACAAAAAUCCCUAAAAAAUCCUGGUUGUUUCUUGAUGUAUUUUUGGUAUGUCUAUGGUAUUUUUGCAUAAAAAAAAAUGUUAAAAUGGCAUGAACUAAUUUCCAUGAGUUUCUACACUUUUGGUAUGUAUUUUGCUAUGUUUUGUUCUUGGUAUUUUGAUAUUAUGACAUGAAUGAAUGAUGCCUAAUAUGGUGAUGAACAUGCCUCUGGAAAUGUGCUUAUUUUUGUUGUGUUUGGAUAUGAUUUUAUGGAUUUCUUGUUUUACAAGAAAUAAUUGUUUAUUUUUUAGAAUAAAGUGGCAAAUUUCUCUAUGAACUUGGUGUGAUAUUUUGCAUGCAUAUGCCUCCAUUAAUUGCAUGUCAUGGCUUGAAACAAAAUUUCUUUCUAAAUUGCCAUGAUGUGAUGAUUAUGGGUCACUAGCAUCUUUAAGUAUCAUAUCAAAUGUCUUCUAGGUUUACUACCACUUUAUUACUUUUUCUUUGCCAUCUUUAUGCAUUUCCUUUUAAUUACCUCCUACUAUUGUGUACUUUAUGAUUACUAACCAUUUCAUCUCAUGUGCCAUACAUUUCAUAACAUUCCACCACUCUCUCCACUUUCUUUAGCUUAGCAUUUUUCAUUUUUUUUCUUUUUUGCAAGUUUUAAUUCAUUUGGUAAUGUAACUUGUUAUCAUUGGUUUGUAGCUUGGCAAAGGGGCCAUAGAAUGUAUUUAGGUAAUGUUGUAAUAUGGACUAUGGACACUAUGACGCACCGACACGCACACACUCACCUUAGAUGUAUGCAUAGGAUUGUAUGGUUAAAUAAGCGUUUAGGUUUUAAACACUUAGAGAAAAUCCAUCUUUUUUUCAAAAAAAAAAACAAUUGAACUUCACUUCAAAAAUUUUCAUAAUAAAUAUGAAGUCAACGCUUCAUUUUUUCCUUUCUUUUCUUUUUUUUCUUAAGAAAAAUUCAAUUCAUCUUAACCAUUUAGACUUUCUUUUUAAUCAUUAAUCAAACCUCACUUUUUUUGCUAAAUCUGAUGCUCAUGAAGCCUCCCAAUCUCCUUCUUCAAAACCAUUUUCAAAACUUAAAAUCAAACAAUUAAAACAAAAAAAAACAACAAGUCUUUUUAGCAAGAACUACGCCGGUUUUGAUCUCGUAAAACGGUACGUAGGCAAUGAGUCAAAACUCAUCCAAGCCGAAAUAAAAUCAAAUUCUACUUCUUCUCACCCCCAUUCUUAACUAAUCACACUUUCCCUUUUUUACAAAUAAGCAAUAAAACUAAAGCGUAGAAAUAAACUUAGGAGAACGGUUCUUAUGGAAUACCAUAAUCGCUCCGGGUGCCUAACACCUUCCCGUAGCGAAAACGACCCCCGAACUUAGAAUCUAAGGGUUUUUCUCAAUUUUGCCCUUCCCAAGAAAAAAUAGAGAAUAUCAACGGUCAAAAGGUUCAAGUCCAAUUAAUGGCUUGGCACCCAAAAACCAUGAUAAUAGCGAGCUAUGAAUCUCGCCUCGCGAGUGAUGAACUUCAUCGCUCGCCACGCGAGCCCUUCCCUUCGCCUCGCGAGUCCUUUUGGUACAGCUCGCCACAGCGAGCAACCUUGAGUGCCUGAACAUACCUAGUGAUGAUUAAAACCAUAAAGGGAUUCACUCUUGAUCAAAACCUUGAGCUAAGGCAGAGAGCAUGUUAGAUUUUGAAAUUUCGACUUUUUAGUUGGACCUUGAGUGCCUGAACAUACCUAGUGAUGAUUAGGAAUGAAUGUAGGACAAGAUUGAACCCAGAACAACAUUAGUUGGGGAGUUGGCUUCAACUCGCCAUGGCGAGUAGAUACUCUCGCCUCGCGAGCACUUCCAGAUUGGAGUGCAUUGAGUGUUUGUGCGAUCUGUGUCGCACGUUUUAAUCAAGAGUGAAUCCCUUUAUGGUAAUGAGAUCUAAUGAUGACGUUUAAUGCAAUCUGUAAAGCAGUUUAAGAUAUGUUGAUAUUAAUUGAGUAUGAAUUAAUGUAUUAUACAUUAUGUAAGAUAUGAAUGAAAUAUUAUGAUGCUAUUGAAUUGCAAUUGAUAUAAUGAUAUCAUCCUGUUGUUGUGUGACUUGACUAUGUUGCUGCCGUUAUUUAGCUAAGUGCAUAAUGUCUAUAUAUAUGAUGAAUAAGAUGACGUUUAGCUCCAAAUUAUUGGAUGCAUAUUGAUAUGAUGAUUACGGUGAAUUGUUGAUAAGAGUCCAUGCAUUAGCAUUCAUUGAGCUUAGUCCUCACCACGAUUAUUAGGAGCUUUUGAAGUAGCAAUAAACGUCACAAGAAAGGGGGGGUUUGAAUUGUGACCCUUUUAAAAAUUAUUCCUGAAACUUAAGUUUAGAUUUAUAUACUCAAGAAUAAUCUUGGUGUAUGUUAGCUUAACAAGAUUAGAGUAUAUAACAAUUAAUUGAAUUUAGAACAGAACAUUCUGAAGACUGAUUAUAAACAGAAUGAGAAAAAUGAUGUUAAGUUAAAAGAUUAUUUUAGCAAGGACCAGAAUGUUCUGGAGAUUAAUAAAAUAAUAUGUGUGUGUUGUGUAACUUUAAAUAAAGAGAGAGAUAGAGAUAGAGAGAGAGAGAAGAAUAACACAGGAGAGUUAUGCUGGUUCACCAAACCCGGCUACUUCCAGUCCCCACACCUCGUGUGAGAUUAUCCACUAUAGUUUUCUUGCUAACAGAAACUUCUGACUAGCACUACAAUAUCUUGAUCACACCAGAUCAGUCCGUAACCUCUGUAUUAUCAACCUUAGCAGGCUUAUACAAUUCUUUGCACACUAGCAAAAGAAAGGUUGGAAUUUUCUAUCUCAAAACUAUUAAGCCCAAUAGACUUUGAGAAAUACAACACUCUUUGUAUGAAGAGAUUUGUUUUGGAUCGAAUAAAUACUCAAAUCUUUGUUUGAGUUUUACAAGAGGCAAAUUCAAGAGAGAUGAUCCAAGAGAUAUAGUGAGAGAGCUUGGAAUUUGCUUUGUUUGUGAAGAGCUUUGUUUGUAGUGAUGAUUUUCACUUUGAGAGAUAUUAGCUUGCAAAACUCUUGCUUAUGACCUUCAAAGGCCCUUGUAUUUAUAGGUGAGGAGUGUCUUGGUGACCAAGGGAGAAAAUAGAGCUGUUGGACACGUUUUUGAUAGCUGUCCAAAGUCUCAAUUGAUUUCUCUUUUCUUCUUUAAAAUAGCCAGAACGUUCUCAGAAUGUUCUUUCUGAUUUGCCUGACUUAGAAAGCACUGUUGCUUUGCUUGCGCAUGAGAUAACCAGCUGUGAUGAGUUGUAUAACUUGCAGCCCACUUCUGAUGAUGUCAUGUCCUUUUGCUCUAGUGAUGUCAUGCUUAAGUAAGCCAUGUGAUCUUAUCCAUUUAAUGGGCUUUACUUUUCCAAAUGGGCUUAAAGCUUUUCUUAUGGCCCAAUAGACAUAAUCAGCCAAGCUUUCUUGCUGUGCAGACUUGUUCGCUUUUGAUGUACUGUUCCAUUUUCAUCGUUUUCGCCAGAACGUUCUCAAUUCAUUCUCAUGAAACAAAUUCUCACAAAAACGAAUUAGUAGAUAACAAGAUUAAAUAAAUAUAAUAUGUUUGUAAUCUUUAAAACAUCAAAUAAGGAUUUUGUCUCAACAAUCUCCCCCUUUUUGAUGAUGACAAACAUUUAUAAUUUAUUUUGAUUUUGAUUUUGAGUUUUUGAAAAAUUUGUUAAAAAAACUCCCCCUCAAUUUUAGCAACCAAAAUUUUGUGCCUUUUUGAGAGUUUUCCAGAAUUUGUUUAUGGACAAUUGAGUUUGAUAAUUUUAUCAAAGAACUCCCCCUCAAUUCAUGCAUUCAAGAUUUAAUAUGCAAAAUGAGAAUAUAGAACAUAAACAACAUAAUUCAUAAAUCAUGAAGAUCAUUACAAGGUAUCAAACCUAGCAUUUCAAAACAUCAAAAAGCAUUGUUCAUAUGCGCACAUACUAGCAGCAAUUUGAUCCUUAGUUAAUCAUGAUCAAAAGACAUAAACAGAGAAAUAAAAACAGAGUUUUUUAAACAUCAAAAUACUUAAACAUAAACAGCAGCAUAGUGAUCAGCAUAGUGAUCUAUUCUUCCCUAGAUCCUAACUCAUAAUCCCCUAAAUCAUCUCCCCCUUUGUCAUCAUGAAAAGGGGCAGCAGCAGCAGUAGGUGGAAUGGUUGGAGAAGAAGCAUCAGAUGAUGAAGAGAUAGUAGGCAUGAACAUGGGAUACAUAGGAACUGGGAAUGGGUUUUGUUCUGGUUUAGCAAACUCAUUCUUGUCACUUAUGGAGUCCUUCCACUUCCUUGACAGAGACAUUUCAAAAGUCAUCCAAGACAGAUAAUGCAAAAUUGCAUUGUUCCCUUCAAUUACCCUAGUCAAGUCACUGCGUGUCUUGCUGCAGUCUUUCUCAACCUUGGUCCUUUUGGUUGGCCUUUCAUUGUGCUCAAAAAUCCUUUGCGCCAUUGAAGGAGAUUCAUUGAAUCUUGAAGGAAAGGAGAGAUUAGUUUGAAGAGACCUAAGGGAAUCCAUUUGGACAGAUGAAUCAAAAGCUUGUGGAGCAAAUAAUUUGUCCACUGAAUCACAUUGAAACAAAGCAGAAUAAUCAUGCUUUUGAGGAGAGAUAAACAAUUUUGAAGGUUUUGUGAUUAUGGUUUUUUCAGUGAAGCUUUGAAGAAUUUCUGAAGCUUUGACUUUUGACAGAGAAGCAUGAUUGCCAAAGUUUUCAAGCAGUUCCUGAUCUUCCUCCAUCACAGGAGAACGUUCUGAAGAACGUUCUGGAGGAUUGCAGUGUUCAUCAGAAGCAUUUUCUGGAACUGGAUUCUGCAGAUCAGACCCAUCUUCCCUCUUUCUUUUGAGGUCAGAAGGAGGCUCAUCAACAGGUUCCUCCUUCAUGUGACUCAGAUUUUUCACCUUCAAAAGGAAUAUGAUUCUUAAUGAAGAUUUUGGUAAGAGCCAUUCCAUAAGGAAGACAAGAUUUUUUGUUACGAGACUGAAUAACAUUGAUCAUGUUAUGAAUAAUGAUAUGAGGCAGACUCAAUUUUUCUUUCAUUAAGAGAUGAUACAUGACCAAGAGAUCAUUUGAACUAACAUGUUGAAAAUUACCAUUUCUAGGCAAGACACAAUGUUGGCUUAUGCCAUUCAGCAUUUUUGGGGUUGGCAGAAGGUUCGAAGAAACAAACUCAGUGACAUUUGGUUUGAAAAGGAGUUUGUAAACAUUUUCAGAAUUGACUUCAAGUUUUUCAAACCAAUCAUCACCAAAGACAGUUUGAACAGAAUUUGAGAUACCAAGAGUAUCAGAGAUUACCUGUGGAGUGAGACGUAUCUCAACAUCCUUAAUCCUAGACACUAUUAAGCUUUCCUCAGGGUAUGCUUCUGCCAUGAAAUAGAAAGCUUGGACAAGCUUUGGGUAGUGUCUCUCACGAAGCUGUAGAAAUUUGGUCCAGCCUUGCUCAUCAACAUACUCCUUAAGAACGACUUUGUCUUUUUCCAGCUUGACAAAAUCAUAAUACCUUCCAAUUCCAAUUGACCUAUUUCCCCAUUUUUCUUUGAAAUCCUUUUUCAGAGAAGGAUCAAACAGAGGUACUCUCUUUCCUGUAGAGAUAUGAAUGAUCUUCUGUUUUGAAGGAUUUUUGCGCUUUGGAGAACAUUCUGGAGAAUAAUCUGAAGAGAGUUCAUAGUCUUUAUCAGAAAGACUUUCUGAAGAACGUUCUGGUUGAGCAGUUUGCUUCUGCUUUCCUUUGUCCUUCACAGUUGGUUUAGGCUUUGGUUUUGGUACAGAAACCUUAAUAGGAGGUUUAAAGACCUUUUUGUUACUCUUAGGUUUGGGCUUAAGAGGAGAAGGAGUUUUCUUAGCCAAAGGGGUAGUUGGUUCAGUUUCUUCAUCUGAAUCAGAGAUUUCAUGUAUAGUUGUGUCUACACUGUUGGUUUUCUUUGUUCCAACUGCAGAACGAAGCCUUUGAGAUUUUCUAGGUCUUGGAUUAGGAGCAGAUUUAGCCUCCUUGGGAGGCAACUUCCUUUUGGUCAUGUUCCUGAGAUGAGGAGCCAUUUUGUUCAAGUUUGGAGGUUCCUGAGGAGCGGUUGGUUGAUCUUCAACAACUAUUCUUGGUGUGUUGAGAUUUAGGUUGACUGAAGUUGGUUUUGGUUCAACGUAGAGUACCAUCGCGAGAGGAUGGAAGGAUUCAGGGUCAGGGAUGAAGGGAAGUUUUUCGUCGUUCUUUAAUGGAGUUUUUUCUGGUGUGGUUUCGGUGGUGAGAUAACCAUCUUGCAUGAUUGGUUCUGUGGAGUUAUUGAGCGGAGAUUGUGGUGGAGUUUCGAAUGGAGUGGUUUCCUUGGGAGAUUGUGGGGUUGAAUCGAACAGAGGAGGAGAUGACGGCGGUUUUGUCACCGGAGGAGAUGGUGGAGAAGGAGAACGGGUUGGUGAUGGUGAAGGAGAGGAGUCAUCUGGGUUGGUGUUUCCGAUUCCUUUGGUUCGAGCCAUUUUGUGAUGGAGAAAAUGGUGGUUGAGAGAAGAAGAAGAGACAGUUUGAAGAAGGAAGAAAGUGGGAGUUUAGAGAGAAAAAGUGAAAACCGGUUUUGGGAGAAGGAAAAAGGUAGGAAGUGACUUUUAGUGGUUUUAAUGAUGAGAGAGGGAACACAGCAUUUAUUAGCUGUAAUUUUUAUAAUUUGAUCCUAGUAAUUACCUAGUUACAUAGAGAUCAGAUUUUAUAGAGAAAUGAGAAGGGACAUGGUUGAGGCGUGGCCCUCAAGUCAGUCUUUGGAAGACAAAUUUUCAAAGAAUGUUUUCAGAACAUUCUGAUGAAGAGAGACUCUUCCUAAUUUGAUUUUUUGCAAGGAUUUUGAAUAAUAUGCAAUUUUUCUUUAAUAAAAUUAAAGUGAUCCUCAACUAAAGGUUUAGUAAAGAUAUCAGCUAAUUGAUUUUUUGUAUCAACAAAAAUUAAUUCAAUUUCCUUUUUAUUAACAUGAUCCCUAAUGAAAUGAUGUUUUAUUUCAAUAUGUUUUGAUCUUGAAUGUUGAAUGGGAUUCUUUGAUAAAUUUAUUGCACUUGUAUUGUCACAAAAUACUGGAAUAUUUGUGUACCUUAUUGAGAAAUCCUCAAGUUGAUUUUUAAUCCAGAGAACUUGAGAACAACAGUUGGCUGCUGACACAUAUUCUGCUUCUGUAGUUGACAGAGCGAUAGUGUUCUGCUUUCUGCAUGACCAACUUAUGAGUGCAUUCCCAAGAAACUGACAUGCUCCACUUGUACUUUUUCUUUCUAUUUUGUCUCCAGCAUAGUCAGCAUCACAGUAUGCUAUAAGAUCAAAACAAGACCCUUUGUUAUACCAAAGGCCAAGAUCAGUAGUACCUACUAGAUAUCUGAAAAUUCUUUUUACAGCGGUUAAAUGAGAUUCCCUUGGAGAGGUUUGAAAACGUGCACAUAAACCAACAGCAAAAACAAUAUCUGGUCUGCUAGCAGUUAAGUACAACAGAGAUCCAAUCAUACCUCUGUAUUCUUUUUCAGAAAUGGUUUUUCCAUUUUCAUCCUUAUCUAAAUUAGAUGUUGGAUGCAUGGGAGUUGCCAUUAUUUUGGCUUCAUUCAUUUUAUAUUUUUUGAGAAGAUCUUUUAUAUAUUUUUCUUGACAAAUAAAAAUGCCAUUUGAUUCUUGCUUAAUUUGCAAGCCAAGAAAGAAUCUUAAUUCUCCCAUCAUACUCAUUUCGAAUUCACUUUGCAUGAGAUUUGAAAAAUCAUCACACAUUUUUUCAUUUGUUGAACCGAAUAUGAUGUCAUCAACAUAAAUUUGAACAAUUAAAAAAUUUGUUUUGUCAUCUUUUCUAAAAAGGGUUGUAUCAAUUUUUCCUCUAGAAAAAUCAUUUUUGAUUAAGAACGUGCUUAACCUUUCAUACCAAGCUCGAGGAGCUUGUUUAAGACCAUAUAGUGCUUUUGUGAGUUUAAACACAUGAUUAGGUUUGUUUGUGUUCUCAAAACCAGGAGGUUGAUGAACAUAAACUUCCUCAUUUAAAAAUCCAUUUAAAAAGGCACUUUUGACAUCCAUUUGAAAUAAUUUAAUAUUUUUAUGAGAUGCAUAUGCAAGAAGAAUUCUAAUUGCUUCUAACCUGGCUACCGGAGCAAAGGUUUCAUCGUAAUCAAUACCUUCUUGUUGAUUGUACCUGUUAUACCCUGAUUUUGGACCUAAAAAUACUCGUUCAAAUUUCUUUUUUUAACACUGAUGUUUGUCAAUUCUCUGUUAUUUUUCUCUGAAUCUUUACUCUCUUUUUAAAACAUAUUUUACUGCCUCUGUCUGUCUUUUCUUGCAUUACAAGUCAUUUAAGAACUCUCUGAAACGUCGCAUUACUUUUCUUGCAUUUUAUUUCAAAAAAUCAUACAGAAGGGUAUUUUGGUCAUUUCCUGCAGUGGAACCCAUUUUAGUCCCUGUGUUUGCCUCUGAGUCUUUUCAAUUUGUCUGUACAAAUCAUUAUCGAGUCUUUAUUAAGAAAAUAAUUUCAAAAAUUGCAUUUGAGUCAAUUCGAGUCAGUCUAGUCCCUAGGGGCGUUUUGGUCUUUUCCUAUUAAUAUUUCGACAGGGAGGUAUUUUAAAAUACCUCAUGUCAAUAUUUGGUUCGUUUUAGUCCUUUUGUUGAUUUUAAUUUUAGUUUCACUUUACGUUUGUCAAAAUUACUUUUUUUAGUUCAAUUUUAUUUAUAAAUCACAAUUUAGUCCAAAACUUUUUAAUUUUUAUUUUUUGUCCAUUUUUAAUUGCUGUCCAGUCCUUUUUUAUUAUUUUUUUUGCAGAAAAGGUCUCAGGGGCAUUUUUGUCCAGAAUUUUCGCACACUUCAGUCCCAGUCCAGAUGGCAUUUUCUCAUUGGCCCACAAAUACACAUGGCAGGCUAUAAAUAGAUGUGUCAGAUCCAAAUAAAAAAAAAAAAAAUCAGUCACAUCACAAAAACAGAAAUUUCUUUCUCUCUCCAAAAUCAGUUAGAUCCAAAACAGAAAAUCACCAAAAAAUUCUCCAAGAACACCAAGAACAAAUCUUCACAAAAUCAACAAAUCCGAACCGGAUUCACUCAAAACCAACUCAAAUCAUCACAAAAUCAACAAAUCCGAACCGGAAUCAUUCAAAACCACCGCGAAUCAUCACACCAACACCAAAUCCGUACCGGAUUUUCGAGCAAAAGCGGCACCACCGGAGCAAAUCCGCGCGCGCGAGGCGGAGAGAAGAGGAGGCUCGUUUUUUUUUUCUCCGUUUCACGACGACGGUAACACUUUUUUCCCUCGUUUUCGCGCAUAUACACAUGUGAAAAGUUUGUUACGAAUCAAGAUUUGUAGAUCUAAGCUUGUACGUUCGGAUUUUUGAAAUUUUGAGGCCGGAUUCGGACUCUAGAGCGAAAAGGAUAUCUAGAUCCGUAAGCUUUUUUACAAAAAGAGUGAAAAAAUUCCGAAAGUUCAAACGUAGAUCUACGACGAAUCUCUCACCCCUUUUUAAAACUAGCACCGGAUUUGUGUAGAGGAGGUGGUGACGGAACUUUUGAUGUAAAAAUUUUUUAAAAAAAAGAAGUUCGAAUUUUCCGGCGCGGUGGCGCCGCCGCCGGAAACCGGCCGGCCGCCGCGCCGGAAUCACCACCACCACCCACCUUCGCCGGCGGGAUUUUUAGAGAGAAGGGAGAGCUUCUCUCUCUAAGUAUGACUUAGAGAGAGAAGAAGAAGAGUUUUAUGAGUUUUUGUGUGAAAAUUCCUUUUUAUACUCCCUCCGAUCCCACGCGCGCGCGUGCGUGCUCUUGUUGUGUUCCCUCGCUCUGUGAACCAUCAGAUCUGGAUUGUUCCAAGAUCUGAUGGCUGCUGUGUAUUUGAUUUUGAAUCCUGUGCGUGACUUUUUGUGUGGAAUAUGGUAUAUCUUCUGUUUGAACCGUUAGAUCUUUGAUCUAACGGUCACUGUGCUUCCUGCAUUUUACACUAUCUUUGGUGCUUUUUUCUGGACCCUUUGAUCUAAUGGCUGUGAUGUAAUAUUGGGGGCUAGAUCUGGACCUCUGGAUUCAUCCAACGGUCCAGAUUAAAUCAUGCUGAGUUUUUUUUUAAUUGCUUUAAUUGUGUUUUAAAUACCUUUUUUACACUUUCUUGGUGUUUUAUGCUUCUAAAAAUAUUUCUAAAAAUAUUUCCCUAUCAUUUUAAUUUUUCCUCUAAGUUUUAGAAUUUAUUUGCUUAUUUUUGCAUUUAUUUUCUUUACUUUGUUCUUUUAAUUCUUGCUCAUUUAAUUCUUGCUCAUUAAAUUCCAUAUAUGUUCUUGAUGCAUUUUUUCAUAUUGUGAUAUUUUGGCAUGUGAAAUAAUGUGUGAAAAUAUCUCUAGGAACAUGAUAUAAUGCUUUGCUUGUGUAUGCUCUUAUGAUCCUCACAUUGUAGCUUAAAUUCAAACCUUUCAAAAAAUGGCUAUAAUGAGGAAAUUAUGGGUCAUAUGCAUGUAUGAGUGUUAUACCUAAAUUCUAGGUGUAUUUUUUUUACCACUUUAUUUCAUUUCAUUACUUUUUUUUUUUUUUUCUCUCUUGCUAUUCUAUUCAAUUUUGUUUACCUUUCUACUAUUUUUAUGCUUUAUGAUACUAACCAUCUCAUCUCACAUUUCAUUCAUCCUAUAGUUUUGGCAUCAUUUUUUCCAUUCAUUUCUAUAUCAAUUGGGUUUGUAAUAAUCUUAGAUAGAUUAGUUCCUUUUAAAAUUCUUCACAAAGACCAUAGCAUGUAUCUAGGACAAUGUAAAGGACUAUGGACAUUAUAAGGGAUGUACAUCGACACAAGCACCGACACGCACACACGUUGCAUGAUUAUCGAUUUAGGUGUAUGUUUAGGAAUUCGACGCCUAGUGAAAUUUCUUCUUUGAAAUAGGCUAAAUCUUUCAAACAAACUUUGGAGUCAAAACUCCAAUGCCUUUUUGUGAAAUAAAAAUAAAGAUCAAAUUCGACAUUUUUCUUCUAUGCCUUACGGCUUCUCUCCUCCUUCUCAAAAAAUCAUUUUCCAAAUAAAAAUGAGAUCUCAAUCAUCUUCUCUCCCCCAUUCUUCACUCAAAUAAAACUUCUUUUCUUUCAACAAGUAGGCAAUAAAAAUAAAGCGUAGAAAUAAGCUUAGGAGAACGGUUCUUAUGGAGUACCAUGAUCGCUCCGGGUGCCUAACACCUUCCCGUAGCAAAAACGACCCCCGAACUUAGAAUCUAAGGGUUUUUUCUCAAUUUUGCCCUUCCCGAGAAAAAAUAGAGAAUAUCAAAGAUUGAAAGGUUCAAGCCAAAUUAAUGACUUGACACCCGAAAAUCGCGAUAACAGUACCCUUGAGCUACCAAUCUAGCUUUGUUUCUGAUAACUUUUCCUUCUUCAUUUAGUUUAUUUCUAAAUACACAUCUUGUUCCAAUGAUGGAUUGAUUUUGAGGUUUAGGAACAAGAUUCCAUACUUCAUUCUUUUCAAAUUGAGAGAGUUCUUCUUCCAUGGCUUUUACCCAUGAUUCUUCACAUAUUGCUUCUUGUAUAUUUUUUGGUUCAAUGUGAGAGAUCAUUGCCAUGUUGACAUCAUUAUUCAUAAAUGAUCGUCUUGUUCUUAUUCCAUCAGAUGUGUCUCCAAUGAUUUGUUCAGGAGGAUGAUCACCGACAGUUUUCCAGCUUUUUGGAAGAACUUGAGAAGAAUGUUCUUGAGAAUCAUUACUUUCUUUUUGAGGAAUUUCUUCUUCAUCUUCUUUGUUGAUUAUCAAGUCAUCAAACUCAUCAAAAAUAACAUGCAUGCUUAUUUCCAUGGUUUGAUUUUUCAAAUUAUAAAUUCUAUAUCCUUUGGAGUUUGUUGCAUAUCCUAAGAAUAUUCCUUUAUCUGAUUUUGAAUCAAAUUUUCCUAGAUUUUCUUUAUCAUUUAAAAUAUAACAAUAACAUCCAAAAACAUGAAAAUAUGAGAUGUUAGGUUUUACAUUUUUCCAGAGUUCGUAUGGGGUUUUGUUUAAAACUUUUCUAAUUGAAACCCUGUUUAUGAUAUAGCAAGAAGUAUUUAUGGCUUCAGCCCAAAAGUAUUUUUCUACAUUUGAUUCAUUUAACAUUGUUCUUGCCAUUUCUUGGAGUGUUCUAUUUUUUCUUUCAACAACUCCAUUUUGUUGUGGAGUUCUUGCACAUGAAAAAUUAUGAGAGAUUCCUUUUUCAUCAAAGAAAUUUUUAAAGAAAGCAUUUUCAAAUUCUCCUCCAUGAUCACUUCUUACUGAAAUGAUUUUUUGAUUCUUUUUCAUUUUGAACUAAUGUGCAAAAAGUUUUGAAUGCUUCAAAAGCUUCAUCUUUAUGUUUUAAAAAUAGAACCCAUGUAUAUCUGGAAAAAUCAUCAACUAUAACAAAACCAUAUUGUUUUCCACUUAAACUGGCGGUUCUAACAGGACCAAAUAGAUCUAUGUGAAGUAGUUCAAGAGGUCUCUUAGUUGAAACAAAAUCAUUUGUUUUAAAACUGCUUUUAACUUGUUUACCUCUUGUACAAGCUUCGCAAAUUCUAUCUUUUUCAAAAUCAAUUUUUGGAAGUCCUCUUACGAGAUCCAGUUUGGAGAUUUUUGAAAUAGUUUUCAUACUUAUAUGUCCAGCUCUUUUGUGCCAAAUCCAUUUAUCUUUUUCAAGCAUCAUAAAACAUGUUUCUGCUGGAAUAUCAUCUAAGUAUAAAGCAUAUAGGUUUUUCUUUCUAGAAGCAGUAAAGAAAAUCUUACCUGAGGAUGUGUGUUUUACAAUACAUAUAUUAGGUUUGAAAACAACUUCGAAGCCACUAUCACAUAAUUGACUUAUGCUUAGUAGAUUGUGUUUUAAACCUUCAACAUAUUGAACAUCCUCAAUUUUUGCAGAGUCUUUUUUACCAAUGAUACCUUUACCUUUAAUUUGUCCUUUGUCAUUAUUGCCAAAGGUUACUAGACCUCCUUCCUUUUUUAUGAAGGAGAUGAAACAUUGUUUAUCCCCAGUCAUGUGUCUAGAACAACCACUGUCCAAGUACCAUGGCUUUGUUCUUGCAUCUUGUGAGAAUCCCUGCAUUUUGAGUUAGUGGUUCCUUAGGUACCCAUGAAGAUGUGGGUCCUUUGAGGUUAGUUUCUUUAAUCUCAAGUUGUUUAAUCUUGAGAAAACAGUUUAAUUCUCGAUAACCUACUCUCUUACAAUAUGAGCAUUCUUUUCUUUUUAAUGAUAAAGAAUGUUCUGGAGAAUGUUCUGAGAUAGAUUGUUCUUCUUUAAUUUCUAGUUUUCUCCUUUUAUGAAAACAGACAGAUUCAUGAUGUCCUCUUUUAUUACAGAAUGAACAUUUUAGUUUUUGUGGUAUAAGACACUUGUUAUCAUGGUUUUUGGGUGCCAAGCCAUUAAUUUGGACUUGAACCUUUUGACCGUUGAUAUCUCUCUUUUUUCUUGGGAAGGGUAAAAGGAGAAAAACCCUUGAGUUUCCGGAUUCGGGGGUCGAUUUCGCUACGGGAAGGUGUUAGGCACCCGGAGCGAUUAUGGUAUUCCAUAAGAACCGUUCUCCUAAGUUUAUUUCUACGCUUUAAUUUUAUUGCUUAUUUGUAAAAAAAGAAGGUGUGAUUAGUUAAGAAUGGGGGUGAGAAGAAGUAGAAUUUGAUUUUUUUGUUUCGGCUUGGAUGAGUUUUGACUCAUUGCCUACGUACCCUUUUAAGGGAUCAAAACCGUUCGUAGUUCAUUCUCAAAAAUAGUUUUUGUGUUUGUUGGUUGAUUUUAGGUUUGAAAAGAGAUUUUGAAGAAUAGAGAUGAGAGGCCUCAAGGGCAUAAGGUUUGGAAAGUGUGAGGUGGAUUUAGUCAUUUUGCAAAAAUAAAGUCUAAGAAGGGUUAAGAUUCAUUGAAAGUUUUACUUAAGAAAAUAAAAAGGGAAAUAAGGAGUUUUGACUCCAUUUUAUUUUCAAAAAAAAGAUUUUCAAGUGAAGUUAUUUGCAUGUUCUUUUUGGAAAAAAGUUGGAUUUUUAUCUAAGUGUUCAAACCUAAACGCUUAUCUAACCAUACAAUCCUAUGCAUACAUCUAAGGUGAGUGUGUGCGUGUCGGUGCGUCAUAGUGUCCAUAGUCCAUAUUACAAAAAUUGCCUAAAUACAUUCUAUGGCCCCUUUGCCAAGCUACAAACCAAUGAUAACAAAUUACAUUACCAAAUGAAUUAAAACUUGCAAAAAAAAUAAAUGCUAAGCUAAAGAAAGUGGAGAGAGUGGUGGAAUGCUAUGAAAUGUAUGGCACAUGAGAUGAAAUGGUUAGUAAUCAUAAAGCACACAAUAGUAGGAAGUAAUUAAAAGGAAAUGCAUAAAGAUGGCAAAGAAAAAGUAAUAAAGUGGUAAUAAACCUAAAAGACAUUUGAUAUGAUACCUAAAGAUGCUAGUGGCCCAUAAUCAUCACAUCAUGGCAAUUUAGAAAGAAAUUUUGUUUCAAGCCAUGACAUGCAAUUAAUGGAGGCAUAUGCAUGCAAAAUAUCACACCAAGUUCAUAGAGAAAUUUGCCACUUUAUUCCUUAAAACUAAACUUGUUGCUUGCAAAACAAGAAAUUCAUAAAAUCAUAUUCAAAAACAGCAAACAAAAACACAUUUCCAGAGGCAUAUUCAUCACCAUAUUAGGCAUCCUUUAUCCAUGUCAUAAUAUCAAAAUGUCAAGAACAAAACAUAGCAAAAUGCAUACCAAAAGUGUAAAAACACAUGGAAUUAGUUCAUGCCACUUUAACAUCUUUUUUUAUGCAAGAAACACCAUAGAAAUGCCAAAAAUAUACCAAGAAAUAACCAGGAUUUUUAGGAUUUUUUUAUAAAAAAAGUGAGCAAGAAACAGGUGCAAGUAGCAAAGAAAUACGGUGCAAAUAGCAAAAAAACAAAAAAAACGUGAAAGAAAACUAAGCCCAAACCCAAAGCCCACACUCAAGACUCAGACUGCACAGGAGCCACACGAUUGAUCUAGGAUUCUGAAACCCUAGAUCAAACGGCCAGGAACAAGGGGGACUGGACCGGAAAUAAACCGGUCCGGUUCACUGGCUAUAUAAACACAAAGGCUCCGGUUUUUUUCAUUUUCUCCUCUCCUUCUCUCUCUUCUCUCAUCCUAGUGAGAGAAGCUCCCACUUCUCUCUAGAAAUCCGGUUGUCUUCUCCGGCAUGGCUUAGCUCCUCCGGCGCGGUGGCCGGCCACCUCCAGGUGGCGGCGCCGCCGCCGGAAAAACUUCCUUGCUCCGAUUCAAAAAAUUUUUACGUUUUUAAACAUCCUUUUUCGUGCUAUUCAUGAAUCCGAGCUUGGUUUUUUGAAAAAGAUUUUCAACCGGAGUAGAUCUAAGUUUGAAGUUGCGGUUUUGAAUGAAGUUUUUCUUUGUUCUUUGUGCUUUUUGGCUACGUGCUUCUAGAAUCCUACAUGUUUAUACUUGAUUCUCCUUUUUAUCCAUUUUUUGCGAAAAAAAGGAAGUUUGAGUUUUACCUGUGGUUUUCUUGGUGGUUCCGAUCCGGAUCUUCAAGGAAAGCUUGAUUUUAGUCUUGUUCCGUUGAUUCUGGUUUGGUUCCCUGCUGUUCUGAUCCGCUCUUCUUCUUCACAGGUUCGGUAUAUGGAUUUUCGUCCCUCUUCUUCGUCUCCGGGAAAGCCUCUGCGAUCGUGCUUGAGUUCGCCGCUUUCAGUGGUGGACUCGCACUCGAAUUGCAGAGCAACGAUUCAAUGAUGAUGAUUCCUUGGCGAAUCUCUGAGAAUCGUGGAAAAUUCAAUGAAUUUCUUGAUGAUUUUGUGAUUCUGGUGAUUUAGGUUUUUUUGAUUUUUCUCUGUGUUCUUGAUGAUUUCUCUGUGAUUCUGGUUUUGAUCUAACUGACAAGAGAGAGAAAAAUUGAUUCUGUUUUUCUUCUUUGGUGAAGUGGCGUGUGAUUAAUGGCUUUGAAUCUGACUCACUGUUUAUAUAGUUGACAUGUGUACACUUGAGCCAAUGGAACUGUGACAUCUGGAUUUGUAUGGGAGGGGCACGGCCUUGGACUUAAAAUGGACUUUGGACCUUUUUGCAAAAAUAAGAAUUUUAAGGACUAAACUGCAAAAUUAAAAAAACUUGAAAUGAAAUAAACAAAAAAACAGUUUGGACAAAAAUGCAAUUUUGGGACCUCAAUUGAGGGACCAAAAUGCAAUUAAAAAUAAAAUUUGAAUAAAAAACAUAAUUUGACCAAACGUAAAGUGAAACAAAAAAUAAAAUUGACAAAACGGACUAAAACGAACCAAUGGCCUAAAUGAGGUACUUCAAAGUAACCUCCCCAUGCCAAAAUUUUAUGUGAAAUGACCAAAAUGCCCCUAGGGCUAAAAACGACCUAAACAGAUUGAAAUUGACUCAACACUGACUCAGACGCAAGUUUGAAAUGAAUUUUAACAAGGUUUACUGAUGAAAUGUAAAAAACAAUUCGAAAAGACUCAGAGACAGUCACAAGGAUGAAAAUGGGUCCCACUGCAGGAGAUGUCCAAAAUACCCUUCUGUAUGACUUUUUGCAAAUUUUGAAAUAAACUGUAGAAAAAGCAAUGCAAUGAUUCAGAGACACUUUUGAAUGACUUACAAGACAAGUAAAGACAUUUUGAAAGGUUUUAUGCAAGAAAAACAUAGGUAAAAUUGUGAUUGAAAAUACUGCGAGACAGAGACAAAUUGAACUGUGCAGUUGAAAUUUGAUAAUUGACAAAGUUUGAAAUGAAAUUGGGCCCAAUAUUUUUAGGUCCAAAAACAGGGUAUAACAACACUUUUCAUAAAUUUGAUUAAAACCUAAACCAGAUUUGUCAAAUUCUGCCAUUUGUGAACCUACAAUUUUUUGAAAUGUUUCUGUUGAUUUUAUAAAUUGUGAAAGAUCAUUUCUAAGUUCUUUGACUUCCUUUUUAAGAAUAAUAUUUUCAUUUUUAGAAUUUUCAGGAAGUUUUGUUUUUCCAAGAACUUUUAAUUUUUCAUUUACUUGAAAGUAAGAGUCUUGUAGACUUUGAAUGAUUUUCUUUUGAUCAUUAUUCAAAGUUCGAAGUUUCUCUUUUUCUUCUUUUAACUCAGAAAUUUCUUUUUGUAAAGAGUGACAUUUGUUUGUUAAAAAGUUUGAAUCAAAUAAAAGACUAUCAAAUUUAUUUUCUAACUCUUUAUAUACUAGAGGUUGGUUAAUAAGAAUUACCUCUUCGCUUUCUGAAUCUUCCAUUAGAACCAUGUUGGCUUCAGUGUCUUCAUCUUUUGAUUCUUCAAGAUCAUCCCAGGUAAACAUUGAUUUUGAGUAGGGAGAUUUCUUCUGACUCUUUUUGUUCAAUGGACAUUCGUUUUUGUAAUGUCCUAAUUUGUUGCAUCCAAAGCAAGUUACUUGACUUUUGUCAAUUUCUCCUUUUGAGUUAUCUUUCUUGUUGGGAAAGUAUUUCUUUAUUUGAUCUCUUCUUCUCAUCAUUCUUUGAAUCUUCUUUGUGAUGAGAGCUAGUUCGUCUUCUGCUUCCCCUUGGAUGUUUUCUUCUUCAUUGGCUUCUUCAGUUUCUUCGUUUUGUGGGAAGGCAUCUUUUUGUUCACUUUGAGAUGCUUUGAGAGCAACCAUCUUUCAUUUCCUUGAUGGUUUAUCAUCUUGAAGUAACGUCUCAUGAGCUUUUAAUGAUCCAAUGAGAUCUUCAAGAGCUAAGGAGUUUAAGUCUUUAGCUUGUGUGAUUGCAGUUACCAUGGGUCUCCAUGUGCUUGGAAGACAUCUUAAAAUUUUUCUUAUCCGAUCAUGAGUGGUAUAAGUUUUUCCCAGUGAUCUUAAUUCAUUCACAAUAGAUGUGAAUCUGGAGUACAUUUCAUCAAUGUUCUCAUCUUCGUUCAUUUCGAAGAUUUCAAAUUUUCUUACGCCAAUAUCUAUUCUUGUUUCUUUUACGUGGCUAGUUCCCUCAUGAUGAAUUUUUAGAGUGUCCCAAACUUCUUUUGCAGUGACACAUUCAUCAACUCUUUCACUUUCUUCCAUGCUUAGUGCGCAUGAUAGAAAGAGUCGAGCUUUGGAGUUUAGAAGUACUUUUUCUUUAUCUUCCUUUGACCAUGAUGCUUCUGGUGUGAGUGUAUCCACCUUUGUUGUUGCAUCAGUUGUCAUAGGUAUAUGUUCUCCAUUUGUGAUUAUUUUCCACAUAUCCACGUCUUGGGAUCUGAGGAAUAGUUUCAUUUUUCCUUUCCAGAAAUAAUAGUUCUUUCCAUUGAAGAAUGGUGGUCUUGUGCAUGAUAGACCUUCUGGUAUGUACUUUUCUUUUGACAUUGCCUUCUUCCUGAAUCUUUUCCUCCAACACUUGUUAGGUGUUUUUGUAGAGCCCGGGCUCUGAUACCAAUUAAAGUAGCAAUAAACGUCACAAGAAAGGGGGGUUUGAAUUGUGACCCUUUUAAAAAUUAUUCCUGAAACUUAAGUUUAGAUUUAUAUACUCAAGAAUAAUCUUGGUGUAUGUUAGCUUAACAAGAUUAGAGUAUAUAACAAUUAAUUGAAUUUAGAACAGAACAUUCUGAAGACUGAUUAUAAACAGAAUGAGAAAAAUGAUGUUAAGUUAAAAGAUUAUUUUAGCAAGGACCAGAAUGUUCUGGAGAUUAAUAAAAUAAUGUGUGUGUGUGUUGUGUAACUUUAAAUAAAGAGAGAGAUAGAGAUAGAGAGAGAGAGAGAGAGAGAAGAAUAACACAGGAGAGUUAUCCUGGUUCACCAAACCCGGCUACUUCCAGUCCCCACACCUCGUGUGAGAUUAUCCACUAUAGUUUUCUUGCUAACAGAAACUUCUGACUAGCACUACAAUAUCUUGAUCACACCAGAUCAGUCCGUAACCUCUGUAUUAUCAACCUCAGCAGGCUUAUACAAUUCUUUGCACACUAGCAAAAGAAAGGUUGGAAUUUUCUAUCUCAAAACUAUUAAGCCCAAUAGACUUUGAGAAAUACAACACUCUUUGUAUGAAGAGAUUUGUUUUGGAUCGAAUAAAUACUCAAAUCUUUGUUUGAGUUUUACAAGAGGCAAAUUCAAGAGAGAUGAUCCAAGAGAUAUAGUGAGAGAGCUUGGAAUUUGCUUUGUUUGUGAAGAGCUUUGUUUGUAGUGAUGAUUUUCACUUUGAGAGAUAUUAGCUUGCAAAACUCUUGCUUAUGACCUUCAAAGGCCCUUGUAUUUAUAGGUGAGGAGUGUCUUGGUACCAAGGGAGAAAAUAGAGCUGUUGGACACGUUUUUGAUAGCUGUCCAAAGUCUCAAUUGAUUUCUCUUUUCUUCUUUAAAAUAGCCAGAACGUUCUCAGAAUGUUCUUUCUGAUUUGCCUGACUUAGAAAGCACUGUUGCUUUGCUUGCGCAUGAGAUAACCAGCUGUGAUGAGCUGUAUAACUUGCAGCCCACUUCUGAUGAUGUCAUGUCCUUUUGCUCUAGUGAUGUCAUGCUUAAGUAAGCCAUGUGAUCUUAUCCAUUUAAUGGGCUUUACUUUUUCAAAUGGGCUUAAAGCUUUUCUUAUGGCCCAAUAGACAUAAUCAGCCAAGCUUUCUUGCUGUGCAGACUUGUUCGCUUUUGAUGUACUGUUCCAUUUUCAUCGUUUUCGCCAGAACGUUCUCAAUUCAUUCUCAUGAAACAAAUUCUCACAAAAACGAAUUAGUAGAUAACAAGAUUAAAUAAAUAUAAUAUGUUUGUAAUCUUUAAAACAUCAAAUAAGGAUUUUGUCUCAACAACUUUGUCCUCCGCACGAUUUAUUAGGAGCUUUGUCCUCCGCACGUUUAAAGUAUAUUAAUACUUAUGAUGACGAUUGGUACCACAUGCAUAUAAGGAGUCUAAGAGCAUUGUCGCAUUGUCGUGUCUAAGAUGCUAUGUUGUUGAUGAUGAUUGAAUAUGUGAUUACGUGAUAAUUGUUUAUCAAAUAUGCAAAGUUGUUUAAGAUUGAAUAUGAUGUUAAUGUUAAUUUAUGAUUCGAAUUACAUUGAUUAAUAUUAUUUUGUUAUGAAAUCUCACCCCUUCUGCUUGAAAAUGUUGCCCUUCGUAUGGGUAACUUGCAGGUGAUCGUGCUUAGUGUGCAGUUUGCCGUUGUGAGUGGCCUUGCCUCGCUGUGUCGUCUAGGUCGCUCUGAUACGUAACGGGAUGGGGUUUUAUGUUAUGCAUGCUUCAUUCUCUUACGUAACUAAUAUGUUAUUUUUAUAAUAUUAUCAAUUAUGAUUUGAAAUAUUUUGAUGGGGCCUGCGUGCCGAAACGUUUUAUGGAUUAUGAUAUAAUUUCCGCUGCAAUGUUUAAGUUAUUUGGUUAAAUUAUUAUUUAACUGUUUUGGAUUAUGUUAUAUGUGAUAUCCCGUUGUUUACGAUGCUUACUCUGAUAAAUGUUUUAAGAAAUUUUUAUAUUGGGAAAACGGAGUGUUACAGAAACUCCCCCUAUAAAUACCGCAUUCCUCAUUCACAAUUUCUCAUUCAUAACGAAGUGGUUCAAGAGGAAUGCAGUCACUAUGCAUCUAGGGAGGAUUCUCUCUCUUCACUCCAAAUUUUUCUAGAGUAUUUUUAUUUCUUUUAUAAUUUCUCUUUAGUUACCAUGGGUAACUAAAUCUUUUUAGGCUUGGGUUCUAAGAUUAACCUCUAUUCUGGUUGUUGGAUAAUUUAUGUAAAGUCUUUAUUUUAGUUAUUUAUCUUUAUGCUACUAGUUUUACUGUUGUUGCGUAAGAUUUGUCUACUAAAGCAUAAUCUACUUAGAAUAAUUGAACGUGAGUUAACUGUUAAUUAAUUCCAACAAAAUGAAUAGAGAUGAUUCAAAUUAUGUUCAAUAUUUAAGCUAACUGUGUCCUCUAUUUAAAUUAAUUGUUAUAUAUUAUAAACCUGAUAUAGCAUAGCCUAUAUAGGGCUCACAUGAAGCGAUCACAAUCGAUAAAACUAUAUUCUAUAGCUAACGGUUGAUCCUACAAUACGCUCAAUCAAUGCAAAAAUAUGUUGUCACCUAUUGGGUUCAUAUUUCUAUAAAUAACUUUGCCACGGCCAAACAGUAUUAUUUCUCUUUUGUGUUUUUUUCUUUUUAUAUCAUGAAAGGUCAAAAUAAUGGAUAUUUGUUAAAAUAAAAUAGCAUGAAUCCUUAUCAUUGAUGAGUUUUUUAUAUGACCUCCUUACUAAGCAUGAUAAAGAAACAAAUUGAACACAUUGAUGCAUUUAAGAGAUAUUUAAUAAUUAUUCUAAUUUUAAAAAGUAUCUAUAAUAUACAUAAAGAAAACUACCUCCUUUCAACACUUUUGGGUUGAAUUUUUCUUUCUAAAAAUGUCAUCAAUUUUCAAUACAAAUAAUACAUAUAAUAAAUAGACAAGAAUAAAUUUAAAUAUUAAAAAAACGUAACAAAUACGAUAUGAAUAUAUAUAUAUAUAUAUAUAUAUAUAUAUAUGUGUGUGUGUGUUUUUUUUUUCUUUAUCAUUUAAAAAGUGUAACAAACUAAAUGAGUAUAUUUAUAUUUAAUUUUUUCCAAUUACAUCUUUAAACAACUUUUUCUAUAAUAAAGAUUGUUGUUGGUGUUAUUGAAAUAAAUAAUCAUGUUUAAUUUGGUUUGUUAUACCUAGAAAGCAACAAAAAUUUAUAUUUUUAGUUUUAAUCAAAAUCAAAAUUUCAUAAAAAAAAAAAUAUAAUUCAUAAUUUUCAAAUUUUAACGCGGUAAAAAGAGUGAAAAUACGGGCACGUAAGUGCCCAUCUUUACGCUAAUUUUUAUAAUUGCAUAAGUGACUUUUUAGCUGAUGAAACGAUAUCAUAAUCUUUAUAAAUUGUAAAACCACAUUCUAUUUGUUAUAUGCAAAAGGCGAGAAAUAUGGCUAAACUUGUCAAGCUUGUUUAUGUUAUAAUUGUGUUUUAUACCCUAUUUCUUGUUGCAACGGAAAUUGUUUGUGAGCUAAUUUUUCAUACUCUUGAAAUUUCCUUUUAUUUCUUUUUAUCUCGUUUUAGUAACAUUAUUUUGUUCUUUUUCCUUCAAUACAGCGGGUAUUCCUUGUAACGAUGAUGUUGAUUGUCCACAGACUCUGUGUGAACAGUUAAUUGCCGACUUCAAGUAUAUGAUAGAUUUUAAGUCGGAGUGUGUUUCCCGUAUGUGUGCAUGUACCGGAAGUCCCGUUUAAGCUGCACUGGUGGUUGGUUUUGGUUCAAAAUGGAACAAUGAAAAAUACCUUUAAUAUUGGGUUGCUUAUAUAUUUUCACCAUAGAUGUGGAAAUCAUAAUAGGCUAUUAAUAAAAUUAUAAAUUAUACAUGUGGCCUUUAAAUAUCUUUUCUACGUACCCUUGUUAUUAAUUAAUUACUAAAAUCAAAAGAAAUUUCCUUCUCAAUUACAUGUCGUUGAGUUUUCCACCUAGAUAUGUGUUGUAUUUUUUUAUCUUAUUAAAAUAACAUAAAAUCUUAUUUACUCUCAAUCAAAAUCAAUCUAGAAUAUAAGGGUGUCUCUAUGUACUUCUCUAGGUGUGUGUUUAAUUGUUUUUUUUGUUGCAUAUAUGCAAAUAUCAAGUCAUAAAAACAUGUUUUACCUUAAUAAACACAACCAGGUGUUACUAAAAAAAUAUAAUCAUAAAAACCUAUAAUGAAAUAUAGAUAUACAAAUCAAGGAUAGAGGGAAAAGAAAUAUCUUCAAAUAAUAGAUGGAAAAUAGUGUUUUAUUUCUUUCUUCAUUACGAGAACUACGAUCUUUGGCUCUGGAACUGAAUCAUUUCCUUGUAUCUGAGAAAGACUUCCAGAUUCAAAGGAAGGAAGUUUAAUUGGACUGAAUCAGAAAUUUUAUUCUAUGAUUGAUCAGUAUAAACAUCAACACCUUCGAAUUGGAUCAGUUUCUCCUGAACAAAUAAGUGCUUGGGCAAAAAAAAUCCUACCUAAUGGAGAAAUUGUUGGAGAGGUAACAAAACCCUAUACUCUUCAUUACAAAACCAAUAAGCCUGAAAAAGAUGGAUUAUUUUGUGAACGAAUUUUUGGGCCUAUAAAAAGUGGGAUUUGUGCUUGUGGAAAUUAUCGAGUAAUCGGAGAUAAAAAAGACCAACCCAAAUUUUGUGAACAAUGCGGAGUAGAAUUUGUUGAUUCUCGGGUACGUAGGUAUCAAAUGGGGUAUAUAAAACUAGCAUGUCCAGUAACCCAUGUAUGGUAUUUGAAACGUCUUCCUAGUUAUAUUGCGAGCCUUUUAGAUAAACCUCUUAAAGAAUUAGAAGGUCUAGUAUACUGCGAUGUGUGAUUUGAUAAAAAUUCUUAUUGUACAGAUUUCAAAUGAGAAACUGUCAUUCCAUUCAAUUAAAUUGGAAUGUCCUCUAUCUGGCAUGUCUCUUGGGAUGAGUAACAUGAAGCUCAGAAUUCAUGGGUGUAUUGAAUACUCCCAAAUCAAUAAGGGAAUUGGUCUAUGGUCAAUUCAGUAACAAAUAAAUAUUUAUUUAUAACCGUACGUACCUUGUGAAAAAAAAAAAAUUAUUUUUUUGUGGAAUUAAUUAUUUCAUCUCUUUUUUUUUUAAGAACUUAAAUUAAGUUCAAAGAAUAAAAUAUAAUAUAUCAUGAUUGCCGAAGUCUAUCUAUCGCAUAUAGGCUUAAAGACAUCGUGGCAUAACCGUCGAGGUGACGUCUUGACCUAAAAGAUCAAAUGGUAUGAUACAUAGACAAAGAAAUCUCUUAUGAAUUCGAGGAUAUUCCUUUUUUUUAUUAAAAAGUAUAUUUUAAAGGAUUCUUCGUUCGAAGGGAGGUAGACUACUCAAGAAUUUUACAUUGAAUUUCUGUCGUAAUUUCGAAUUGCAUAAAGAAUUCAGAAACAAAGAAGAAUGUAUCAAUGAAAUGUUGCUUCGUCUGUAUUGAUAACUUGAGUAAAGAGUAAACCUUUUUUAUUUUAGAUUUAGAGGUUUUCAAAAAUUUGAAAACGGAAACCACUUUCUUUAUCUUUAUUGUGUGUAAAUACUUUAGCCGGAUGAGAGGAAACCCUCACGUCCGAUUUUCAAAGGGGGAGAUCCAUCUUAUUGGAUCCUAUCCAAAUUUUUCGUUUGCUAGGCCCGUAGUUAAAAAACCUACUUUCUUACGAUUACGAGGUUCAUUCGAAUACGAAAUCCAAUCUUGGAAAUACAGUAUCCCACUCUUUUUUGCUACUCAAGGUUUCGAUACAUUUCGAAAUAGAGAAAUUUCUAGUGGAGCAGGUGCUAUACGAGAACAAUUAGUUGAUUUGGAUUUAAGAAUUAUUAUGGAUUCUUCGUUGGUAGAAUGGAAAGAAUUAGGAGAAGAGGGAUCCGCCGACAAUGAAAAUGAAAAUGAAUGGGAAGAUCGAAAAGUAGGAAGAAGAAAGAAUUUUUUGGUUCGACGCAUGGAAUUAGUUAAGCACUUUAUCCGAACAAAUAUAGAACCAGAAUGGAUGGUUUUAUCUCUCUUACCAGUUCUUCCUCCCGAAUUGAGACCAAUUAUUCAAAUAGAUGGAGGGAAACUAAUGAGUUCGGAUAUUAAUGAACUCUAUAGAAGAGUUAUCUAUCGGAACAAUACUCUUAUUGACCUAUUAACAACAAGUAGAUCUACACCAGGGGAAUUAGUAAUGUGUCAAGAAAAAUUGGUACAAGAAGCCGUGGAUACACUCCUUGAUAAUGGAAUCCGCGGACAACCAAUGAGGGACGGUCAUAAUAAAGUUUACAAAUCGUUUUCAGAUAUAAUUGAGGGCAAAGAGGGAAGAUUUCGAGAGACUCUGCUUGGAAAACGAGUUGAUUAUUCGGGGCGUUCUGUUAUUGUCGUAGGUCCAUCACUUUCAUUACAUCGAUGUGGAUUGCCCCGCGAAAUAGCAAUAGAGCUAUUUCAGACAUUUCUAAUUCGUGGUUUAAUUCGAAAACAUUUUGCUUCGAACAUAGGAGUUGCUAAGAGUAAAAUACGGGAAAAAGAACCGAUUGUAUGGGAAAUACUUCAAGAAGUUAUGCGGGGGCAUCCAGUAUUGCUGAAUAGAGCGCCUACUUUGCAUAGAUUGGGCAUACAGGCAUUUCAACCUAUUUUAGUAGAAGGACGUGCUAUUUGUUUACAUCCAUUAGUGUGUAAGGGAUUCAAUGCAGACUUUGAUGGGGAUCAAAUGGCUGUUCAUGUGCCUUUAUCUUUGGAGGCUCAAGCAGAAGCUCGUUUACUUAUGUUUUCUCAUACAAACCUCUUGUCUCCGGCUAUUGGGGAUCCCAUUUCCGUACCAACUCAAGAUAUGCUUAUAGGACUUUACGUAUUAACUAGCGGAAAUCGUCGAGGUAUUUGUGCAAACAGGUAUAAUCCGUUUAAUUGCCGAAAUUCUAAAAAUGAAAAAAUUAGCAAUAAUAACUCUAAGUAUAUGAAAAAAAAAGAACCCUUUUUUUGCAAUUCCUAUGAUGCAAUUGGAGCUUAUCGACAGAAAAGAAUAAAUUUAGAUAGUCCUUUUUGGCUCCGGUGGCGAAUAGAUCAAUGCAUUAUGUCUUCAAGAGAAGUUCCUAUCGAAGUUCACUAUGAAUCUUUUGGUACCUAUUAUGAAAUUUAUGGGCAUUAUUUAGUAAUAAGAAGUAUAAAAAAAGAAAUUCGUUGUAUAUACAUUAGAACCACUGUUGGUCAUAUUUCUUUUUAUCGAGAAAUUGAAGAAGCUAUACAAGGUUUUUCUCGAGCCUAUUCAUAUGGUAUCUAAUCAUAUAGAUGGUUAGUGUUGAUAUCCAAGCUAGGUAAAUUUAUGUUAUGAUACUGGCGUAAAUUCAGGUCAACUAGCAUCUUUUCUAUUUUCUACGUGAAUAAACAUAAAGAAAAGGAAGUUUUCCAAUCAUUCACUCAAAUUCAUUGUCGAACCGAAUCCCACUGAGUGGAAUAUGGAGGUACUUAUGGCAGAACGGGCCAAUCUAGUCUUUCACUUUCUUCCAUGCUUAGUGCGCAUGAUAGAAAGAGUCGAGCUUUGGAGUUUAGAAGUACUUUUUCUUUAUCUUCCUUUGACCAUGAUGCUUCUGGUGUGAGUGUAUCCACCUUUGUUGUUGCAUCAGUUGUCAUAGGUAUAUGUUCUCCAUUUGUGAUUAUUUUCCACAUAUCCACGUCUUGGGAUCUGAGGAAUAGUUUCAUUUUUCCUUUCCAGAAAUAAUAGUUCUUUCCAUUGAAGAAUGGUGGUCUUGUGCAUGAUAGACCUUCUGGUAUGUACUUUUCUUUUGACAUUGCCUUCUUCCUGAAUCUUUUCCUCCAACACUUGUUAGGUGUUUUUGUAGAGCCCGGGCUCUGAUACCAAUUAAAGUAGCAAUAAACGUCACAAGAAAGGGGGGGUUUGAAUUGUGACCCUUUUAAAAAUUAUUCCUGAAACUUAAGUUUAGAUUUAUAUACUCAAGAAUAAUCUUGGUGUAUGUUAGCUUAACAAGAUUAGAGUAUAUAACAAUUAAUUGAAUUUAGAACAGAACAUUCUGAAGACUGAUUAUAAACAGAAUGAGAAAAAUGAUGUUAAGUUAAAAGAUUAUUUUAGCAAGGACCAGAAUGUUCUGGAGAUUAAUAAAAUAAUGUGUGUGUGUGUUGUGUAACUUUAAAUAAAGAGAGAGAUAGAGAUAGAGAGAGAGAGAGAGAAGAAUAACACAGGAGAGUUAUCCUGGUUCACCAAACCCGGCUACUUCCAGUCCCCACACCUCGUGUGAGAUUAUCCACUAUAGUUUUCUUGCUAACAGAAACUUCUGACUAGCACUACAAUAUCUUGAUCACACCAGAUCAGUCCGUAACCUCUGUAUUAUCAACCUCAGCAGGCUUAUACAAUUCUUUGCACACUAGCAAAAGAAAGGUUGGAAUUUUCUAUCUCAAAACUAUUAAGCCCAAUAGACUUUGAGAAAUACAACACUCUUUGUAUGAAGAGAUUUGUUUUGGAUCGAAUAAAUACUCAAAUCUUUGUUUGAGUUUUACAAGAGGCAAAUUCAAGAGAGAUGAUCCAAGAGAUAUAGUGAGAGAGCUUGGAAUUUGCUUUGUUUGUGAAGAGCUUUGUUUGUAGUGAUGAUUUUCACUUUGAGAGAUAUUAGCUUGCAAAACUCUUGCUUAUGACCUUCAAAGGCCCUUGUAUUUAUAGGUGAGGAGUGUCUUGGUACCAAGGGAGAAAAUAGAGCUGUUGGACACGUUUUUGAUAGCUGUCCAAAGUCUCAAUUGAUUUCUCUUUUCUUCUUUAAAAUAGCCAGAACGUUCUCAGAAUGUUCUUUCUGAUUUGCCUGACUUAGAAAGCACUGUUGCUUUGCUUGCGCAUGAGAUAACCAGCUGUGAUGAGCUGUAUAACUUGCAGCCCACUUCUGAUGAUGUCAUGUCCUUUUGCUCUAGUGAUGUCAUGCUUAAGUAAGCCAUGUGAUCUUAUCCAUUUAAUGGGCUUUACUUUUUCAAAUGGGCUUAAAGCUUUUCUUAUGGCCCAAUAGACAUAAUCAGCCAAGCUUUCUUGCUGUGCAGACUUGUUCGCUUUUGAUGUACUGUUCCAUUUUCAUCGUUUUCGCCAGAACGUUCUCAAUUCAUUCUCAUGAAACAAAUUCUCACAAAAACGAAUUAGUAGAUAACAAGAUUAAAUAAAUAUAAUAUGUUUGUAAUCUUUAAAACAUCAAAUAAGGAUUUUGUCUCAACAACUUUGUCCUCCGCACGAUUUAUUAGGAGCUUUGUCCUCCGCACGUUUAAAGUAUAUUAAUACUUAUGAUGACGAUUGGUACCACAUGCAUAUAAGGAGUCUAAGAGCAUUGUCGCAUUGUCGUGUCUAAGAUGCUAUGUUGUUGAUGAUGAUUGAAUAUGUGAUUACGUGAUAAUUGUUUAUCAAAUAUGCAAAGUUGUUUAAGAUUGAAUAUGAUGUUAAUGUUAAUUUAUGAUUCGAAUUACAUUGAUUAAUAUUAUUUUGUUAUGAAAUCUCACCCCUUCUGCUUGAAAAUGUUGCCCUUCGUAUGGGUAACUUGCAGGUGAUCGUGCUUAGUGUGCAGUUUGCCGUUGUGAGUGGCCUUGCCUCGCUGUGUCGUCUAGGUCGCUCUGAUACGUAACGGGAUGGGGUUUUAUGUUAUGCAUGCUUCAUUCUCUUACGUAACUAAUAUGUUAUUUUUAUAAUAUUAUCAAUUAUGAUUUGAAAUAUUUUGAUGGGGCCUGCGUGCCGAAACGUUUUAUGGAUUAUGAUAUAAUUUCCGCUGCAAUGUUUAAGUUAUUUGGUUAAAUUAUUAUUUAACUGUUUUGGAUUAUGUUAUAUGUGAUAUCCCGUUGUUUACGAUGCUUACUCUGAUAAAUGUUUUAAGAAAUUUUUAUAUUGGGAAAACGGAGUGUUACAGAAACUCCCCCUAUAAAUACCGCAUUCCUCAUUCACAAUUUCUCAUUCAUAACGAAGUGGUUCAAGAGGAAUGCAGUCACUAUGCAUCUAGGGAGGAUUCUCUCUCUUCACUCCAAAUUUUUCUAGAGUAUUUUUAUUUCUUUUAUAAUUUCUCUUUAGUUACCAUGGGUAACUAAAUCUUUUUAGGCUUGGGUUCUAAGAUUAACCUCUAUUCUGGUUGUUGGAUAAUUUAUGUAAAGUCUUUAUUUUAGUUAUUUAUCUUUAUGCUACUAGUUUUACUGUUGUUGCGUAAGAUUUGUCUACUAAAGCAUAAUCUACUUAGAAUAAUUGAACGUGAGUUAACUGUUAAUUAAUUCCAACAAAAUGAAUAGAGAUGAUUCAAAUUAUGUUCAAUAUUUAAGCUAACUGUGUCCUCUAUUUAAAUUAAUUGUUAUAUAUUAUAAACCUGAUAUAGCAUAGCCUAUAUAGGGCUCACAUGAAGCGAUCACAAUCGAUAAAACUAUAUUCUAUAGCUAACGGUUGAUCCUACAAUACGCUCAAUCAAUGCAAAAAUAUGUUGUCACCUAUUGGGUUCAUAUUUCUAUAAAUAACUUUGCCACGGCCAAACAGUAUUAUUUCUCUUUUGUGUUUUUUUCUUUUUAUAUCAUGAAAGGUCAAAAUAAUGGAUAUUUGUUAAAAUAAAAUAGCAUGAAUCCUUAUCAUUGAUGAGUUUUUUAUAUGACCUCCUUACUAAGCAUGAUAAAGAAACAAAUUGAACACAUUGAUGCAUUUAAGAGAUAUUUAAUAAUUAUUCUAAUUUUAAAAAGUAUCUAUAAUAUACAUAAAGAAAACUACCUCCUUUCAACACUUUUGGGUUGAAUUUUUCUUUCUAAAAAUGUCAUCAAUUUUCAAUACAAAUAAUACAUAUAAUAAAUAGACAAGAAUAAAUUUAAAUAUUAAAAAAACGUAACAAAUACGAUAUGAAUAUAUAUAUAUAUAUAUAUAUAUAUAUAUAUAUAUGUGUGUGUGUGUUUUUUUUUUCUUUAUCAUUUAAAAAGUGUAACAAACUAAAUGAGUAUAUUUAUAUUUAAUUUUUUCCAAUUACAUCUUUAAACAACUUUUUCUAUAAUAAAGAUUGUUGUUGGUGUUAUUGAAAUAAAUAAUCAUGUUUAAUUUGGUUUGUUAUACCUAGAAAGCAACAAAAAUUUAUAUUUUUAGUUUUAAUCAAAAUCAAAAUUUCAUAAAAAAAAAAAUAUAAUUCAUAAUUUUCAAAUUUUAACGCGGUAAAAAGAGUGAAAAUACGGGCACGUAAGUGCCCAUCUUUACGCUAAUUUUUAUAAUUGCAUAAGUGACUUUUUAGCUGAUGAAACGAUAUCAUAAUCUUUAUAAAUUGUAAAACCACAUUCUAUUUGUUAUAUGCAAAAGGCGAGAAAUAUGGCUAAACUUGUCAAGCUUGUUUAUGUUAUAAUUGUGUUUUAUACCCUAUUUCUUGUUGCAACGGAAAUUGUUUGUGAGCUAAUUUUUCAUACUCUUGAAAUUUCCUUUUAUUUCUUUUUAUCUCGUUUUAGUAACAUUAUUUUGUUCUUUUUCCUUCAAUACAGCGGGUAUUCCUUGUAACGAUGAUGUUGAUUGUCCACAGACUCUGUGUGAACAGUUAAUUGCCGACUUCAAGUAUAUGAUAGAUUUUAAGUCGGAGUGUGUUUCCCGUAUGUGUGCAUGUACCGGAAGUCCCGUUUAAGCUGCACUGGUGGUUGGUUUUGGUUCAAAAUGGAACAAUGAAAAAUACCUUUAAUAUUGGGUUGCUUAUAUAUUUUCACCAUAGAUGUGGAAAUCAUAAUAGGCUAUUAAUAAAAUUAUAAAUUAUACAUGUGGCCUUUAAAUAUCUUUUCUACGUACCCUUGUUAUUAAUUAAUUACUAAAAUCAAAAGAAAUUUCCUUCUCAAUUACAUGUCGUUGAGUUUUCCACCUAGAUAUGUGUUGUAUUUUUUUAUCUUAUUAAAAUAACAUAAAAUCUUAUUUACUCUCAAUCAAAAUCAAUCUAGAAUAUAAGGGUGUCUCUAUGUACUUCUCUAGGUGUGUGUUUAAUUGUUUUUUUUGUUGCAUAUAUGCAAAUAUCAAGUCAUAAAAACAUGUUUUACCUUAAUAAACACAACCAGGUGUUACUAAAAAAAUAUAAUCAUAAAAACCUAUAAUGAAAUAUAGAUAUACAAAUCAAGGAUAGAGGGAAAAGAAAUAUCUUCAAAUAAUAGAUGGAAAAUAGUGUUUUAUUUCUUUCUUCAUUACGAGAACUACGAUCUUUGGCUCUGGAACUGAAUCAUUUCCUUGUAUCUGAGAAAGACUUCCAGAUUCAAAGGAAGGAAGUUUAAUUGGACUGAAUCAGAAAUUUUAUUCUAUGAUUGAUCAGUAUAAACAUCAACACCUUCGAAUUGGAUCAGUUUCUCCUGAACAAAUAAGUGCUUGGGCAAAAAAAAUCCUACCUAAUGGAGAAAUUGUUGGAGAGGUAACAAAACCCUAUACUCUUCAUUACAAAACCAAUAAGCCUGAAAAAGAUGGAUUAUUUUGUGAACGAAUUUUUGGGCCUAUAAAAAGUGGGAUUUGUGCUUGUGGAAAUUAUCGAGUAAUCGGAGAUAAAAAAGACCAACCCAAAUUUUGUGAACAAUGCGGAGUAGAAUUUGUUGAUUCUCGGGUACGUAGGUAUCAAAUGGGGUAUAUAAAACUAGCAUGUCCAGUAACCCAUGUAUGGUAUUUGAAACGUCUUCCUAGUUAUAUUGCGAGCCUUUUAGAUAAACCUCUUAAAGAAUUAGAAGGUCUAGUAUACUGCGAUGUGUGAUUUGAUAAAAAUUCUUAUUGUACAGAUUUCAAAUGAGAAACUGUCAUUCCAUUCAAUUAAAUUGGAAUGUCCUCUAUCUGGCAUGUCUCUUGGGAUGAGUAACAUGAAGCUCAGAAUUCAUGGGUGUAUUGAAUACUCCCAAAUCAAUAAGGGAAUUGGUCUAUGGUCAAUUCAGUAACAAAUAAAUAUUUAUUUAUAACCGUACGUACCUUGUGAAAAAAAAAAAAUUAUUUUUUUGUGGAAUUAAUUAUUUCAUCUCUUUUUUUUUUAAGAACUUAAAUUAAGUUCAAAGAAUAAAAUAUAAUAUAUCAUGAUUGCCGAAGUCUAUCUAUCGCAUAUAGGCUUAAAGACAUCGUGGCAUAACCGUCGAGGUGACGUCUUGACCUAAAAGAUCAAAUGGUAUGAUACAUAGACAAAGAAAUCUCUUAUGAAUUCGAGGAUAUUCCUUUUUUUUAUUAAAAAGUAUAUUUUAAAGGAUUCUUCGUUCGAAGGGAGGUAGACUACUCAAGAAUUUUACAUUGAAUUUCUGUCGUAAUUUCGAAUUGCAUAAAGAAUUCAGAAACAAAGAAGAAUGUAUCAAUGAAAUGUUGCUUCGUCUGUAUUGAUAACUUGAGUAAAGAGUAAACCUUUUUUAUUUUAGAUUUAGAGGUUUUCAAAAAUUUGAAAACGGAAACCACUUUCUUUAUCUUUAUUGUGUGUAAAUACUUUAGCCGGAUGAGAGGAAACCCUCACGUCCGAUUUUCAAAGGGGGAGAUCCAUCUUAUUGGAUCCUAUCCAAAUUUUUCGUUUGCUAGGCCCGUAGUUAAAAAACCUACUUUCUUACGAUUACGAGGUUCAUUCGAAUACGAAAUCCAAUCUUGGAAAUACAGUAUCCCACUCUUUUUUGCUACUCAAGGUUUCGAUACAUUUCGAAAUAGAGAAAUUUCUAGUGGAGCAGGUGCUAUACGAGAACAAUUAGUUGAUUUGGAUUUAAGAAUUAUUAUGGAUUCUUCGUUGGUAGAAUGGAAAGAAUUAGGAGAAGAGGGAUCCGCCGACAAUGAAAAUGAAAAUGAAUGGGAAGAUCGAAAAGUAGGAAGAAGAAAGAAUUUUUUGGUUCGACGCAUGGAAUUAGUUAAGCACUUUAUCCGAACAAAUAUAGAACCAGAAUGGAUGGUUUUAUCUCUCUUACCAGUUCUUCCUCCCGAAUUGAGACCAAUUAUUCAAAUAGAUGGAGGGAAACUAAUGAGUUCGGAUAUUAAUGAACUCUAUAGAAGAGUUAUCUAUCGGAACAAUACUCUUAUUGACCUAUUAACAACAAGUAGAUCUACACCAGGGGAAUUAGUAAUGUGUCAAGAAAAAUUGGUACAAGAAGCCGUGGAUACACUCCUUGAUAAUGGAAUCCGCGGACAACCAAUGAGGGACGGUCAUAAUAAAGUUUACAAAUCGUUUUCAGAUAUAAUUGAGGGCAAAGAGGGAAGAUUUCGAGAGACUCUGCUUGGAAAACGAGUUGAUUAUUCGGGGCGUUCUGUUAUUGUCGUAGGUCCAUCACUUUCAUUACAUCGAUGUGGAUUGCCCCGCGAAAUAGCAAUAGAGCUAUUUCAGACAUUUCUAAUUCGUGGUUUAAUUCGAAAACAUUUUGCUUCGAACAUAGGAGUUGCUAAGAGUAAAAUACGGGAAAAAGAACCGAUUGUAUGGGAAAUACUUCAAGAAGUUAUGCGGGGGCAUCCAGUAUUGCUGAAUAGAGCGCCUACUUUGCAUAGAUUGGGCAUACAGGCAUUUCAACCUAUUUUAGUAGAAGGACGUGCUAUUUGUUUACAUCCAUUAGUGUGUAAGGGAUUCAAUGCAGACUUUGAUGGGGAUCAAAUGGCUGUUCAUGUGCCUUUAUCUUUGGAGGCUCAAGCAGAAGCUCGUUUACUUAUGUUUUCUCAUACAAACCUCUUGUCUCCGGCUAUUGGGGAUCCCAUUUCCGUACCAACUCAAGAUAUGCUUAUAGGACUUUACGUAUUAACUAGCGGAAAUCGUCGAGGUAUUUGUGCAAACAGGUAUAAUCCGUUUAAUUGCCGAAAUUCUAAAAAUGAAAAAAUUAGCAAUAAUAACUCUAAGUAUAUGAAAAAAAAAGAACCCUUUUUUUGCAAUUCCUAUGAUGCAAUUGGAGCUUAUCGACAGAAAAGAAUAAAUUUAGAUAGUCCUUUUUGGCUCCGGUGGCGAAUAGAUCAAUGCAUUAUGUCUUCAAGAGAAGUUCCUAUCGAAGUUCACUAUGAAUCUUUUGGUACCUAUUAUGAAAUUUAUGGGCAUUAUUUAGUAAUAAGAAGUAUAAAAAAAGAAAUUCGUUGUAUAUACAUUAGAACCACUGUUGGUCAUAUUUCUUUUUAUCGAGAAAUUGAAGAAGCUAUACAAGGUUUUUCUCGAGCCUAUUCAUAUGGUAUCUAAUCAUAUAGAUGGUUAGUGUUGAUAUCCAAGCUAGGUAAAUUUAUGUUAUGAUACUGGCGUAAAUUCAGGUCAACUAGCAUCUUUUCUAUUUUCUACGUGAAUAAACAUAAAGAAAAGGAAGUUUUCCAAUCAUUCACUCAAAUUCAUUGUCGAACCGAAUCCCACUGAGUGGAAUAUGGAGGUACUUAUGGCAGAACGGGCCAAUCUAGUCUUUCACUUUCUUCCAUGCUUAGUGCGCAUGAUAGAAAGAGUCGAGCUUUGGAGUUUAGAAGUACUUUUUCUUUAUCUUCCUUUGACCAUGAUGCUUCUGGUGUGAGUGUAUCCACCUUUGUUGUUGCAUCAGUUGUCAUAGGUAUAUGUUCUCCAUUUGUGAUUAUUUUCCACAUAUCCACGUCUUGGGAUCUGAGGAAUAGUUUCAUUUUUCCUUUCCAGAAAUAAUAGUUCUUUCCAUUGAAGAAUGGUGGUCUUGUGCAUGAUAGACCUUCUGGUAUGUACUUUUCUUUUGACAUUGCCUUCUUCCUGAAUCUUUUCCUCCAACACUUGUUAGGUGUUUUUGUAGAGCCCGGGCUCUGAUACCAAUUAAAGUAGCAAUAAACGUCACAAGAAAGGGGGGGUUUGAAUUGUGACCCUUUUAAAAAUUAUUCCUGAAACUUAAGUUUAGAUUUAUAUACUCAAGAAUAAUCUUGGUGUAUGUUAGCUUAACAAGAUUAGAGUAUAUAACAAUUAAUUGAAUUUAGAACAGAACAUUCUGAAGACUGAUUAUAAACAGAAUGAGAAAAAUGAUGUUAAGUUAAAAGAUUAUUUUAGCAAGGACCAGAAUGUUCUGGAGAUUAAUAAAAUAAUGUGUGUGUGUGUUGUGUAACUUUAAAUAAAGAGAGAGAUAGAGAUAGAGAGAGAGAGAGAGAAGAAUAACACAGGAGAGUUAUCCUGGUUCACCAAACCCGGCUACUUCCAGUCCCCACACCUCGUGUGAGAUUAUCCACUAUAGUUUUCUUGCUAACAGAAACUUCUGACUAGCACUACAAUAUCUUGAUCACACCAGAUCAGUCCGUAACCUCUGUAUUAUCAACCUCAGCAGGCUUAUACAAUUCUUUGCACACUAGCAAAAGAAAGGUUGGAAUUUUCUAUCUCAAAACUAUUAAGCCCAAUAGACUUUGAGAAAUACAACACUCUUUGUAUGAAGAGAUUUGUUUUGGAUCGAAUAAAUACUCAAAUCUUUGUUUGAGUUUUACAAGAGGCAAAUUCAAGAGAGAUGAUCCAAGAGAUAUAGUGAGAGAGCUUGGAAUUUGCUUUGUUUGUGAAGAGCUUUGUUUGUAGUGAUGAUUUUCACUUUGAGAGAUAUUAGCUUGCAAAACUCUUGCUUAUGACCUUCAAAGGCCCUUGUAUUUAUAGGUGAGGAGUGUCUUGGUACCAAGGGAGAAAAUAGAGCUGUUGGACACGUUUUUGAUAGCUGUCCAAAGUCUCAAUUGAUUUCUCUUUUCUUCUUUAAAAUAGCCAGAACGUUCUCAGAAUGUUCUUUCUGAUUUGCCUGACUUAGAAAGCACUGUUGCUUUGCUUGCGCAUGAGAUAACCAGCUGUGAUGAGCUGUAUAACUUGCAGCCCACUUCUGAUGAUGUCAUGUCCUUUUGCUCUAGUGAUGUCAUGCUUAAGUAAGCCAUGUGAUCUUAUCCAUUUAAUGGGCUUUACUUUUUCAAAUGGGCUUAAAGCUUUUCUUAUGGCCCAAUAGACAUAAUCAGCCAAGCUUUCUUGCUGUGCAGACUUGUUCGCUUUUGAUGUACUGUUCCAUUUUCAUCGUUUUCGCCAGAACGUUCUCAAUUCAUUCUCAUGAAACAAAUUCUCACAAAAACGAAUUAGUAGAUAACAAGAUUAAAUAAAUAUAAUAUGUUUGUAAUCUUUAAAACAUCAAAUAAGGAUUUUGUCUCAACAACUUUGUCCUCCGCACGAUUUAUUAGGAGCUUUGUCCUCCGCACGUUUAAAGUAUAUUAAUACUUAUGAUGACGAUUGGUACCACAUGCAUAUAAGGAGUCUAAGAGCAUUGUCGCAUUGUCGUGUCUAAGAUGCUAUGUUGUUGAUGAUGAUUGAAUAUGUGAUUACGUGAUAAUUGUUUAUCAAAUAUGCAAAGUUGUUUAAGAUUGAAUAUGAUGUUAAUGUUAAUUUAUGAUUCGAAUUACAUUGAUUAAUAUUAUUUUGUUAUGAAAUCUCACCCCUUCUGCUUGAAAAUGUUGCCCUUCGUAUGGGUAACUUGCAGGUGAUCGUGCUUAGUGUGCAGUUUGCCGUUGUGAGUGGCCUUGCCUCGCUGUGUCGUCUAGGUCGCUCUGAUACGUAACGGGAUGGGGUUUUAUGUUAUGCAUGCUUCAUUCUCUUACGUAACUAAUAUGUUAUUUUUAUAAUAUUAUCAAUUAUGAUUUGAAAUAUUUUGAUGGGGCCUGCGUGCCGAAACGUUUUAUGGAUUAUGAUAUAAUUUCCGCUGCAAUGUUUAAGUUAUUUGGUUAAAUUAUUAUUUAACUGUUUUGGAUUAUGUUAUAUGUGAUAUCCCGUUGUUUACGAUGCUUACUCUGAUAAAUGUUUUAAGAAAUUUUUAUAUUGGGAAAACGGAGUGUUACAGAAACUCCCCCUAUAAAUACCGCAUUCCUCAUUCACAAUUUCUCAUUCAUAACGAAGUGGUUCAAGAGGAAUGCAGUCACUAUGCAUCUAGGGAGGAUUCUCUCUCUUCACUCCAAAUUUUUCUAGAGUAUUUUUAUUUCUUUUAUAAUUUCUCUUUAGUUACCAUGGGUAACUAAAUCUUUUUAGGCUUGGGUUCUAAGAUUAACCUCUAUUCUGGUUGUUGGAUAAUUUAUGUAAAGUCUUUAUUUUAGUUAUUUAUCUUUAUGCUACUAGUUUUACUGUUGUUGCGUAAGAUUUGUCUACUAAAGCAUAAUCUACUUAGAAUAAUUGAACGUGAGUUAACUGUUAAUUAAUUCCAACAAAAUGAAUAGAGAUGAUUCAAAUUAUGUUCAAUAUUUAAGCUAACUGUGUCCUCUAUUUAAAUUAAUUGUUAUAUAUUAUAAACCUGAUAUAGCAUAGCCUAUAUAGGGCUCACAUGAAGCGAUCACAAUCGAUAAAACUAUAUUCUAUAGCUAACGGUUGAUCCUACAAUACGCUCAAUCAAUGCAAAAAUAUGUUGUCACCUAUUGGGUUCAUAUUUCUAUAAAUAACUUUGCCACGGCCAAACAGUAUUAUUUCUCUUUUGUGUUUUUUUCUUUUUAUAUCAUGAAAGGUCAAAAUAAUGGAUAUUUGUUAAAAUAAAAUAGCAUGAAUCCUUAUCAUUGAUGAGUUUUUUAUAUGACCUCCUUACUAAGCAUGAUAAAGAAACAAAUUGAACACAUUGAUGCAUUUAAGAGAUAUUUAAUAAUUAUUCUAAUUUUAAAAAGUAUCUAUAAUAUACAUAAAGAAAACUACCUCCUUUCAACACUUUUGGGUUGAAUUUUUCUUUCUAAAAAUGUCAUCAAUUUUCAAUACAAAUAAUACAUAUAAUAAAUAGACAAGAAUAAAUUUAAAUAUUAAAAAAACGUAACAAAUACGAUAUGAAUAUAUAUAUAUAUAUAUAUAUAUAUAUAUAUGUGUGUGUGUGUUUUUUUUUUCUUUAUCAUUUAAAAAGUGUAACAAACUAAAUGAGUAUAUUUAUAUUUAAUUUUUUCCAAUUACAUCUUUAAACAACUUUUUCUAUAAUAAAGAUUGUUGUUGGUGUUAUUGAAAUAAAUAAUCAUGUUUAAUUUGGUUUGUUAUACCUAGAAAGCAACAAAAAUUUAUAUUUUUAGUUUUAAUCAAAAUCAAAAUUUCAUAAAAAAAAAAAUAUAAUUCAUAAUUUUCAAAUUUUAACGCGGUAAAAAGAGUGAAAAUACGGGCACGUAAGUGCCCAUCUUUACGCUAAUUUUUAUAAUUGCAUAAGUGACUUUUUAGCUGAUGAAACGAUAUCAUAAUCUUUAUAAAUUGUAAAACCACAUUCUAUUUGUUAUAUGCAAAAGGCGAGAAAUAUGGCUAAACUUGUCAAGCUUGUUUAUGUUAUAAUUGUGUUUUAUACCCUAUUUCUUGUUGCAACGGAAAUUGUUUGUGAGCUAAUUUUUCAUACUCUUGAAAUUUCCUUUUAUUUCUUUUUAUCUCGUUUUAGUAACAUUAUUUUGUUCUUUUUCCUUCAAUACAGCGGGUAUUCCUUGUAACGAUGAUGUUGAUUGUCCACAGACUCUGUGUGAACAGUUAAUUGCCGACUUCAAGUAUAUGAUAGAUUUUAAGUCGGAGUGUGUUUCCCGUAUGUGUGCAUGUACCGGAAGUCCCGUUUAAGCUGCACUGGUGGUUGGUUUUGGUUCAAAAUGGAACAAUGAAAAAUACCUUUAAUAUUGGGUUGCUUAUAUAUUUUCACCAUAGAUGUGGAAAUCAUAAUAGGCUAUUAAUAAAAUUAUAAAUUAUACAUGUGGCCUUUAAAUAUCUUUUCUACGUACCCUUGUUAUUAAUUAAUUACUAAAAUCAAAAGAAAUUUCCUUCUCAAUUACAUGUCGUUGAGUUUUCCACCUAGAUAUGUGUUGUAUUUUUUUAUCUUAUUAAAAUAACAUAAAAUCUUAUUUACUCUCAAUCAAAAUCAAUCUAGAAUAUAAGGGUGUCUCUAUGUACUUCUCUAGGUGUGUGUUUAAUUGUUUUUUUUGUUGCAUAUAUGCAAAUAUCAAGUCAUAAAAACAUGUUUUACCUUAAUAAACACAACCAGGUGUUACUAAAAAAAUAUAAUCAUAAAAACCUAUAAUGAAAUAUAGAUAUACAAAUCAAGGAUAGAGGGAAAAGAAAUAUCUUCAAAUAAUAGAUGGAAAAUAGUGUUUUAUUUCUUUCUUCAUUAGGAGAUUUUCUAAGCUAAUAGGGUAAUUAAAAUCUUAAAUUUAAUCAUGCACAUUUAAACAAGAUGUGUGAAGAUGAAUUUGCUUCAAUCAAUUAGAAAGAAAAACAAAGAAGCAAUGAAAGUUGGGUUUAAUUUUACCUAAGAUAUUAUGAUAUGCAUACAUAAACAUUUUUUACCUACGAUAUUAUGAUAUGCAUACAUAAACAAAUUUUUUUGGCAAAAUUACAUUAAUAGUGUCCCUUAACUUAAUUUUAGGUAACGUUUUGGUCCUUUAUCUUAUUUUUUUAAUCCUUUAUCUUUUUAAAUGUUAACACUAUUAUCCCUUUUCUACAAAAACCCAACAAAUUCAUAACAAAAAUAAGUUGUUCAUCAAUAAACCUAUAUUUUCAUCAACAAAUACCAAAAACCCAGAUAUUUAUAAAAAUUCCAGAGAGAAAAAAAUGCAUUCAACUUCAGUUUUUGUUUCACAUAAACGUACUGAUUAUCAAAAUUAACAAAAGAUAUGAAUAAGUGUUCUGAGGGUAGGUGCAUUUAGCACACAAAACCAACACUCCAAAACCAUUAAGCAUUCAAAACCCAAAAGCAAUAAUAAGCUCCAGGUUUGUAAUUCAGAACUCUCUCUUUCACAAAGGCAAAGUGGCAGUAAGGCAAAUUGACAGUAAGGGUUUGAGUUUAUUUAAUUGAGAGAAGUGGGUUGAUAGAUGGUGGUGAUGUUGUUGGGGAAGAGCUGAAUUGGUGUAGGUUGUAUAAGAGGUUGGAAAUGUGAUUCAUUUUCAGCAUGAAAUGAUGAUAGAGCGCACAAAUAUGAUAUAGGAAAACAGAAAUGGUGAAGGGGAUUUUAUGAAGAUAUGUAUUUCUGGGUUUUAUUAUGAUGAAGAUAUGAGUUUUUUGUUAUGAAUUUGCUGGGUUUUUGUAGAAAAAGGAUAAUAUUGUUAACAUUUAAAAAGAUAAAGGAUUGAAAUGGGAAGAAAAAAAAUAAGAUAAAGGACCAAAACAUUACCUAAAAUUAAGUUAAGAAAUUAUUAGUGUAAUUUUGCCAUUUUUUUACAUAAGAUUAAUUUUCAUAUACUAUUAGGACUCGUUUAAUUGGUUAUGAUAAGAGAUAGAUAAGAUAAUUGUACCAUAUUCGACCUUAAUUCAAUGUUUGAUGAGACAACAACAUAAUUAAUUCUAAGAUUCUUUUCCCACAACAUGUAAGACAAGAUAUAAUAGUUUUAUUCUCCCAAUGUACAUUAAAACCCUUAUGUGAGGCUUAAGAGAGAUACAAGUAAAUGUUGAGAAAGUGUCUCAAUCAGGGGUGAAGUUAUAAGGGAGACCAGCAUAGACCAUAACCCCCUUCAAACUAUUUUCUAUUUUUUUAAUUUGUUUAUACUGGUGGGUAUUACUGCUAAUUGUUUGCAAGUCUUUUUAUUAUCAGAUUCAAAGGUUGCAGAAGCCUUAGCUAUGCGGAAGGUUUUGGAAUUUAUGAAAGACAUGUCUUUUCUGAAUCUUAUAGCAGAAUCAAAUGCUUCUAAUAUGGUCUUGGUGUUAAAUGCUCUCCAACAAUAUGGUCUUUAAUGUAUGUCUUCGUAGUUUAAAUUUUAAGCAUGUUAAGCGUGAAGCCAACCAAAGCUGCUCACUAUUUAGCUAAAUAGUAUGAUCUUCAUAAUUUAGAUUGCAUAUGAAUCGAAAAUAUUCUGUCUUAUAUUUAUGCAAUCUUGACAUUUGAUUUAUUGGUAAACUUUUUAUUAAUAAAAUUUUCUUUUAACUUAAAAAAAAGGGCGGAGGGAGUGAUUCUCUUUAAUGAAAUUUUCAAUUCUCUCUCUUUGGUCUUGUCAAACGAAU
RNAcentral lists this long non-coding RNA (100863 nucleotides) under Medicago truncatula (barrel medic). RNAcentral describes it as "long non-coding RNA (MTRU_LNC000786)". Lineage: Eukaryota; Viridiplantae; Streptophyta; Magnoliopsida; Fabales; Fabaceae. The record is from RNAcentral.